UAAUACCUACGCACGGACCAAGGUCCCGCGUGCCUUAAGGAAGAGUCCCAUCGAGGCUAACCCUACCGUAUCUCUGUGGGACCUUGGCAAGAGGCACCCCACGCAUCCACCUUCACUCAGUCCAUAGGAACCGAAGUUCUGGACCUAUCGGCCUACCAACUCUCCGAAUUCGGCCAUCAUGAAGUUUCCACGUUGCAACAAUGGGAUCCGAACCCAGAGAGUCGCUACAACGCUUCCAUCAGUACCGCGGACUCCAUACCGGAAUACUGACUUGGUUCCCCGGGCAGGAUCCGAACCUGCAUCUAUACUUGUCAGCCUCAACCGAAGUUCUGGACCUAUCGGCCUACCAACUCUCCGAAUUCGGCCAUCAUGAAGUUUCCACGUUGCAACAAUGGGAUCCGAACCCAGAGAGUCGCUACAACGCUUCCAUCAGUACCGCGGACUCCAUACCGGAAUACUGACUUGGUUCCCCGGGCAGGAUCCGAACCUGCAUCUAUACUUGUCAGCCUCAACCUGGCCGAAUCUGCGAUUCGAACCUGGGUCUGCCAUGUGACAGCGGCAUGCUCUACCAAUUGAGCUACCGGGGAUUAUGGGACUAUGGGCCAACACUGAGCGGCUGCCGGAUGACCCAGGCACUGACCCCGGUUCGGAUGAGGAGGCCUGCCAGGCGUCUAGGCGGGCUUGUGGCACCGUGCACCAGCAACUCGUUGCAGAAUGGCCCACCAUUGCGAACAGGAACGCAAGGGCAGUUGCCAGCAUGUCUUACAAAGACAGAGAAGCAGUACUGGCGCUUGUGCAGCAACGGCUCCCUAUGCGCCACCUGAGCACGGAGGAGGGCCGAAAAGACCUGCUUUCCUUCUUGCAGUUGCGGCUGUUAAGCAAAGCUGCGGGGGAGGAGGAAGAAGAUGCAGGUGGCGGUGGUGGCAGUGGCUGGGCACCAGUAGCUGGCGGCGCGGCUAGUGGCAGCGCAGCGGCCGCGGCGGCCGUGGUCACAGCUACGACCACAGGGAGUGGGCACAACGGCGGUGGGCGCUCUGGCGCGGCUGAGCACAGCCACCACCAGCACCUUGCCGCUGCUGUCCAUCUCUCGGCGGCAGCUGCUGAGGGCGAUUCCGGCGGCGGUGGUGGCAGUGGCUGGGCACCAGUAGCUGGCGGCGCGGCCAGUGGCAGCGCAGCGGCCGCGGCGGCAGUGGUCACAGCUACGACCACAGGGAGUGGGCACAACGGCGGCGGGCGCUCUGGCGCUGGGGUUGCGGCAGAUGGCGGUGGCGGCGCUUAUGAGUGGCUAGACUGCAUGAAUACGGAUGUGAUGCACUUGCCAACCUUUGAGUCUGGCAGCUUGAUGGGGUUACUAUGUGACGAGGCGGAGCCUACUGGUGAUGCGGCAGCAGCUAUGGCAGCACUUGCUACUGCAGCUGCAGCUGUGGUCCCCCCCGGGACACUUACCAAUGCACAGAUGCUCGCGGCCCUCGCGGCCCUGUCGCAACUCCAAGAGCCCGUACAUGCCGACCAACAGCAGCUGCAGCCGGGACAGGCGCAGCCGGGGCAGGCGCAGCCGGGGCAGGCGCAGCCGGGGCAGGUGCCGCCGGGGCAGGGGCAGGCGCAGCCGGGGCAGGCGGGGCAGCCGGGGCAGGCGCAGCCGGGGCAGGCGCAGCCGGGGCAGGCGCAGCCGGGGCAGGCGCAGCCGGGGCAGGUGCCGCCGGGGCAGGCGCAGGCAGGGCAGGCGCAGGCAGGGCAGGCGCAGCCGGGGCAGGUGCCGCCGGGGCAGGCGCAGCCGGGGCAGGCGCAGCCGGGGCAGGCGCAGCCGGGGCAGGUGCCGCCGGGGCAGGGGCAGGCAGGGCAGGCGCAGGCAGGGCAGGCGCAGCCGGGGCAGGUGCCGCCGGGGCAGGCGCAGCCGGGGCAGGCGCAGCCGGGGCAGGCGCAGCCGGGGCAGGCGCAGCCGGGGCAGGCGCAGCCGGGGCAGGGGCAGGCAGGGCAGGGGCAGGCAGGGCAGGGGCAGGCAGGGCAGCCGCAGCUGCGAUGGCGGCUGCGGCGCCGCUUUGACCGCAGGUACCAUGAGUACUAUGCGGACUUGGGACAGCGCUCCAGCACGCUGCUAGAGAAGCUGCUGGGGUCGCGCAGUACCGUGUCAUUGCCAAAGCAGGGGAUUCUUGAGCAAAACAUUGCUCAGCAGGACGGGUACUGCGCAGACAGCGAAGAAGUCAGCGAUGGAGCACUGGCGGACCACGAAGAUGGCGAGUUUCUGCAUGGCUGUCAGCAAUCGGAGCUCCAGCACGACUUCAAGCAGCUGCAGCGGGACAAGCAGCGCGCCUUCAUUGUUAAGGAGCACAGCCGUGUGACGGGAGACAUAAUCAAGAAGAUACAGGCGCUGACGCUGGUGAGCAGCAACGCCGAUAUGGCCAUGUUCAGCAGUAGCAACAGGUCCACAGCGUAUAAGACGGUCCUCAUCGGCCGUCAUUGGUACGGUAUCAGCAAGCCACACACCGAGGGCCUCACUAGGCUCAUCAAAGUGUUCGCGCGCCACCCGUCUGCUCGUGGAAAGCUGCUGGGGGCAGCAGCGGAUAUCCUGGCGGAGUACGGCAGCGACAGCGAUAAGGGGCCAGGCGAUGGCAGCGAUGAUAGUGACAGUGGCAGUGGCGCCGACCACAGCGGCUUGCGCGGCGGCAGCAGCAGCAGCAACGGCGGUGACGAGCCACGGCGGGGUCAGAAGCGUGCUCGCCAGGUAGCCACGGCGGUGGCUGCGACAGCCAUGCAGGCGGCACACGCGGCAGCAGCGCAGGCACCAGCCACGGCGGCGGCGGCGGCAGCCAUGCAGGCAGCACCCGCGGCAGCGGUGCAAGCACCAGCCACGGCGGCGGCGGCGGCAGCCAUGCAGGCGGCACCCGCGGUAGCGGCGCAGGCACCAGCCACGGCGGCGGCGGCGGCAGCCAUGCAGGCGGCACACGCGGCAGCGGCGCAGGCACCAGCCACGGCGGCGGCGGCGGCGGCGGCGGCGGCGGCCAUGCAGGCGGCACCCGCGGCAGCGGCGCAGGCACCAGCCACGGCGGCGGCGGCGGCGGCGGCGGGAGCCAUGCAGGCGGCACCCGCGGCAGCGGCGCAGGCACCAGCCACGGCGGCGGCGGCGGCAGCCAUGCAGGCGGCACCCGCGGCAGCGGCGCAGGCACCAGCCACGGCGGCGGCGGCGGCAGCCAUGCAGGCGGCACACGCGGCAGCAGCGCAGGCACCAGCCACGGCGGCGGCGGCGGCGGCGGCGGCAGCCAUGCAGGCGGCACCCGCGGCAGCGGCGCAGGCACCAGCCACGGCGGCGGCGGCGGCAGCCAUGCAGGCGGCACACGCGGCACAAGCGGGAUCUUCUGCAGCACCGGCAUCAGCAGCAGCGGCAGCUGCAGCUCCAUCUCGUCGGGUGAAGCUGGACCAGGAUAAGGUGGGUUCGCGGAUGCAUGCACUAGUGCUGUUCCAGACAUGUCUCUAACCGUGUGCCAUUUGCAGCGCCUGGAACUGCAGAUGACCAUGGGCCCAUUCGUAAGCCUGACCAAGGUGAAGGCGAUUGCAGCCUGGCGGCAAGCAAACCCGGACAAGACUGCUGGCCUUUCGGAUCAUCAACUGGGCACGGCCUGGACUGCCGUGCGCGCUGCUGGACGUGCUCGGGGGAAGCGACUCGCGGAGUCAGAGGAGGCCGGCGAUGUGGGGACUGACAUAGCGUCCGUAGAAUCCCGUAUCAGGCAGAAGCUAGCUGCGGGCGAGACGUCGGGCGUUGAAGAUGACCUAAACGAGUUGCGGAUGACGGGGCAGAACGAGCUGUACGCACAACUCUACAACGAAGCUUGUGAGAAGGGCGUGUUUGCUGGACUGGCGUGGUAACUAACGUGGGCGGUUGGCUGCAGUACAAUGUUUGUGGUGGGAUCAAUGCGACUGUACGGCUGUAGGUCAGUGUAGUUGCUGGCCGGGCGUCGGCAGUACGGUAUGCAACGCAGCCGGCGGCUCCAUGGUCGCGGCGUUGCCUGGAGUUGAGCUGCAGCUUUACUCCUCACACGAGUAAUGCAACGGAUUGCCUUGUACGCUUGCCCACAUGUGUAAUACCACUCAAGACGCCAGCUGGCCGGGCGUUGCGUGCUAGUUCUGUCAAUUAGGGGCCGGGCCGCAGGGGGACAUACGCAUCUGCACACGGCGUUGCCUGGAGUUGAGCUGCAGCUUUACUCCUCACACCAUUAAUGCAACGGAUUGCCUUGCACGCUUGCCCACAUGUGUAAUACCACUCAAGACGCCAGCUGGCCGGGCGUUGCGUGCUAGUUCUGUCAAUUAGGGGCCGGGCCGCAGGGGGACAUACGCAUCUGCACACGGCGUUGCCUGGAGUUGAGCUGCAGCUUUACUCCUCACACCAUUAAUGCAACGGAUUGCCUUGUACGCUUGCCCACAUGUGUAAUACCACUCAAGACGCCAGCUGGCCGGGCGUUGCAUGCUAGUUCUGUCAAUUAGGGGCCGGGCCGCAGGGGGACAUACGCAUCUGCACACAGCCGGCGGCUCCAUGGUCGCGGCGUUGCCUGGAGUUGAGCUGCAGCUUUACUCCUCACACGAGUAAUGCAACGGAUUGCCUUGCACGCUUGCCCACAUGUGUAAUACCACUCAAGACGCCAGCUGGCCGGGCGUUGCGUGCUAGUUCUGUCAAUUCGGGGCCGGGCCGCAGGGGGACAUACGCAUCUGCACACAGCCGGCGGCUCCAUGGUCGCGGCGUUGCCUGGAGUUGAGCUGCAGCUUUACUCCUCACACGAUUAAUGCAACGGAUUGCCUUGCACGCUUGCCCACAUGUGUAAUACCACUCAAGACGCCAGCUGGCCGGGCGUUGCAUGCUAGUUCUGUCAAUUAGGGGCCGGGCCGCAGGGGGACAUACGCAUCUGCACACAGCCGGCGGCUCCAUGGUCGCGGCGUUGCCUGGAGUUGAGCUGCAGCUUUACUCCUCACACGAUUAAUGCAACGGAUUGCCUUGCACGCUUGCCCACAUGUGUAAUACCACUCAAGACGCCAGCUGGCCGGGCGUUGCGUGCUAGUUCUGUCAAUUAGGGGCCGGGCCGCAGGGGGACAUACGCAUCUGCACACAGCCGGCGGCUCCAUGGUCGCGGCGUUGCCUGGAGUUGAGCUGCAGCUUUACUCCUCACACGAUUAAUGCAACGGAUUGCCUUGCACGCUUGCCCACAUGUGUAAUACCACUCAAGACGCCAGCUGGCCGGGCGUUGCGUGCUAGUUCUGUCAAUUAGGGGCCGGGCCGCAGGGGGACAUACGCAUCUGCACACAGCCGGCGGCUCCAUGGUCGCGGCGUUGCCUGGAGUUGAGCUGCAGCUUUACUCCUCACACGAUUAAUGCAACGGAUUGCCUUGCACGCUUGCCCACAUGUGUAAUACCACUCAAGACGCCAGCUGGCCGGGCGUUGCGUGCUAGUUCUGUCAAUUAGGGGCCGGGCCGCAGGGGGACAUACGCAUCUGCACACAGCCGGCGGCUCCAUGGUCGCGGCGUUGCCUGGAGUUGAGCUGCAGCUUUACUCCUCACACGAUUAAUGCAACGGAUUGCCUUGCACGCUUGCCCACAUGUGUAAUACCACUCAAGACGCCAGCUGGCCGGGCGUUGCGUGCUAGUUCUGUCAAUUAGGGGCCGGGCCGCAGGGGGACAUACGCAUCUGCACACAGCCGUCAAUCACUGUUUAGCUUAUCUUACCGUCAGUCGACAAUUACGGUGCGGUAUCAACCAUACCACCAAGAAGAAUUAAUGAAUGUCCGAAUGAAUGCAUCAUAAAUAAAUCAUGCCAGUCCCAUUCAUCAGGGAUUUAUGAGGGAUCCGGAAUGCUCGUGUGCUGAAGCUGGGACUUCAGGUCUUGCACUAACGCCAAGUGUUGAUCUAACAGGAACACACUGCCUGCACACUCCUGCCUUUUUGCACGUGCCACACCGAGCUGCACCUGCACCACCUCGAGCCAACGUGCCAAUCGAGCCUUCUCCACCGUCAGAAUUCCUAGCUCUUCACCAGCCCGUGCCCGAUGCACAGCCGCCUCUAGGAAACGGCGGCCGUGGUACAUACGCUGUGCUGCGGUAGUAACACCCGGAGCACGCCAAGGUGGCUGGCUGCCUGGCUGGAACAGGCCGCGCACGUCGCUAUCCGUCAACCUAGCACCGUCUCCACCGUUACCAAACUGCUGCCAAACGUACAUCUCCUCCAGAGUGGCCCGCACCUGCCCACGCUUCCGCUGUGCGCUCUUCCGUGCGGUCUUCGCAGCCUUAUCAGCCGCGCCCGCCUGCCGCAGCUCCAGCUGCUGAAUCUCCAGCACAAGCUCCUCAACGCGGUCUUGGCACCUGUUAUUUGAAUGAUGGCGCCAAAUCGAGUGAACGGUUAACGGCUGGUUAAUAUUUCUAACCCAUGAAGGGACCUAGGUUUAAGGGUCACGAGCACGGGACUCAUGAACCGGCACUGCUUUUACAUGCCAAGACCCGAGCCCCAAAUAUUGAGUCCCACCACUUCCAAACCGCUCACCUGCUAACCUCCCGUUGUUUGAGGCGCGCUAAGGCGGCCGCAAAGUCAGGAAGGAGAGGAGUCUCCGUGCCAGAGGUGAUGGUGACAGCUGACUUGCGCCACUCCGCCGCUGCAGCUGGCCCCAGCUCAAGCUUGAGCUCCGCCUGCGCGAUGGCCUUGGCAGUGCGGGCUACUUGAGCAUCAGUGCUCGCGGCCGUCAAUGUGACGGCCGAUGGCGAUGAUACCACAGCCAACGCUGGAGCUUUGCGUUUCAGCUGUUUCAGCUCAACGUGGUGCAACAGCAGCUCCACGUACUCUACCUGUGGUGUGUGCGCAUAGCGGCAUGGCGUGACGUGGGGGCAUACACCGUGUGCUCGCCUGCUACCUGUUACAAAGACCUGCCGACUCUCCAUUCUCCUUACAACAUCCCAUACACACCGGCUUGGAGUCCUCCUCGUUGUCCACCUUCUUGCCUCGCAGCAGGUUGGCCUGCAUCCACUCCUCGGCUGCUGCCCAGACGUUCGUAAUACCACUGGCGUUGGCAGUUGCGGUUGCCUCCUCCUCGCGGCGUGUGUACUCAUCUGCGGCAAAGGAAGUGCAUACCGGAGCAUGUGCAUGUAAGCGACCUAAGGCUGAAGCGGGGUGCAGAUGUGAGCACCAGUCGUCCCACCGUAUAGCCGCUGCGUGUCCUUGUACUUGGUCUCCAGCAGGCGCACAAUGCGCUGCAACUUGUCCCGCCCGAGCACGGUGAGCAACGCCUCAAUGAAGUCGCGCCGAUGGUGCUUCGUCAUGUAGCGAACAAGGCCAGCAAUUGCCUGUAAGCCAGACCAAGGCGGGCAUGCGCAUCUCAGCACCUGAUCAUCUGACAAGCACCACAGGCCCAGGCGCAGCGCCCCGCACCUUUGUCUGGCUCCACAGUUGCUCCGUCUGCUCGCCAAUGCGCCGCCCCGCGUCCUGCUUGUACAAGCCGCUGUUGCUAAGCUGGCAUGCUAGGUCGUGGCCACUACCGUGCAGCCAGUUGACCAUGAUCCGUAGGCUCUUGGCCUCCUCCGGCAGAUCAGGAUGCGCAGCCACGUACACUCUGGGAAAAGGGGGGGUUGAAAUCCCCGGAAAAACAGGGGGUAGUUCCCCGGAAAAAUCUUCCCCGUAUGCUUUUCGAAGAAAGUAGGAGUUUGUACGGGGAAGUCCUUACGGGGAAGUGCUUACGGGCAAGUGAAGCCCUUUUACGGGAGAGUUCAGCACCCGAACGGGAAAGUUUUGGGAGCUGCUAACACACUUAGGAUCCACACUGUACACCACGCAAUACUGCGUUAUCUACGUUAUCCUUUUACGACACCGGCCACACACCUGCUCCUCGUUGACAAGUCCAUUACGCUCAUGCAACACUACACCAAACCGUAUGAUGUCUGCCUUAUGUGUAUGCGUGCAAACCUUAACGUGCAACAAUGACUAGCGCCAUCACUUGCGUGUCUGCUGGUACAAUGCAUCCGACAACCUUGAUGCCCACCUCCACCGCAGCCGCCACAUCUUCCUAUGACCAAACUCCGUCCUUGGCACCAUCAUGCCCGCCUCCACCCCUUGUGCUGCUGGACCAGCUGCUGCCCAUGCCGGAUCCUUAGUUGCGCCUCCACUGCCUGCUUGUUGGCUGUGUUACAUGGUUGCGCCUGCAUGCACGCGGCCACACAUACAUGUUACAGCUAGCCACAAACGGCAGAGACGACACCUUGCAGCCAAAGUCAGGGAGGCAGCGUAUAAGAGACAAAAGCCCUGUGCACGCAGGGUUGCCAAGGAACCACCUUACGGGCACCUCAGCAUCUCCGUCAUGCUUCACACCGAUUUACCCCACCACCUCCCACCAACACACACAACGACGCACAAAGACUGCGUCUGUGUAUGCCAACAUGUGUUGCGGACACUCACCGUUGCUGGGCACAAUAUUGGAGGUGUAGUGGCAGUCAGCCAGCCGUCUGGGGGACGGGUCCGGAGGGAAGCAGCAGGGGUUGGGUGUGCGAUGGGACAGGGUUGGGUACCAAGGUGUGGCAGGGCAGGGCAGCGGGCGGGUAUGUGACACGGGAUUAAGGUAUCAUGGCAAGGUAGCCACACAUAUAUGUUACUGCUCGUCAUUCCUCUGCCACAAACGGCAGAGACGACACAUUGCAGCCAAGGUCAGGGAGGCAGCGUAUAAGAGGCAAGAGCCCUGUGCACGCAGGGUUGCCAGGGAAUCACCUUCCGGCCACCUCAGCAUCGCUGUCAUGCUUCACACGGAUUACCCCACUACCUCCCACCAACACACACAACGACGCACAAGUACUGCGUCUAUGUAUGCCAACAUGUGUCGCGGACACUCACCGUUGCUGAGCACUAUGUCGGAGGUGUAGUGCCUGUCAGCCAGCCGUCUGGGGGACCGAUCCGUUGGGGAAGCAGCAGGGGUUGGGCGCCAAGGUGUGGCGGGGCAGGGCAGCGGGCGGGUACAUGACACGGGAUCAAGGUAUCGUGGCAAGGUAGCCAUAGAUGCCAACACCUUACAGGCAGGCAGGUAGGCAGCAAACAGUCAUUUGUUGAAGCCCCCCUCCCCCCGCCACACGCACACAUAGCGCGAGGAGGUGGACUUCAGCCACCUAAGCCGCCUAUGGCCCAGCACCUACGACAACUCCCUAAACCCAUCUCAUGAACUCACCCCAAAGAGCUCCUGAAACCGUUCCCAAGAGUGAGAGGUUGAAUCCUGCACAACACACAACACACGCGGGGUUGACGGGGGGCGGGCGGGCGGCACAUCACCGGCCGUUCGUGAGCGGCGUGCGGGUCCGGUGCUGCGACAUCCCGCUGCUGCUCAACCACACGGCCAGUUAACGCAUCCCAUUGUCAUUGCAACCUGUCGACUAACCUGGACGAACGUGUGUUGCCGGUAGUGUUGCAGAGCCAUGUUGGAUGGCGAUGAUGCGGGCGACCGAGAAGACAAACUUUGAAGCAAAGCUGAUACAAACGGACGCUGACUCGUAAACCUUACGUGACAGCUGGCUUCAGCUGACGUCUGAGCAGCGUCGCCGAGCCGGUCAACGAGUCAGCAGCGCGAGAAUUCGCGGCCCCAGUCAGCAAAGUAGCUACCGACAUUUGAGGUAGUCUUAACUUGUGUUCAAAACGCAAAUUAGCGAGGGAGAGCGGAGCAAGGGACAGCGACAUAAGUAAGUGCAACAGCUGCAGAACAGCUGAGACGAAAUGCACGUAUCAAGUAUAAGUAGGUACUAUCUUAUGUAUGCUACAAUAUUUACGUAAGUUAACACGCUUACACGCUUGUUGCUUGAAGUCAGGCUCGCGAAACCCCAUGCAGAUGCUCGCCGGUCGCCUUCCCCCCCCCCCCCCCCCGCCCCGCCCCCCCGCCCCGUUUCCAGUCCAUCAGCCUCUGCCGACUUUCCAAAUCCUCCCUGCCUACAUGCCUGUUCUCUGGGGUUGGGUGUGGAUGUGACAUUGGUGCCGCAAUGCCGCACCUUGUCCUACACCAGGCCCCGCCCCCCACCACCACCACCACCAACACACACACACACACACACACACACACACACACACACACACACACACACACACACACACACACACACACACACACACACACACACACACACACACACACACACACACACACACACACACACACACACACACACACACACACACACACACACACACACACACACACACACACACACACACACACACACACACACACACACACACACACACACACACACAUGCGCGUUUGUUUGCCAGCUGUUUGCGCCUGACAACUCAGGUCACCGGCUGCACCAGCCACACAACCCAGACAGGAAAGAGUUCCGGUGAACCUCCGUGCAGUUCCGGGUUGGGUUGAAGUGGGGUGGGAUGGGGUCGACUGCGUGCAUUAUGGAACAAACCCUAAGGGCCUUGAUGAGCUUGAAAUUAAGGGAGCCUGCACAUAUGCGAGCACAAAUCCGCCAGCAGCAGAGACGUGGGGGUUCCGGGGAACCCCGGCUACGGGGAAGUUUUGCCCCCCUUCCGGGAAAGUUUUGGCCCCUUACGGGAAAGUUCAGCAUUUUUCCGGGAACGGAUUUUUUUCCGGGGAAGACCUUUUCCCAGAGUGGUAUUGCUGCCAUGUGCUGCUGAGCCGGCAACCAAAAUCUAUGUAGACGUCAGCUAGAUCCUGGCGCUGCGUCACGAGGUGGUCUAGCAUGAGCAGGUAAUAAGCAAACUGCUCUGGGGUGCGCAGGUCGCAGAAAACUUCCCUAACCGGCAGCCCGUGCAUGCAGACUGCCCCGACCACACCAUGCACGUCGCAUGCCCCGGUUGCCGCAGAGUCCGCGCGAGCACAGUGCAGUGACGUCUGGCAUUCGCACGCACCCUCACUGCGCGCAUCGGCCGCUGCAUUGCUGGGCAAGUCCUUCACUACCGCCUGCAGAUUGAGCUGUCCCGCCUCGAAGAGCUGCUGCACCUCCGCAUCCACGGCACCGAAGUGGCCAGACAGCUGCGGAGGAAUGCCCGAGCUGGCAAUGCCACAGCUGGCGAAAUGCCCCAGCUUCGUGACUGCAUCUGCUGCUACUCCAAGGCGGUAGGGGUGGGCGGUAUCUGUGUGGUGGGAGGCAACGGAAACACCUGAACAAGUAGCAGCAAGGCUAACCUAUGGCUAACCGGAAUAACCAGGAAUAGUGUCACCCGCAGCAUCGUUGGCCACCCACUUGCGGUUGCAGAGCAGACGGGGCAUCCGCUGAACGGGCCCUGGUCCAGGCCCUCCACGCCCAGCGCCCCAAAGCUGUCGUGAUUGUGAGACGCCCGCAAGUGGCCGAAAAACGAGCCCAGGUACUGGCGGUCGUCCAAGCCCGUCCCGCUGAACUCCGCCAGGAAUUCUGUGAAGUCUGUAUCCAGAGGGCAGGUAUCAGCACAUAUGUACCUGAGCCUCGAGCUGGCUAACAUCGGCGAAUCCAACCGUGCACACACAUGGUUGCCCCUGCUUGCCGCCCGCACUAACCUGAUGCAGAAAGGCCUGCACGAAGCCCGAGCCACGCGUAGGCGUUGUGUACCUCCAGAUCAUACAGCGUGUCAUACUCCGUGGGCGUGCUGGGAAAGCACCCGGCAGCAAUUGCGUCCGGCGUAAAAGCGGCCCCACAGCUGCACGUAACCGUCGGCACGCUCACCACUCCGCUGCACUGCAGGCCAAUGUACCGCACGUUGUUGUACGUGGUGCACGACGUAGCUGACGUUGUGCACGCGUGCGCUGCCUGCCACGACGCCGCAAGCGCAUCGAAGCGCUGUUGCGCCUGCUCUAAUAAGAGCUUCCGUCGCAACAACCGCUGCUCGUUUAAUGCAGCCGCUUGCUGCAUGAAAGUGAUGCGCAUCUGCUCUGCGUAUUUUGCCCAGGCAGCCUCAAGGCGCUCCUGCCGCUCAGUCCAUGGCACAUGCUUGCGGGAUCCAGGCCCCCCUGAAUCAAACUGUGCCUGCUGAUCUCCUGAGGACUCCCCACGAGCUGCAGCUGACCGUGCCCUAGGCUUCGGCAGCCGGGGACCCGGUUCGGCGGCAUCCCGCUCGCAGCGCUCUGAAGGUACUUUGCGCUGAGGCUUUUCUGGAGGCGGGGCGGUUGACGAACCAUAUGUUGUUAAUUUAUCAGACCGGUGGUGUUUAGACAUUGCAGUAAGGAACCGGCCUGCCGAAGCGGAUAUGAGCUGUUGUAAGAAAGGCCUUGUAUGCAGGACCGGAAUCGGACAGGCAUAAGGUAGCAAGCAGCAGGCGGGCGUUGCAGAGGGGAGUGAGGGGGCCGCGCGCUGUGUGUAUGGCACGCAACGCGAGUGUGUUGGCGAGUGAUACUAGAACUGCAGAAUGGCAGGUGAUACUAGAACUGCAGAAUGGUUGUAAAACACAACAGCAUAACAACCCGGCGAAUGUUUUCGCCCUCUUGUGGCCCGCUUUUUCGCGUGACUGGACAACCAGAAACGGCCAUACACAAAAGACAAGACGCGCAGUAAUCCUAAGCUGUCUCCUUGCAGUAUUACGUGUCAUUUUUGCUGAUAAAAUCAGAAAGCGAGGCGGAGCGUGGUCGGGGUGGGCGAGCACCUUCGGCACGUCAGAGAAAGCUCGACAAGACAGCGCAAAUUGCUUCUAAACUUUGUGCUUGAGCUUCUAUUAUACAUUUGGAUGGUUGUUGCUGCGGCCGCGCAGGUUUUCGCUGCUCGCCGUGCCAGGAUUUCCGGAGCCGGCUCCAGUCCGCCCCCGCUGGCCUGGAGCCCGUCCACACCCCAACCGUCCCCAAACGCGCCGCGAGUCCCCAAACAAGCUUAACAUCACAUAUCUAUAAACAUUUGAGGCUGUUGAACGGGCUGUGAGGGCUUGCGGCUGAUAGGUGCCGCUUCCGCGCCAUCCGAUGCACUGCAGGCUAAAAUGCUAGCGCGCCAGGGUGGGAUACGUGCGCCCGAUCACUAAUGGUGACAAGUAUGUAUAACGUUGUGGUAGUGUGGCGGUCGGGCAACGAGUACACGUCCGCAGAAGCUUGUUUGGGCGGAGCCGGCUCCCGGCCGCGCCCUCUGGCCGGGGGGCUGCCGUCGCCCAGACAAGAGCCCUGCGUGCGCUUCUGCCCGCCAAGCAGUAUUUUCUGGCAACAUUCACUGGUAUAAUGCCACCAGUGUGCUGCAGACUAGUUCUGCGCUUGGCCGGAGAGAGCUCCGGGCGCAGCCUCGCUGUUGGUCAAACCAGCAGCAAGUGCGCCCUGAGCGCUCGGCCACAGGGCAGCAUCUACAUUAUUUGAUGAUACGCGUGGCAUUGUGGAAGUGGGAUUGGUAUAGAGCCGGAGGCGAGGCCCAAGCAGCGCCAGCGAGAACAAGACAACUGCUGACUGCUGUAAUGGAUGCAUAGACAAACGUGCGUCAGCACAGACUAGUACUGUCACAUGUAACACUUCAACUAUUGUCAAGGCGCCUGCCUCGUCCACCCUGCAUGAGGUGACCCUGGAACCAACCCCCGCGCUCCGGCGCUCGGACCUUGGCCUCGCUUACAGUCCUGCGCUACUGUAAAACCGUAAAACAUCUAGGUUUGACUUUAUUUUAUAGAAUGCAUUCAUGGCCUUCCCUGAGGAGUUUUCUGAAGAAGUCAUAGACGAAGAAGAAGUGCCUACUACAUCGUUAGGUUCAGAGUAUUUGCCAGGUAGUGCUGAUCAGGAAGAGGAGGAGGAGGAGGAGGAGGAGGAGGAGGAGACUUCGGAGGGGAAACAAGGCACUGGAGAACUGGAGCGGCCCAGCGAAGUCGUCGCAGCUCAACCCGAGGUGCACUUUAACAAUGGCGAAGCUACCGGUAAGCUUCUGUGUGCAAUCGGCUUUUUACAUUCGCGGCCAACCCCCGAUGCCCGACCUGAACUCUCAACAGCGCGCGCGGAAGCGGACUGCCAUGCGGAGCAACGCGGUCAAGACGAGUCACACGGGGAUGAAGGCAUGGGUGAGGUUACUGGGACUAUGGCAGUGCGCAUUUUUGACUUGUUUAACUUCUGCCACCUCAUACCUCGACCGCAGCGACGGGAGCGAUGGCAGAACCGCCUCCUGGUGGGCCGCUUCCCCACCAGCACGCGGAUGGCGAUGACCAAGAUAUGGAAGAUGAAGGAGCGGGUGAGGCAUGAGAUGGCAGCUUGGCAAAUGCGCGCGUGCCACACACAGAUGCUGAGCUUCCGAUUCUUGCCCCUCGUGAUCCUCACACACAGGCACGACGUCUCAAUGGCUGCAAAGCCUGCUGUCCUUCUUUGAACUCCUGAUGCAGGCGCCCCAAAGGCAGCAGAGGCGGAUAACGGCAGAGAUCGAAGGGCAGCUACAGCCGGAGCAGAUUAGAGCCCUGGCGCUCUUAAGCGACAAGCUGCAGCAGCUGCGCCCACGUGUGCGCACCUGCCAGCCUGCGCCUGCCAGGCAGUCUGAGCCGGUGACGGCGGCGGUGGUAGCGGACACGUCAGAGGCCGCAGGGUUGAGCAGAGGCGCUUCAGAAACGGGCGGAGAUGAGGCUGCCGCCAUGCACCCAGGCGGAGGCGACGGGCCCAGCAGCAGGGGCGGGGGGAGUGGCCACGCAGCAGCAGCAGCAGCUCGGACCAAAUACCCGCAACGCACGGACCAGCAGAAGCGGCACCGCUCAGCUGAGGAGUACGUGGAGCAUACCUGGGAUCGUUUGGCUACACAGCAUGACAAGCACGUGGCGCGGGGGAAAGGGGAGCUGGCGACCUUGGGCUUGGCUGCGGAUGCAGAACAUGGUGUGAAAUCGUACACGACGCACGCAAUGCCCAUCCGGAUUUUAUUUGAUCUGCGCAGCAUCACCGUCCGCGAGCUCUACGAGAUGUAUGAGCGCGCGGGGCAACUUGACACGACGACCGUGAUGGACGUGAUCGAGCACAUUAUGGUGACGGCCAUUCAGAACGACACCCGCCCCGUCCAAGGUGAAGGUAAGCGGCACGGACAGAGGCUGGGAAUGAGGGAGCCAAGGAUCGUGGGAGUAAAGUGAGCGAGGGGGGAGCAUGGUUGCCUCGCACUUAAUGCCGCACCCGUGUAAUUCCCGUCGUGGUCUUGUGGGCUCAGAGCUCAGCGAGGCGCAGCUUCUGCCAGCGCUGAAACUUCAGACCAGCACCUGGAACAAGGAGUCGGCGCGCUGGCUUGGAACGUCCCUCUACAACAUGCUAAAGACGGUGCGGGAGCGCCUGACUGAGAAGUUGAAGGUGCGUUUGGCAUUGUACAGUAUAGUUGCCCGGUAGAGAUUAUGAGCGCUCCUCCACGGAUGUCUGUGCGCCCUCACUUCGUUCCUUCCGCCUUUGCAUGCAUGCAGGUGGGGCUGCCGGCGCCGCCAACAGUCGCAGCAGUGCCGCAGGCGUCCCCGGAGGCGGCGCCGGCUACGGACAGCGGCACGGCGGGCUUGGAGCUGGAGGCAGGCGGCACUGCGGCAGCCGCGGCGGCGGCGGUGGGCGUGGACGCCCCCACUGAUGGCGCGAGAGCCGAGCUGCAGGUACGUGAGGCUGCUUUGGCUGUUGAGGGCUGCUGCUGGUGUGCAUGAAGGCACUUGCGGUGUGUUAGGUCUUCCUACCUGUGGCUGUGGCAUGCAUGCGGCCCAGCGCCACGUGCACCCUUCAGUUCUCCGGACGUCUGUGCACCCUCACUUCGUUCCUUUCGCCUUUGCAUGCAUGCAGGUGGGGCUGCCGGCGCCGCCAACAGCCGCAGCAGUGCCGCAGGCGUCCCCGGAGGCGGCGCCGGCUACGGACAGCGGCACGGCGGGCUUGGAGCUGGAGGCAGGCGGCAUUGCGGCAGCCGCGGCGGCGGCGGUGGGCGUGGACGCCCCCACUGACGGCGCGAGAGCCGAGCUGCAGGUACGUGAGGCUGCUUUGGCUGUUGAGGGCUGCUGCUGGUGUGCAUGAAGGCACUUGCGGUGUGUUAGGUCUUCCUACCUGUGGCUGUGGCAUGCAUGCGGCCCAGCGCCACGUGCACCCUUCAGUUCUCCGGACGUCUGUGCACCCUCACUUCGUUCCUUCCGCCUUUGCAUGCAUGCAGGUGGGGCUGCCGGCGCCGCCAACAGCCGCAGCAGUGCCGCAGGCGUCCCCGGAGGCGGCGCCGGCUACGGACAGCGGCACGGCGGGCUUGGAGCUGGAGGCAGGCGGCACUGCGGCAGCCGCGGCGGCGGCGGUGGGCGUGGACGCCCCCACUGACGGCGCGCUAACCAUGCAGCGCGUGGAUGUGUUCAGGACCGCCCUAGCGUCUCUGGACACCAAGAUGCGUCGAGGGUCCCGCAGUAUCCAUGCUGAAAAGUGGAGGCAAGAGGUGCUGCCAUUGCUCUUUGAGAUCUACAUCCGCCGGGUGUUUUUGAAGGGCCUGCUGUGGGACUUUCUGCAUUACUCGGCGACAAUCAGUUCGAAUGUGCCACCCGGCUCCCGGGACAAGCUCCCCAGCCUUCGCCACAUGAGCAACCUAGUGAUCAUGCGAGGGCACACUCGUGGGUCGGCACUGGAGGCCGUUCGGCGUGCCAACCCUGGCUUGAUGAAGGACUGGGUGAAAGCCGCCAACGCAGGCGGCGGCCGCAGGCGGCAUGCAGCCGAGGAGGACCUGGACGGCGACGACGGCGGUGUGGGCCACGACGGCGAGGGCCGGGGCGGCGAGGCCCACGCUACCCACGCCGAGGAGGAUGACCAGCCGCCGCAGACCACGGGCCGGCGAAAACGCCGCGGUGGCGGGGCAGCUGCUGCGGCGGGGCGAGGCCGCAGAACCAGCAGGCGGGGCCGCGGCAUUCAGGGCGGCGGAGACGGCGACGGUGGCGAGCUGGAGCCUGGCCCUGGCGACGUGUCGGCCGACGCCUCCGGUGACGGCAUCGGCGGCGAGGCCCACGCUACCCACGCUGAGGAGGAUGACCAGCCGCCGCAGACCACGGGCCGGCGAAAACGCCGCGGUGGCGGGGCAGCUGCUGCGGCGGGGCGAGGCCGCAGAACCAGCAGGCGGGGCCGCGGCAUUCAGGGCGGCGGAGACGGCGACGGUGGCGAGCUGGAGCCUGGCCCUGGCGACGUGUCGGCCGACGCCUCCGGUGACGGCAUCGGCGGCGAGGCCCACGCUACCCACGCUGAGGAGGAUGACCAGCCGCCGCAGACCACGGGCCGGCGAAAACGCCGCGGUGGCGGGGCAGCUGCUGCGGCGGGGCGAGGCCGCAGAACCAGCAGGCGGGGCCGCGGCAUUCAGGGCGGCGGAGACGGCGGCGGUGGCGAGCUGGAGCCUGGCCCUGGCGACGUGUCGGCGGACGCCUCUGGUGACGGCAUCGGCGGCGAGGCCCACGCUACCCACGCCGAGGAGGAUGACCAGCCGCCGCCGACCACGGGCCGGCGAAAACGCCGCGGUGGCGGGGCAGCUGCUGCGGCGGGGCGAGGCCGCAGAACCAGCAGGCGGGGCCGCGGCAUUCAGGGCGGCGGAGACGGCGGCGGUGGCGAGCUGGAGCCUGGCCCUGGCGACGUCGGCUGCGACGCCCACACUACCCACGCCGAGGAGGAUGAGCAGCCGCUGCGGACCAUGGCAGCUGAUGAGGCGGGGCGAGGCCCCAGCACCAGCAGGCCGGGCCGCGGCAUUCAGGGCGGUGGAGACGGCGGCGGUGGCGAGCUGGAGCCUGGCCCUGGCGACGUCGGCUGCGAGGCCCACACUACCCACGCCGAGGAGGAUGAGCAGCCGCUGCGGACCAUGGCAGCUGAUGAGGCGGGGCGAGGCCCCAGCACCAGCAGGCCGGGCCGCGGCAUUCAGGGCGGUGGAGACGGCGGCGGUGGCGAGCUGGAGCCUGGCCCUGGCGACGUGUCGGCGGACGCCUCCGGUGAUGGCAUCGGCGGCGGCGGUGGUGGUGGCGAGCCGGGCUCUGGCCCUGGCGACAUGUCGGAUGCUGAGCCCCAGGCUGAGGCCGUCAUCAUGAGGGGUACCGCCAUGGCUGUACGAGUUCCGCAGGUGCGUUGGCUUCAUGUGCCAGCUUAUUCCCCUGACUUCAGCCCCUAUCCCUCUUCCUCCUUUCCUUACACCCUACAUCCAUGCCUUGACACGCAGGCGCUGAAGCGUCCAGCUGGUGUGACAAAGGCCGGGCGUAAAUGGUUCAAGGCGGAUGUCAACAUCCACGCGCACUUGGUACGAGAGCAGUGGCAACCUGCAGCGCAGCCUGGGGCUGCAGGCACAGGGACAUGCCUGCAGUACUGCAAAUACGUGUGGUCGUUGGGCCCGUACGCCGAGGACAAGCUGCCUAAGGAGCCCUUGCCUAAAACGCGGAAGUACUGGCGGACACGCUCGCAGCCACGCUUGCAGCAGCACUCGCAGCAGCACGUGCAGCAGCACUCAGAGCAGCACUCAGAGCAGCACUCGGAGCAGCCUGGACCCUCCAUGUCUACAGCGUCGGCCUCCGAGCAGCAGUCACCCAGUGUUCACAAGUACCCCACGCGGCUCAAGCGGAAGGCCAACACUCUGGCCCCCAUCUUGGAGGAAGUAAGCCAGCCGACACCGGACCGCAACACCAGCCCAAGACGCAAGGUAUGCAGGGCUGUGCAUCCGUUGCUUCUUCCAUGUUCGUUGGCCACUACGUGAUUAACUGUAUUACCGUAGGCAAAGGAUGGCACAACCAACAACGGCACCAAUGGGGCCAGCGGCACUGGUGACACCAUGAUGAACGGUCACGAGACGUGGGAGCACAACAAGAGGCUGGCGGUGCUGGCGCAGCGCCUGGCGGACCCCGAGGACCUGGAGCCAUCCCGCAAGCGCCACAAGAGCCCUACGCCGCAGGAGUAUCUGCACAUGCAGUUCGGCGUGAGUAGGGGCCUGUGCAAGCAUGCGGGGGUGCAUUGGUAGCAGACGUGGUAUUGGCUGUACUGUUACAAUUGCACCGCGUUCACCUCAACCACGUCUUCACCACAGAGCUACGGCGCAUUCCUGGAGCAAAAGUAUGGUGGUGGGGUCGACGAUGAGGACAACGCACCGCUGCCCGACUACGAGCCGCCUGUGUUCAGAGAGAGUGAGACAGGGACGAAAGCAACCAUAGGGGCUCCACUUUCGAUCUUUGGUGAUGCGGGUUACGCAGUUGUUCUCGUAUCCAAUUCGCAGACUUGAGCGAGGCAGAGGCGGCGGAAUUGGACGCGACGCGGCCGGCCAGGCUGGCGAUAGCAAACGCUGCGCGCCUCAGGGCGGGCGAGGCAGGUGAGCGCAGUGGGCGGCGCCUGUCGGCGGCAGCGGCCGUGGUGCGGGUAUGCUGUGGCCACUCGUGGAGGGCCAGCGUGCAGCACACUCAGGUCAUGUCUUGAGCUUUGCACAGUUUGCUUGCGAUGCGAGGGGCGGCCACCCGUGUGCUUGGGCUUGAUUCAGUGCCCUCCCGCUCGCCCACCGUGCAGGCGCCGGCACCAGCUGCGCGCCAACCUCUGCACCCUCAUCGGCUACCGUGUCGGCUGCACAACUGGCUGUGGCGGCGGCGGCGGGUGGGGCUGCAGCGCCGCGCGCCCGGAGCGCGGGCGGGACGAUCAGGGCAGGUGCGGACAGUGGGCGGCUAGUUGUUGUGGCGACGGUGCGGGUAUGCCGUCGCGAAGAGUGAAGGGCCAGCGUGCAGCACAUUCAGGACAUGUCUUUGGCUCUGCGCAAUGCCUUGCGAUCCGGUGGGCGGCCGCCCGUGUGCUUGCACUUAAGUCAGCGCCCUCCCGCUCUCCCACUGCGCAGGCAGCGGCAGCGGCGCGCCCACACCAGCGCCUGUGCAGGCGGCGCCGCCGGCGGCGGGUGGGGCUGCCGCGCCGCGCGCCCGGAGCGCGGGCGGGGUGGGCGGAGCAGGUGCGGACAGUGGACGGCUAGUUGUUGUGGCGACGGUGCGGGUAUGCCGUCGCCAAGGUGAAGGGCCAGCGUGCGGCACACUCAGGACAUGCCUUGAGCUUUGCGCACGUGCUUGCGAUCCGAGGGGCGGCCGCCCGUGUGCUUGCACUUGAGUCAGCGCCCGCCCGCUCUCCCACCGCGCAGGCAGCGGCACCAGCUGCGCGCCAACCUCUGCACCCUCAGCGGCUACGGUGUCGGCUGCACAACUGGCGGUGGCGGCGACGAUGGCUAAGGCGGCGGAACCGCGCGAUGGGAGCGCGGGCGGGACGAUCAGGGCAGGUGCGGACAGUGGGCGGCUAGUUGUUGUGGCAGCGGUGCGGGUAUGCCGCCGCCAAGAGUGAAAGGCCAGCGUGCGGCACACUCAGGACAUGCCUUAAGCUUAGCGCACGUGCAUGCGAUCCGAGGGGCGGCCGCCCGUGUGCUUGGGCUUGACUCAGUGCCCUCCCGCUCGCCCACCGCGCAGGCAGCGGCACCAACUGCGCGCCAACCUCUGCACCCUCAGCGGCUACGGUGUCGGCUGCACAACUGGCGGUGGCGGCGGAGGCGGCUGGGGCUGCAGCGCUGGGCGCUGGGAGCGCGGGCGGGACGAUCAGGGCAGGUGCGGACAGUGGACGGCUAGUUGUUGUGGCGACGGUGCGGGUAUGCCGUCGCCAAGAGUGAAGUGCCAGCGUGCGGCACACUCAGGACAUGCCCUAAGCUUUGCGCACGUGCUUGCGAUCCGAGGGGCGGCCGCCCGUGUGCUUGCACUUGAGUCAGCGCCCUCCCGCUCUCCCACCGCGCAGGCAGCGGCACCAGCUGCGCGCAAACCUCUGCACCCUCAGCGGCUACGGUGUCGGCUGCACAACUGGCGGUGGCGGCGGCGGCGGCUGGGGCUGCAGCGCUGGGCGCUGGGAGCGCGGGCGGGACGGUCAGGGCAGGUGCGGACAGUGGGCGGCUAGUUGUUGUGGCAGCGGUGCGGGUAUGCCGCCGCCAAGAGUGAAAGGCCAGCGUGCGGCACACUCAGGACAUGCCCUAAGCUUUGCGCACGUGCAUGCGAUCCGAGGGGCGGCCGCCCGUGUGCUUGGGCUUGACUCAGUGCCCUCCCGCUCGCCCACCGCGCAGGCAGCGGCAUCAGCUGCGCGCCAACCUCUGCACCCUCAGCGGCUACGGUGUCGGCUGCACAACUGGCGGUGGCGGCGGAGGCGGCUGGGGCUGCAGCGCUGGGCGCUGGGAGCGCGGGCGGGACGAUCAGGGCAGGUGCGGACAGUGGACGGCUAGUUGUUUUGGCGACGGUGCGGGUAUGCCGUCGCCAAGAGUGAAGUGCCAGCGUGCGGCACACUCAGGACAUGCCUUGAGCUUUGCGCACGUGCUUGCGAUCCGAGGGGCGGCCGCCCGUGUGCUUGCACUUGAGUCAGCGCCCUCCCGCUCUCCCACCGCGCAGGCAGCGGCACCAGCUGCGCGCCAACCUCUGCACCCUCAGCGGCUACGGUGUCGGCUGCACAACUGGCGGUGGCGGCGACGAUGGCUAAGGCGGCGGAACCGCGCGCUGGGAGCGCGGGCGGGACGAUCAGGGCAGGUGCGGACAGUGGGCGGCUAGUUGUUGUGGCAGCGGUGCGGGUAUGCCGCCGCCAAGAGUGAAAGGCCAGCGUGCGGCACACUCAGGACAUGCCUUAAGCUUUGCGCACGUGCAUGCAAUCCGAGGGGCGGCCGCCCGUGUGCUUGCACUUGACUCAGUGCCCUCCCGCUCGCCCACCGCGCAGGCAGCGGCAUCAGCUGCGCGCCAACCUCUGCACCCUCAGCGGCUACGGUGUCGGCUGCACAACUGGCGGUGGCGGCGGCGGCGGCUGGGGCUGCAGCGCUGGGCGCUGGGAGCGCGGGCGGGACGAUCAGGGCAGGUGCGGACAGUGGGCGGCUAGUUGUUGUGGCAGCGGUGCGGGUAUGCCGUCGCCAAGUGUGGAGGGCCAGCGUGCGGCACACUCAGGACAUGCCUUUAGCUUUGCGCACGUGCAUGCGAUCCGAGGGGCGGCCGCCCGUGUGCUUGGGCUUGACUCAGUGCCCUCCCGCUCGCCCGCCGCGCAGGCAGCGGCACCAACUGCGCGCCAACCUCUGCACCCUCAGCGGCUACGGUGUCGGCUGCACAACUGGCGGUGGCGGCGGAGGCGGCUUGGGCUGCAGCGCUGGGCGCUGGGAGCGCGGGCGGGACGAUCAGGGCAGGUGCGGACAGUGGGCGGCUAGUUGUUGUGGCAGCGGUGCGGGUAUGCCGCCGCCAAGAGUGAAAGGCCAGCGUGCGGCACACUCAGGACAUGCCUUAAGGUUUGCGCACGUGCAUGCGAUCCGAGGGGCGGCCGCCCGUGUGCUUGGGCUUGACUCAGUGCCCUCCCGCUCUCCCACCGCGCAGGCAGCGGCAGCGGCGCGCCAACCUCUGCACCCUUAGCGGCUACGGUGUCGGCUGCACAACUGGCGGAGGCAGCGGAGGCGGCUGGGGCUGCAGCGCUGCACGUGCGGGCGGCAGCGGCGGCGGCCGCGGCGCUGGCAGCGGCGGCGGCUGCAGGGCCGCACACGGUCCUUGACGGCAGAGGCGGGGUUUUGGGCCCCCGAUGGCGCUUGAUUGGCCUGCUGGUGCCUGUGGAACCUCUGGCAGAUGAGGUUCUAAUUGCUGCCAACGGCGGAAUGUCGGAGACAGUCCUGGCGGAGGCCCAUCCCCCGGAGUCAAGGUCGUUCUGGCUUCAGAACCUGUUUCGGCCUGGAGCACGCCUAGAUGAGGUGCGCUGUGGCUGUACAAGUCAGCACGAUGCUGUUGUGUGCUCGGCUGCUAACUCUGCUUGCGUGUGCAGGUUAUGAUCACCGACAAACAGGUCACGCUACAACGGCAGGAAGUCCAGAAGUUCGCAAAAGGAUCCUCGCUUGGCGAUAAUGUCAUGUGCCGCUUCAUUCACGGCGCACAGGUACUGUUUCGUUGGGGUUCUCAUUUGAAGUCAUGGUGACGGACCCCCAUUCUCCUUCAUUCAGGCCCGCGACACGCGGCUGCGUGCGGACAAAGACGCAGCUGCUGCGGCACGGGCAGCGGCCGAGGCAUCGGCAGCUGCCGCGGGAGCCCCAGUCAAGGACGUGUACCUACCGCAAUGCCACUUUCUGUACACGUACUUCUACAACCGGCUGUAUGCGGUACGACGUUUUGCAUCCAGGAGUGUAGUCAUCGCCCUCUAACCUGUACUUACUUCUGCAGGAUGAGGGCAAGUACUGCUACGACAACGUGAAAAAGUGGACGACACCAAAAAGGCUCAAGGUGGCCGGGCAGGUGUGUCGAAGAGUCUCAGAUGACACGCAUGCAUCUCCUCACUCCUUGCUACUCGCAGUACACCCCCGACAUGAGCAUCUUGCGGCUGGACCGCAUCUUCGUCCCCGUGCACCACGGCAUGCACUACACGUGUGCCGAGGUGGACCUGCGGGCACACGAGCUGCGGUACUAUGACCCACUCAUGCGCGUGGUAAGUGACAGUCACGUGCCAGUAUUUGCUGCGUGUGCUUCGUUAAGCCAUGGUUUCAUUCAGGUACCUCUGAAAAAGAAGGACGCCAAGGACGCCGAGGAGGACGCCAAGGUCGCCGAUGACGCCGCAUGGGCACUGGGAGUCGAGGUGCUGGGGAAUCUGGCGCAGUGGGUGGAGGACGAGGCCAAGGACAAGCUGGGCGUGGAUCUGGAGGACGCGGACGACCAACGGUACGUAUCUUUGCUUGAGAUGCUGUGGGAGGGGUGAGGAGGGCAGGGAGGAGGGCUGUGCGUGCGUGUCCAUGUGGGUCAGUGCGGGUGCACGGAACACACGUGGCACUGCAUGACGUAUGUAGUUCGUGCCUGGUUACGGUAAACUCACAGGUGGCGAGCCACAGAGUGGCAGCGUACGUAUCUGGUGGCGCCACGGCAGAGAGACGGGACAAACGACUGCGGCAUCUUCGCCAUGAUGUACAUGAUGCGCCGCAGCGCCGGCCGGCCGCUGGACUUUGGCGAGGCGGACAUGGACAGGUUGCGUGUGGAGCUGGCCUACAUGCUGUGGCAGGGAGCUGUCCUGUAGCGGCGGUCAAAUAGGAGAGAAGCGGGCAACGGUGUAUUUGGACAGUGGCUGGAAAGUUUGUAAGGGGGGUCGCUUAGGUGCACACGGUUUACAAGUUUACUGAGUGCAUGAUUUGCAUGGCGGCACGGAAAUACAGACUUCACAGGUUUUGCCACAUAAGCUGGGAGAUUUAAGUUAUGAGCGGGCGGCGGGCUUGGGAGACUGAAGUGCAGUUGCCGGUGCAAACCAAUCGCUCCACGGCUCGACAGGGCGUGAACUCCACAAGUGAUUCAGUGUUAGGCUCGUUCCGUGUAGAUUCACACGAAAGCGCCAGAACACGCACGGCACAGCAGCGAUGCCAAGCGACUGGGGAGUGGGUGAGGGAAGGAGUGUGUCAGGUGGGAGGGCGUGAACUCCACAAGUGAUUAAGUGUUAGGCUCGUUCCGUGCAGAUUCACACGAAAGCGCCAGAACACGCACGGCGCAGCAGCGAUGCCAAGCGAUUGGGGAGUGGGUGAGGGAAGGAGUGUGUCAGGUGGGAGGGCGUGAACUCCACAAGUGAUUAAGUGUCAGGCGCGUUCCGUGCAGAUUCACACGAAAGCGCCAGAACACGCACGGCACAGCAGCGAUGCCAAGCGACUGGGGAGUGGGUGAGGGAAGGAGUGUGUCAGGUGGGAGGGCGUGAACUCCACAAGUGAUUAAGUGUUAGGCUCGUUCCGUGCAGAUUCACACGAAAGCGCCAGAACACGCACGGCGCAGCAGCGAUGCCAAGCGAUUGGGGAGUGGGUGAGGGAAGGAGUGUGUCAGGUGGGAGGGCGUGAACUCCACAAGUGAUUAAGUGUUAGGCGCGUUCCGUGCAGAUUCACACGAAAGCGCCAGAACACGCACGGCACAGCAGCGAUGCCAAGCGACUGGGGAGUGGGUGAGGGAAGGAGUGUGUCAGGUGGGAGGGCGUGAACUCCACAAGUGAUUAAGUGUUAGGCUCGUUCCGUGUAGAUUCACACGAAAGCGCCAGAACACGCACGGCACAGCAGCGAUGCCAAGCGACUGGGGAGUGGGUGAGGGAAGGAGUGUGUCAGGUGGGAGGGCGUGAACUCCACAAGUGAUUAAGUGUUAGGCUCGUUCCGUGCAGAUUCACACGAAAGCGCCAGAACACGCACGGCGCAGCAGCGAUGCCAAGCGAUUGGGGAGUGGGUGAGGGAAGGAGUGUGUCAGGUGGGAGGGCGUGAACUCCACAAGUGAUUAAGUGUCAGGCGCGUUCCGUGCAGAUUCACACGAAAGCGCCAGAACACGCACGGCACAGCAGCGAUGCCAAGCGACUGGGGAGUGGGUGAGGGAAGGAGUGUGUCAGGUGGGAGGGCGUGAACUCCACAAGUGAUUAAGUGUUAGGCUCGUUCCGUGCAGAUUCACACGAAAGCGCCAGAACACGCACGGCGCAGCAGCGAUGCCAAGCGAUUGGGGAGUGGGUGAGGGAAGGAGUGUGUCAGGUGGGAGGGCGUGAACUCCACAAGUGAUUAAGUGUCAGGCGCGUUCCGUGCAGAUUCACACGAAAGCGCCAGAACACGCACGGCACAGCAGCGAUGCCAAGCGACUGGGGAGUGGGUGAGGGAAGGAGUGUGUCAGGUGGGAGGGCGUGAACUCCACAAGUGAUUAAGUGUUAGGCUCGUUCCGUGCAGAUUCACACGAAAGCGCCAGAACACGCACGGCGCAGCAGCGAUGCCAAGCGAUUGGGGAGUGGGUGAGGGAAGGAGUGUGUCAGGUGGGAGGGCGUGAACUCCACAAGUGAUUAAGUGUCAGGCGCGUUCCGUGCAGAUUCACACGAAAGCGCCAGAACACGCACGGCACAGCAGCGAUGCCAAGCGACUGGGAAGUGGGUGAGGGAAGGAGUGUGUCAGGUGGGAGGGCGUGAACUCCACAAGUGAUUAAGUGUUAGGCUCGUUUCGUGCAGAUUCACACGAAAGCGCCAGAACACGCACGGCGCAGCAGCGAUGCCAAGCGAUUGGGGAGUGGGCGAGUGCCACCAGCAACGGGAGCAGACUGCAUAGUCGGAGACAACAUUUAUGAUGAAAGCUUUCAUCUUUACAGUGUGUCCCAGUUCUCUCUCUCUUUCUCUCUCUCUCUCACACACACACUGACACACACACUGACACACACACCAAAGUCCCAACUUCCAGCCAGCCAGCAACUUCUCGGUACAGUAACUCCGGCGUUCGACCAGCCAUGCACUUCUGCUCUGCCGCUGCAAAUUGUUUGCUGUCUGCUUGGGGUAUGGGCGUCAGCUGCACCCUACGGGACCUCGCCAACCUGCCUAAACCCUGUCCCAUCACGCACACACCGCAGUUUCCUCGCACAAAACUAGAAACGUAAUGUUCACGUAAUGCCCCCACCCACACACCCUCAUGCAGCACAUGAGAAAUGUCAGCUAGUGUGAAUGCAAAUGCAAGACAUGCUCGGGAGGUAUGGACUGGCCUAUUACGGCUGUGCUCGGACAUCAACACACACUGCCUUUAUUUAUGCCUUCGACUGCCCCUCCAUUCGUGCCAAGGCCCACGUCAUGUACAGGAAGUAGCGCACGUACACCAGGAAGACCGCCUGGGACAUGUACGCGCAGUGCGACUUGAGGAUUGCCAGCUUCGAGUUCCGCUGCUCGGCAAGCUGUGAAUUCUUGCACGACAGCGUUGGGUACGAGCCUAUGUCAUACGCCUUGCAGCAGCCCUUGUGCCCACGGAAGUGGGUCUUGUCGAUCACAAACAAUGUGUUUGUGACCCACUCCGGCUCCCGGUUCAGGAAGUAGGCGUGCGCGUGGCAAUUGUUGUCAUACACGACCACUUUCGGCGCCUCUGGCCACCUAGUGUACAGCACCUCGAACAAGGCUCGCGGCGAUUCCGCAUUCUCAAGCAUGUGAAAGCCCAAGCAGCCGCCGCAGUCCAGACAAUGGACAACGAACAGCCCGGGCGAUAGGUUCUUUGAGUCAUACUUGAAUUUGGUGCAGCGCUUGGCGCCCGCACGUUGAGAACGCAAGUCAGCAGCGUAAAGCCCAAUCUUGCGAUCAACGCGCCAUGGCAGUGUUGGGUAGUAGAAGCCCGUUUGUAGGAACUCAGUGUCAUAUGAAAGCGUGCCGGUGCCUGUGUAUGUGCAUUGGGGGGUGGGCGAGCGAGAGAGCGCUGACUCAAGUGCAAGCACACAGGCGGCCGCCCCUCGGAUCGCAAGGCAUUGCGCAAAGCUCAAGGCAUGUCCGGAGUGUGCUGCACGCUGGCCCUCACUCUUGGCGACGGCAUACCCGCACCGCCGCCGACAGGCGCCGCCCACUGUCCGCACCUGCUCCGCCCGUCCCGCCCGCGCUCCGGGCGCGCGGCGCUGCAGCCCCACCCGCCGCCGCCGGCGCCGCCUGCACAGGCGCUGGUGUGGGCGCGCCGCUGCCGCUGCCUGCGCGGUGGGCGAGCGACAGAGCGCUGACUUAAGUGCAAGCACACGGGCGGCCGCCCCUCGGAUCGCAAGGCAUUGCGCAAAGCUCAAGGCAUGUCCUGAGUAUGCCGCUCGCUGGCCCUCCACUCUUCGCGACGGCAUACCCGCACCGUCGCCACAACAACUAGUCGCCCACUGUCCGCACCUGCUCCUCCCGUCCCACCCGCGCUCCGGGCGCGCGGCGCUGCAGCCCCACCCGCCGCCGCUGGCGCCGCCUGCACAGGCGCUGGUGUGGGCGCGCCGCUGCCGCUGCCUGCGCGGUGGGCGAGCGACAGAGCGCUGACUUAAGUGCAAGCACACGGGCGCUUGGAGACGACAUACCCGCACCGCUGCAACAACAACUAGCCGCCCACUGUCCGCACCUGCUCCGCCCACCCCGCCCGCGCUCCUGGCGCGCGGCGCGGCAGCCCCACCCGCCGCCGGCGGCGCCGCCUGCACAGGCGCUGGUGUGGGCGCGCCGCUGCCGCUGCCUGCGCGGUGGGAGAGCGGGAGGGCGCUGACUUAAGUGCAAGCACACGGGCGGCCGCCCACCGGAUCGCAAGGCAUUGCGCAAAGCUCAAGGCAUGUCCUGAGUAUGCCGCUCGCUGGCCCUCCACUCUUCGCGACGGCAUACCCGCACCGUCGCCACAACAACUAGCCGCCCACUGUCCGCACCUGCCCUGAUCGUCCCGCCCGCGCUCCCAGCGCCCAGCGCUGCAGCCCCAGCCGCCUCCGCCGCCACCGCCAGUUGUGCAGCCGACACCGUAGCCGCUGAGGGUGCAGAGGUUGGCGCGCAGUUGGUGCCGCUGCCUGCGCGGCGGGCGAGCGGGAGGGCACUGAGUCAAGCCCAAGCACACGGGCGGCCGCCCCUCGGAUCGCAUGCACGUGCGCAAAGCUAAAGGCAUGUCCUGAGUGUGCCGCACGCUGGCCCUCCACACUUGGCGACGGCAUACCCGCACCGCGGCCGCUGCCGCCGACAGGCGCCGCCCACUGUCCGCACCUGCUCCGCCCGUCCCGCCCGCGCUCCGGGCGCGCGGCGCUGCAGCCCCACCCGCCGCCGCCGCCACCACCAGUUGUGCAGCCGACGCCGUAAUCGCUGAGGGUGCAGAGGUUGGCGCGCAGCUGGUGCCGGAGCCUGCGCGGUGGGAGAGCGGGAGGGCACUGAGUCAAGCCCAAGCACACGCGCGGCCGCCCCUCGGAUCGCAUGCACGUGCGCAAAGCUUAAGGCAUGUCCUGAGUGUGCCGCACGCUGGCCUUUCACUCUUGGCGGCGGCAUACCCGCACCGCUGCCACAACAACUAGCCGCCCACUGUCCGCACCUGCCCUGAUCGUCCCGCCCGCGCUCCCAUCGCGCGGUUCCGCCGCCUUAGCCAUCGUCGCCGCCACCGCCAGUUGUGCAGCAACAACAACUAGCCGCCCACUGUCCGCACCUGCUCCGCCCACCCCGCCCGCGCUCCGGGCGGGCGGCGCUGCAGCCCCACCGGCCGCCGGCGGCGCCGCCUGCACAGGCGCUGGUGUGGGCGCGCCGCUGCCGCUGCCUGCGCGGUGGGAGAGCGGGAGGGCACUGAGUCAAGCCCAAGCACACGCGCGGCCGCCCCUCGGAUCGCAUGCACGUGCGCAAAGCUUAAGGCAUGUCCUGAGUGUGCCGCACGCUGGCCUUUCACUCUUGGCGGCGGCAUACCCGCACCGCUGCCACAACAACUAGCCGCCCACUGUCCGCACCUGCCCUGAUCGUCCCGCCCGCGCUCCCAUCGCGCGGUUCCGCCGCCUUAGCCAUCGUCGCCGCCACCGCCAGUUGUGCAGCCGACACCGUAGCCGCUGAGGGUGCAAUGGUUGGCGCGCAGCUGGUGCCGCUGCCUGCGCGGUGGGAGAGCGGGAGGGCGCUGGAUCAAGCCCAAGCACACGGGCGGCCGCCCCUCGGAUCGCAAGCAAAUGUGCAAAGCCCAAGGCAUGUCCUGAGUGUGCCGCACGCUGGCCUUUCACUCUUGGCGACGGCAUACCCGCACCGCUGCAACAACAACUAGCCGCCCACUGUCCGCACCUGCUCCGCCCACCCCGCCCGCGCUCCUGGCGCGCGGCGCGGCAGCCCCACCCGCCGCCGGCGGCGCCGCCUGCACAGGCGCUGGUGUGGGCGCGCCGCUGCCGCUGCCUGGGCGGUGGGAGAGCGGGAGGGCGCUGACUUUAGUGCAAGCACACGGGCGGCCGCCCACCGGAUCGCAAGGCACCGGAUCGCAAGGCAGAGCCAAAGACAUGUCCUGAAUGUGCUGCACGCUGGCCCUUCACUCUUCGCGACGGCAUACCCGCACCGUCGCCACAACAACUAGCCGCCCACUGUCCGCACCUGCUCCGCCCGUCCCGCCCGCGCUCCGGGCGCGCGGCGCUGCAGCCCCACCCGCCGCCGCUGGCGCCGCCUGCACAGGCGCUGGUGUGGGCGCGCCGCUGCCGCUGCCUGCGCGGUGGGCGAGCGACAGAGCGCUGACUUAAGUGCAAGCACACGGGCGACCGCCCACCGGAUCGCAAGGCAUUGCGCAGAGCCCAAGACAUGUCCUGAGUAUGCCGCACGCUGGCCCUUCACUCUUCGCGACGGCAUACCCGCACCGUCGCCACAACAAGGAGACAUCAUGGUCAAGGGCAACGGUGGGGCUUACGUAUUCCUGCGCGUGCCGCCGUGUCACGUUCGGCGCGGGGAGCAGUACCCUUGUCGAAUUUGCCCAAACUGGCUGGCUUGUAAGCCGCCUUGGCAACGGAUAGGAGGCGGGUUAGCAGCAGCUUUGCUUUCUCUGGCAGCCUGCCGCCUGCUGUGUGGCUACACUCGUUGGCGAUGAAGUUGCCAAUAAUGGGGGCAUCUCUCGCAAGGUCACGAAGCUCCUUUGGGGAUAGCUGUCCGGUCAGCAGGGCCUGAAUGCGCGCGUGCGUGAUGCCCGGCAAGAAGGAGCACACGGGACUUUCCGAUGCGACAGCAGACAGUAGUCUGCACACCGCGUCAGCCACCACGCCAUCUCCCCGGCAUUCCUCCUACAGGCAAAGGUAAGCGCUGUUUCAAGAAAACAAGUUGGUGAAAUACAUACGGCAGAACCUACCACGUAAGGCUCCAGUUCAGGGCACCGUUGCCGUGUUUUGGUGAUCAGUGCUGUGUACUCCUCCGCAGUAACGGCACGUUGACCCGGUCUGCAGAGGCGCCCAAGCACCUCGCGAGAGGCACGCAGGUCCAGCAGGACGCGGUCUUUAUGCAGCGAGCCAGCGCGCGCAGAUAAGUCGUGUGACAUCCACGGCUUGGUGAGAUGCACCUGCACCGCAACGCUUGUGAUCAGGGCUGGCGUGGGACCAUGCUAGAACAGCGCAUCACCUUAUCCUUAUGCACGCCCAGUAAGAUGCCGUCAGCAAUAACAUAAUCGCACUGGUGAGUGCCACAGCCACACUGGAACGCGCUUUCGUAAGGGAUGUCUUGCAGGGCGAUGUAGUUGAUCCACGCCUGCUGAAACCUGUGGACGCAAAGGUAACUUGACUGCAAUUGCAUUUUAUAGAACGAUUGCAAUACCCACACUUUGCGCUUGUUGAGAAAGAAACGCAGUGCUGUCCUGGACCAAGCGGCCUGUGCAGCAGGUAAAGAUGCCAGUUAAAAAGUCGUGGUUUUGGAUUCAGUGGACGGACACCCACCGCACCAGCCACACCAGGAUACCUACAGGGCGUGCCUCAGCUGCAGUUGACACAUCUCCGCCACCCAUCUCUGCGCGGUGGGAGAGCGGGAGGGCGCUGACUCAAGUGCAAGCACACGAGCGGCCGCCCCUCGGACCGCAAGCAAAUGUGCAAAGCCCAAGACAUGUCCUGAGUGUGCUGCACGCUGCCCCUCCACGCUUGACAACCGCAUGCCCGCACCGCCGCCAGAACAACUAGCCGCCCACUGCCCUCACCUGUGCCGCCCGCGCUCUCAGCGCCCAGCGCUGCAGCCCGAGCCGCCUCCGCCGCCACCGCCAGUCGUGCAGCUGACACCGUAGCCGCUGAGGGUGCAGAGGUUGGCGCGCAGCUGGUGCCGCUGCCUGCACGGUGGGAGAGCGGGAGGGCGCUGGAUCAAGCCCAAGCACACGGGCGGCCGCCCCUCGGAUCGCAAGCAAAUGUGCAAAGCCCAAGGAAUGUCCUGAGUGUGCCGCACGCUGCCCCUCCACGCGUGGCGACGGCAUACCCGCACCGUCGCCACAACAACUAGCCGCCCUACUGCCCUCACCUGCGCCACCCGUGCCGCCCGCGCUCCCAGCGCCCAGCGCUGCAGCCCAAGCCGCCUCCGCCGCCACCGCCAGUUGUGCAGCUGACACCGUAGCCGCUGAGGGUGCAGAGGUUGGCGCGCAGCUGGUGCCGGUGCCUGCACGGUGGGAGAGCGGGAGGGCGCUGGAUCAAGCCCAAGCACACGGGCGGCCGCCCCUCGGAUCGCAAGCAAAUGUGCAAAGCCCAAGGAAUGUCCUGAGUGUGCCGCACGCUGGCCCUUCACUCUUGGCGACGGCAUACCCGCACCGUCGCCACAACAACUAGCCGCCCACUGUCCGCACCUGCCCUGAUCGUCCCGCCCGCGCUCCCAUCGCGCGGUUCCGCCGCCUUAGCCAUCGUCGCCGCCACCGCCAGUUGUGCAGCUGACACCGUAGCCGCUGAGGGUGCAGAGGUUGGCGCGCAGCUGGUGCCGGUGCCUGCACGGUGGGAGAGCGGGAGGGCGCUGACUCAAGUGCAAGCACACGGGCGGCCGCCCCUCUGAUUGCAAGCACGUGCGCAAAGCUCAAGGCGUGCUCAGAGUGUGCCGAUGGCUGCCCCUCCACGCGUGGCGACGGCAUACCCGCACUGCUGCCACAACAACUAGCCGCCCUACUGCCCUCACCUGCGCCACCCGUGCCGCCCGCGCUCCCAGCGCCCAGCGCUGCAGCCCAAGCCGCCUCCGCCGCCACCGCCAGUUGUGCAGCUGACACCGUAGCCGCUGAGGGUGCAGAGGUUGGCGCGGAGCUGGUGCCGCUGCCUGCGCGGUGGGAGAGCGGGAGGGCGCUGACUCAAGUGCAAGCACACGGGCGGCCGCCCCUCUGAUUGCAAGCACGUGCGCAAAGCUCAAGGCGUGCUCAGAGUGUGCCGAUGGCUGCCCCUCCACGCGUGGCAACGGCAUACCCGCACCGCUGCCACAACAACUAGCCGCCCACUGCCCUCACCUGCGCCACCCGUGCCGCCCGCGCUCCCAGCGCCCAGCGCUGCAGCCCCAGCCGCCUCCGCCGCCACCGCCAGUUGUGCAGCCGACACCGUAGCCGCUGAGGGUGCAGAGGUUGGCGCGCAGCUGGUGCCGCUGCCUGCGCGGUGGGAGAGCGGGAGGGCGCUGACUCAAGUGCAAGCACACGGGCGGCCGCCCCUCUGAUUGCAAGCACGUGCGCAAAGCUCAAGGCGUGCUCAGAGUGUGCCGAUGGCUGCCCCUCCACGCGUGGCGACGGCAUACCCGCACUGCUGCCACAACAACUAGCCGCCCACUGCCCUCACCUGUGCCGCCCGUCCGGCCCGCGCUCCCAUCGCGCGGUACAGCCGCCCCAGCCAUCGUCGCCGCCACCGCCAGUUGUGCAGCUGACACCGUAGCCGCUGAGGGUGCAGAGGUUGGCGCGCAGCUAGUGCCGGUGCCUGCACGGUGGGAGAGCGGGCGGGCGCUGAAUCAAGCGCAAGCACACAGGCGGCCGCCCCUCUGAUUGCAAGCACGUGCGCAAAGCUCAAGGCAUGUCCUGAGUGUGCCGAUGGCUGCCCCUCCACGCGUGGCGACGGCAUGCCCGCACCGCUGCCACAACAACUAGCCGCCCACUGCCCUCACCUGCGCCACCCGUGCCGCCCGCGCUCCCAGCGCCCAGCGCUGCAGCCCCAGCCGCCUCCGCCGCCACCACCAGUUGUGCAGCCGACACCGUAGCCGCUGAGGGUGCACAGGUUGGCGCGCAGCUGGUGCCGGUGCCUGCACGGUGGGAGAGCGGGAGGGCGCUGACUCAAGUGCAAGCACACGGGCGGCCGCCCCUCUGAUUGCAAGCACGUGCGCAAAGCUCAAGGCGUGCUCAGAGUGUGCCGAUGGCUGCCCCUCCACGCGUGGCGACGGCAUACCCGCACUGCUGCCACAACAACUAGCCGCCCUACUGCCCUCACCUGCGCCACCCGUGCCGCCCGCGCUCCCAGCGCCCGGCGCUGCAGCCCAAGCCGCCUCCGCCGCCACCGCCAGUUGUGCAGCUGACACCGUAGCCGCUGAGGGUGCAGAGGUUGGCGCGCAGCUGGUGCCGGUGCCUGCACGGUGGGAGAGCGGGAGGGCGCUGACUCAAGUGCAAGCACACGGGCGGCCGCCCCUCUGAUUGCAAGCACGUGCGCAAAGCUCAAGGCGUGCUCAGAGUGUGCCGAUGGCUGCCCCUCCACGCGUGGCGACGGCAUACCCGCACUGCUGCCACAACAACUAGCCGCCCUACUGCCCUCACCUGCGCCACCCGUGCCGCCCGCGCUCCCAGCGCCCAGCGCUGCAGCCCAAGCCGCCUCCGCCGCCACCGCCAGUUGUGCAGCUGACACUGUAGCCGCUGAGGGUGCAGAGGUUGGCGCGGAGCUGGUGCCGGUGCCUGCACGGUGGGAGAGCGGGAGGGCGCUGAAUCAAGCGCAAGCACACGGGCGGCCGCCCCUCUGAUUGCAAGCACGUGCGCAAAGCUCAAGGCGUGCUCAUAGUGUGCCGAUGGCUGCCCCUCCACGCGUGGCAACGGCAUACCCGCACUGCUGCCACAACAACUAGCCGCCCACUGCCCUCACCUGUGCCGCCCGUCCCGCCCGCGCUCCCAUCGCGCGGUACAGCCGCCCCAGCCAUCGUCGCCGCCACCGCCAGUUGUGCAGCUGACACCGUAGCCGCUGAGGGUGCAGAGGUUGGCGCGCAGCUGGUGCCGGUGCCUGCACGGUGGGAGAGCGGGAGGGCGCUGAAUCAAGUGCAAGCACACAGGCGGCCGCCCCUCUGAUUGCAAGCACGUGCGCAAAGCUCAAGGCAUGUCCUGAGUGUGCCGAUGGCUGCCCCUCCACGCGUGGCGACGGCAUACCCGCACCGCUGCCACAACAACUAGCCGCCCACUGCCCUCACCUGCGCCACCCGUGCCGCCCGCGCUCCCAGCGCCCAGCGCUGCAGCCCCAGCCGCCUCCGCCGCCACCAUCAGUUGUGCAGCCGACACCGUAGCCGCUGAGGGUGCACAGGUUGGCGCGCAGCUGGUGCCGGUGCCUGCACGGUGGGAGAGCGGGAGGGCGCUGACUCAAGUGCAAGCACACGGGCGGCCGCCCCUCUGAUUGCAAGCACGUGCGCAAAGCUCAAGGCGUGCUCAGAGUGUGCCGAUGGCUGCCCCUCCACGCGUGGCGACGGCAUACCCGCACUGCUGCCACAACAACUAGCCGCCCUACUGCCCUCACCUGCGCCACCCGUGCCGCCCGCGCUCCCAGCGCCCGGCGCUGCAGCCCAAGCCGCCUCCGCCGCCACCGCCAGUUGUGCAGCUGACACCGUAGCCGCUGAGGGUGCAGAGGUUGGCGCGCAGCUGGUGCCGGUGCCUGCACGGUGGGAGAGCGGGAGGGCGCUGACUCAAGUGCAAGCACACGGGCGGCCGCCCCUCUGAUUGCAAGCACGUGCGCAAAGCUCAAGGCGUGCUCAGAGUGUGCCGAUGGCUGCCCCUCCACGCGUGGCGACGGCAUACCCGCACUGCUGCCACAACAACUAGCCGCCCUACUGCCCUCACCUGCGCCACCCGUGCCGCCCGCGCUCCCAGCGCCCAGCGCUGCAGCCCAAGCCGCCUCCGCCGCCACCGCCAGUUGUGCAGCUGACACCGUAGCCGCUGAGGGUGCAGAGGUUGGCGCGGAGCUGGUGCCGGUGCCUGCACGGUGGGAGAGCGGGAGGGCGCUGAAUCAAGCGCAAGCACACGGGCGGCCGCCCCUCUGAUUGCAAGCACGUGCGCAAAGCUCAAGGCGUGCUCAUAGUGUGCCGAUGGCUGCCCCUCCACGCGUGGCAACGGCAUACCCGCACUGCUGCCACAACAACUAGCCGCCCACUGCCCUCACCUGUGCCGCCCGUCCCGCCCGCGCUCCCAUCGCGCGGUACAGCCGCCCCAGCCAUCGUCGCCGCCACCGCCAGUUGUGCAGCUGACACCGUAGCCGCUGAGGGUGCAGAGGUUGGCGCGCAGCUGGUGCCGGUGCCUGCACGGUGGGAGAGCGGGAGGGCGCUGAAUCAAGUGCAAGCACACAGGCGGCCGCCCCUCUGAUUGCAAGCACGUGCGCAAAGCUCAAGGCAUGUCCUGAGUGUGCCGAUGGCUGCCCCUCCACGCGUGGCGACGGCAUACCCGCACCGCUGCCACAACAACUAGCCGCCCACUGCCCUCACCUGCGCCACCCGUGCCGCCCGCGCUCCCAGCGCCCAGCGCUGCAGCCCCAGCCGCCUCCGCCGCCACCAUCAGUUGUGCAGCCGACACCGUAGCCGCUGAGGGUGCACAGGUUGGCGCGCAGCUGGUGCCGGUGCCUGCACGGUGGGAGAGCGGGAGGGCGCUGACUCAAGUGCAAGCACACGGGCGGCCGCCCCUUUCAUCCCCGCUUAUUGUUCCCACCUUCCCCGCGCGCCCCGCCAGUGCUCCGCGCAUGUAGCCCAGUGCUAGUGGGAGCCUUCGGUGGCGCAUCCUUUGGUGCAGAUACCUUAAGCCGUUUCACCUGCACGAAACAGUCCAGGAGUGAAGCCUCAAGUCUUUACACGACUAGCCCAUUCCCGCACGCCUACCGGCCGCGUCGUAUCUUGCUUGGAACCACCCGCAGUGGCACCAGAUGCACCCGCUGAAGCCUGCAUAACAGCACACGUACCCAAUCAGCAGGUAGGCAAUGCCCGAAGCCAGAGCGGCAGCUUCUUACCGUUUGUGGCUGCACAACUCCUUGCUUCCGCCGCUUGCCCAGGGUUAUGCCUGGCGCCUCCUCCGUCUGUUCAGCAGGAAGUGUCAGCAGUCUGUCAGGCAAUGCAUUGUUGGCCAUGUCUUACCAGGAAUCCACGCGAGACAUAGCAGCCCACAACUGUUUUCCACAUGGCGUAGAAUGGCACUGGCGCUGUGGCCAUCUCCACACAGUACCUGAAGACAGAUCAAGUUAGUUUGCCGGCCUGCUUUGCUAGUUAGCUUGCGCGUACCACUGCAGCAGCUCGUGGCUGAACAGGUCCAGAUUGUUAAGAUUGAGGAUGCCGUCCUGGCUGAAGUUGUAGUGCAAUGUGCGCUUGCACUUGCACACACGGUGAUACACAUCGACCUCUGCAAACCACGUCAGGCUGUACACCACGGACUUGCCCUCAACACACGAUAGCUCUUCCUUAGCAUCCACCCAAGGGCGGCCGCACACGCAACUACCGCACUCCACCGCCGGUGGGGCGAAGUGGCGCGGCAUGCUGCCAUACUCAGGAUACUUGCGUAGCUUCACAUGUGUGAAGAGGCCGUCGACGAUGCGCUCCUGCAAGCAAGGAGAGCCGUCAGUCGUGCGUGUCAUGCCGUUGACGCUUGCCCUCACACUCGACCUGAGCCACUGCUUUCAGCAUUCUCACCUGGGAAACUGACGUGGCCUUGAACUUGCCGGUCACAGGAUCCAGGUAGCGCUGGAGCAUGUCUGCCAGCUCUUUGCGAUAGUCGUCACCAGGUUCUGACGGCCGGGUGCCCGGGGUUAAGCUGUGGACGUGCUUCACAUGGCUGCAGUUCUUGCUGUCAGAGCAUGCUGCGCACUGCAGCACCAUGCCACGCUGAACGACAACAGCAGCUUCGCCGUUCUUCAGCGGACUCCCGACAAGCCAGCGCCUGACCCCAGGGGAACCCAGGAAGAACACCUCCUGUACUGAUGCUGGUGGCUCCGGCACGUUGGCCCGCUCAAGGGGAUGAAGCUUUGUCAGUGGCUCACGUCGCCACUGCAAAGGCAGCUACAAGGCAGACGUACGAUGUGUAAAUUCUCAAGGCAAGCGUGAAGAACCUAUGCAGCUCGUACCGUAAGCGCCAGGGCGUGCUUGCACGCGUGACCAAGGCCUUCCAGCACUUCCUCCCGUGACCAGCCGGACUCGUCCACAUCGAAAGCCAAGCAAGAGCGCCAGUCCUCCAUGCACGUGCACCAGGAAAUGACAUGGAUGCCAUCGCUGAAGCGCACGGUCUUGAAGGUAACGAGCUCAUAGCUCCCCUUCGGGCCAGACGGCACGCAGUACACGGUUUUUGUGCGUGUCCCUGCGACAGGCUUUGGCGGCCAGCUUUCAUCGGGCGAGCACUGUUGCUGAAGCCACGCUGCAAAUGUAGUAAGUUUUAUCCCGUCAGCUGCCCGCCGCGGGCAUCCAGAGACGGCGCAGCAUGAGAACUUUACAUCGUUCUCAUCUGCCGCGAGACGCGUGUAGUUGCAGGGCGACUGGACAUUGCUACGAAUACUAUCAGCACGUAGCCCAGGAGAGUCCGCAGCGUCAGGGAUGUCAACAGGUUCAGCUUGUGGCUCUGCUGGGAUUGAUGCGCCCCUUGCAGCUGCUAGUGCGUUAUCCUGAGCUGGCUGGUGUUUUAGAUGCUGCUGUUGCUGCUGCUGUUGUUGUUCUUGUUCGUGCUGCAGGACCUGGCCAGCUGAGCGGUCUACUAUGCGCCCGUAAGCACGUUGACCAGUUGGAAGCCUGGUGUGAACACGCAACACGUUCUGGCCGAUUUUUUUUGGUCUCCCAAUACGUUUGGUUGUCGACAACUGCAGUGCCUCUCUUAUAGCUUCUUCAUCCAUAGUAGCAAUAAAUAGUAGCUCAUUAAUAAGGCAAGCAAGUGCAAGCUUGUCUGGACACAGAGUCACAAAGCCAGCUUUAUGCAUGGUGGACGAGACAAGCGCUCUGGCACUGGAUACAAGCCUUAAAUGUAAUCACGGUAUCGUGUACUAGUAGUUCUGACGCAUAUACUUCUAUGCAUCCAUUACAGCAGUCAGCAGUGUCGUUGUCCUGGCGCUGCUUGGGCCUCGCCUCCGGCUCUAUACCAAUCCCACUUCGACAAUGUCACGCGUAUCGUGAAAUAAUGUAGAUGCUAACCUUUGGCCGAGAGCUCAGGGCGCGCUUGCUGCUGGUUUGACCAACAGCGAUGCUGCGCCCGGAGCUCUCUGGCGAAGCACAGAACUAGUCUGCAGCACACUGGUGGCAUUAUACCAGUGAAUGUUGCCAGAAAAUACUGCUCGGCGGGCAGAAGCGCACGCAGGGCUCUUGUCUGGGCGACAGCAGCCCCCCGGCCAGAGGGCGCGGCCGGGAGCCGGCUCCGCCCAAACAAGCUUCUGCGGACGUGUACUCGUUGCCCGACCGCCACACUACCACAACGUUAUACAUACUUGUCACCAUUAGUGAUCGGGCGCACGUAUCCCACCCUGGCGCGCUAGCAUUUUAGCCUGCAGUGCAUCGGAUGGCGCGGAAGCGGCACCUAUCAGCCGCAAGCCCUCACAGCCCGUUCAACAGCCUCAAAUGUUUAUAGAUAUGUGAUGUUAAGCUUGUUUGGGGACUCGCGGCGCGUUUGGGGACGGUUGGGGUGUGCACGGGCUCCAGGCCAGCGGGGGCGGACUGGAGCCGGCUCCGGAAAUCCUGGCACGGCGAGCAGCGAAAACCUGCGCGGCCGCAGCAACAACCAUUCAAAUGUAUAAUAUAAGCUCAAGCGCAAAGUUUAGAAGUAACUUGCGCUGUCUUGUCAAGCUUUCUCCGACGUGCCGAAGGUGCUCGCCCACCCCGACCACGCUCCGCCUCGCUUUCUGAUUUUAUCAGCAAAAAUGACACGUAUUACUGCAAGGAGACAGCUUAGGAUUACUGCGCGCUCUUGUCUUUUGUGUAUGGCCGUUUCUGGUUGUCCAGUCACGCGAGAAAGCGGGCCACAAGAGGGCGAAAACAUUCGCCGGUUGUUAUGCUGUUGUGCUUUACAACCAUUCUGCAGUUCUAGUAUCACCCGCCAUUCUGCAGUUCUAGUAUCACUCGCCAACACACUCGCGUUGCGUGCCAUACACACAGCGCGCGGCCCCCUCGCUCCCCUCUGCAACGCCCGCCUGCUGCUUGCUACCUUAUGCCUGUCCGAUUCCGGUCCUGUAUACAAGGCCUUUCUUACAACAGCUCAUAUCCGCCAAUUGAGGCCGGUCCAUACCUCGACAUUGAGACGGAAGGGACAGAAGGAGGGGGCCCUAGAAUGCUCAAGUAUCCGUUCACAUCAAUGCCCUUCUUAGCAGUUGUGGCUGUAAUAUUUGUAUUUGUGAUGAAGGGGAGACUACUACGCGUCAGUUUCGCGGUUGGGGUGUGGUGACUGAUGCCAUCGCGCGUGGUAUACGACCUGGCGUAGGCUCCUAUUCUGUGUGGGAUCCCAUCGACAGUCUGCUCGAUGGUCGGUGGUCAACGGUGGUCAGUGGUCUGAGUCAAUGUGGGAUCCCAUGCCGGCUCUCAUCCCAUGCCGAGUGGGAGCCUUCGAGGUGGAGACCUAGCUGAAACCCAAGAUUGGGCGUUCUUAUUCAUACAAGCACCAUUUUUAAUUCUAUAAAGCACGUUACCUUCGGUAUGUGAGCAGCAUAUGUUCAAGCAUAUUAGCGGGCUAAGUGUCGUGUAGGUCUCGCGAGCGCGAGACCAAUUUUGAGCAUGUUCGCUCAAAUCAGCUAAAUGUGAAUCCACCGGCCCUGACUGCGCUUAUGUAUACUCUAUUAAAGCAAUUGCACCUAGUAGCGCGGGCUCACAGGCCUCGGCGAGCAGUGGCCAUUCCUAUGGGACCGCCAACAAAGUCAGAGUUGCACCUUCCGAUGCACCUGGGUGGCUUCCAUGUGACACACAUGCGGCUCUAGGAGCGGGUGUAGGUCUGUUUGGGUCCCCGCUGUAGACGAGGUUCGCCAUGAAUUUGGUUUCAUCCAAAGGGCAGUUCGACUAGCUUUUAAGAUUGCCGUCGCCUAGAUAGAGCAUCUAAAGCAGAUAUAGGAUGAUGUAGCCCGCCGAAACAUCGUCUGUCUGUGCUGCGGUCGUCAAAACAUAAUCUUAUAUGCAUAUAUGUGCUAUGUAAAGCUUCGGGCACACCCCGGCCUCCGAUCGCGCUCGUAGCGGGCGAGCUUAUACAAUUAUAUGUAUAUAUGCGAUAGAAAGCGUGGGGGCCCGCUUAGGACCGAUUUGCACGGGGUCGGCCUGUCCCACCCCUCCUCCCCCCUCAAAACCGUGUGACAAAACACACACGCCUGCCGUACAUGACUCGGGGAGCCGCUGCAAGACCGGAAGGUUGCAAAGGAAGCUACUCCCAAAAUUUCAGCGUGCAGCGAUCACCCGAACAUAGCUCUCUAAGGCCUUAAAGUUGGGGGGUACCCUGAACCGGGCGUGUUCCCCACUUCCCCGUGUGGGGUCGGGGUCGGGGUCGGGGUCGGGGUCGGGGUCGGGGUCGGGGUCGGGGUCGGGGGCGGGGAAUUGGAGUCUGGGGAAAUGGGAUCCAAGGGACGCAAAAUCGCUCGUUUUCGCCCGCGCAGCUUCUAAAUACUUACGUAUUCAUGUAAGAUUAAUUGCUGGGCCAACGCCCUGUGAAAUUGCGAGGGCGCGCGCGGACUUCCCCCCGCGUGCCCGCAGCUCGGCCCCGCACAGGGGUUCGGGGUGUCCAACUCAGCGGUUAGCUGUCGGUUGCCACCGACAUUUGGUCCCGACCCCCCCUGGAAGUGGGCCGGCUGAGCCCCUAGCGCGCCAAGCCAAUACCCACGAUGCCCUUAUCCCAUAUAAAACAGUGCGGUAGCCCUAAAGCCGUGGUCAGAUUGUCGCGCAUUCUCAAUUGCUCGGUGUUGGCCCAAAGCCCCAGGCGCGCACGCCGACCACCCGCUACUGCCCCAUGACCAUAGCUUACAGGUUCUGAGACCCGGUGUGGGCUCAUACAGGCUUUCCGAGCACCGUUCGGGAUACAUGGGACAUGGAAUGUGACCCUGCCGUCCAUACUAAAGCAAUCUAAGCCCCAUCUUUCCCCAUAUGGCACUCUAUAGGGUACACCACAAUCCUCAAGCGCGCCAGGCACCACGUCUAUGUCCGUCUGAAAGCGCUUCCGUCUGAAACCCCAUCCCCAAGCUUCAGUUCCGCCAGGCGUGGGCCCCUGCGCGCUGUGAGCCCAUUUAGCGGCUGCUUUAUUAUGUGCUAGGACCUAGUAUGGCUGCUCGCGCUCGCUGUCGAAGCCACCAGAGCCCAGUUCUGGACUCCCAAAACCCGCGCGCAGCAGCGGCAGGCGUGCGCGUCGCCGCAUUUCCUAAUUCCCAAAUUACAAGCUUUUGUGAUAUCAUAGAGCGUGUUCCUACAGGCUUCCUUGUCCGUUCCUUGGCUUGGCUGCGCUCGCCCAGCUUGAAGUGUCACCCCGAGACAUUGCAAUGCCACUCCAUCACAUUCGUAUGUCCUUGUGUAGCAUCAGAGGCCCAUCGCAAACUACCGACGAUAGAAAGCUUCAGAAACGUGUGUGAUCAUUCGUGCGCUUGGCUCAGCUAGAAAUGGUAGAAGUGACGCAUAAUAUCGCUGCAUAACAUCGUUGGCAAAGGAUUCUUUAGCGUUGGUUUGCUCGCGUAUAGACUCGCUGAGGCAGUGGGACUAUGAUUGUCGUCGAACGCGUCUUCCGCGUAAAAUGUAGCCCAUAGGAACCUUACAUUACAUAUGUAUACUGGGUCUGGCGCUUUGGCGAACACUUGAAACCCUCGGUGUGGAUGAACUUGCGCGAUGGGCGUUCCGGCGAUCAGGGUGUGUGCACCUUCUUGAGCGGCCGAAUCAUUCUAUGCCUGAUUUGUGGGCUCAAAUGGCGAUGUGCACUUUAGGGAGUUUCAGGACGCUUCUAAAGGCCUCAAUAGAUGUUGACGUUUCCCCAAGAACCACGAUAUUGUAAUUAAGGGCCCAUAGGAACCAGCAUGAUGCUGACAUAACGUCGUUUGCGGAAGUUUGCUGCCAAAAGGAGCCCAAACCGAGGAGUUCUUCCUGCGCGCGCUUGUAGUAACACACAAUUCGCGCUCCACUGGGCUGCGCGUGGAUUUCAGCCAGCGCGCAUCACCCCAAACUUAUUGUUAUCAUGUUGUAGAGUUGGACACCCCGAACCCCUGGCCCCGCACCCUGCCCCCCCCCCCCGCACAAAACCCGUCAUACCGUACCCCACCGCGAGAUACGGACUCCACUAUAAGUAAAAUGUGAUCUGGGUGCCGGUGCUGGGGGGUCGGGGCUGUGCAUUGGACGUUGGACGGUUGGACGUCGCGAAGUAAGUUCAAGUUCGCCCUUGCGGCGAAACCGUUCAGCCUUACACGUUUUGCAAAUAUAAUAAUAACAGAGUCUCAGCUUCAUAGGUCUCACGUUGUGGGGCAGCCAACACGGCACUAAUAAGGACAUGUGCUCGCGCUCGCAGCUUACACGCCUACGGGCCUCCUGACAGGUACAUAAGUGCUGAGAUUGAAGCAAUCUACGUAUCUGAUAGUUACCUUGGACCAGCGCCAGCCUGUGCGAUGAAAUCGGCCAAAGAAUCGUCUUUCUUGAGGCAUCGGACACCAUUCUAUGCGUUAGAGUGCGCGAAAUAUGGUUUAGCCUCAGUUACUUUCGCGAUCGACGUUCCCUGACUUGAGUCGGGUAUCGGAACUUUGUCGCUGGGGCCUCUUCUACCUUGUGUACAAUAGCUUCGUGUAAUGGAUGGCUUAAAUAAUGGCUGCGCGCAGUCGGCGGGGGCCGGGACCGUGUGUUUACCAACUUGGCAAGACCCCCCUGUUCUGAAACGUACAGGUGCGCCGCGCCCCCUGCGGGGGCCGGGGCCCGCUAACUUAGCCCCUGAGCCCAGCUACCCGAGCUCUAGCGGGACAUGAUAGGGGCAGGCGGCGUUGCUUUUCUGCCACGCAGACAACACAGCAGGGGAAAGGGUGGGGUGGGGGGGUGGGGGGUGUUUGAGCACCGUGCAGCCUCUGGCGAAGGACAUGGGCAUGCGGCAUUGCCAUGCUGUGCUGUCAUGCGGAGGACAAAGCAGAGUAAGGGUGGGGGGGCGAGGGGGAGGGGGGGGGGGGGGGACCGAAGUCGGCGUCGCCGAGGUGGCACCUCCCGCCAACGUUCGCAAUUGUGCAUUUUUGCAUACAUCAACGAUAUGCAUGGAUACGUGUUCUCGUCAACUACGUGGAAGAUUUCGCCUUUGCGAUCGGUCGCUCGAGUUGGCUUUGCAUUUUCAUGCUCUAGUGCUUUCAGACAACCUUAUCUGUGCUACCUGCUAACUGCAAUGUAAGUUAUCGCUACGUGCAUUGUCGCGCCUGACAAUGAAGCGCAGUUACUGUCCUCGUUCAUACGCUGCACUCGCUCUCGCGCCCUGGGACCAAGAUCACGCAUAGAAGAAGCUAUGAUCAUUCGGUUGUGUCAAUGCGUUGGGCCGAAAUCGCGCUGUCCGCGACGACGCAUAGGAUGCGUCACACUUUCCAGAGGACCCGUAGAUAGCUGUGAUUAGGGAAUGCGCGGUGGGCGGAAACCGGCAGGGAGGUGUAGGUAUCUAGCACGGGUGUGUGAGGGCGGUGUAGAUGUUUAGAGGGUGUGAGGUGUGAGGGGGGACUAGCCGCACAGGUAGCGGCUUAGUUGCGGUUAUUGGGCAGGGCCAGCUGGAUUCCUGGGCUAUGAAAAAGUAGUGCAGAAGAUGGGCGCACAAAUGUGCGCGUGUGGCGCGGUUGGCGUCGGGGCAUGGUAGGGUACGUGAAGCUUCGAUUGAAGCGGCCGAACUAGGCAGCCAGGGGAGGGGGGUGUGCAACUCGGCCUGGAUCCAGGUUCGCGCUGCAUGGGACCCGGCCAAAAGGUGUUCGGACCCCUCCCAAGGAGCUCCCGGCCAUUCAUUUGUGUUUGUAAGACAACUGUAUAGUCAUUAGAACUGAUAUCGGGCCGGAAACCAGUCCAUAUAGCGGGCCGGCCAUCGACACAAUGCGUGCACUGGAAACACCACGAGCGAAAUUCCGGCUGCUUGCAAUCAACCCAAAGGCUCUUCCGCUAACUAUGAAACUGAUGAGACCUCCAGAAAGCGACGGGCGCGGCCCCUCAGGGGCGAUGCCCGAUGCCAUGCAGACCCUUCGCGGGAAUGGCCGUUUUGGAGCCCUUUCCGAGGCCCGCCGAAGCCAGCGGCCCCUGCCGUCCGCUCUAGACAUAUGUACAGAUGCCAUAUUCAGGGGUUUGGUCCGUGUCUAUUGGUGUUAACAGGGGUGCGCGUCCUGCGCUUCCAGGAGAGGGCCCCCUGACCUGGCAUUUUACCCCUGGACGCAAACCGUGAAGCCCGCAACCGUGAAACACAUUAUGCUUCUGAAAAUUCGUUACAUGCCUCCACUAUGCUUGUGCGCGAGCCCAGCAGAGCUGCGCAGGUAUGCAACUCCUGGCCAGGGGACUCUGGACUCUUGAGGUCCUGCUCCGGACUCCCUGAGUACCUACGCUGAUAACUGUGACACCUCCUAUGCAUGUAAUGCCCACCCCCUCGUGCAUGUACGGUAACACAUAUGGCCGUCUAUACUGACAGGUCGUAUGAUGCCCAUUGCGUGCGUCCCUCGGCUGGCCAGGGGCGUGCUGCCUCUGACUGUCUCCUAUGACCUGCUCACCUUCACUUCCACCUUCACUUGCACCUUCAAUACCCCUUCUGCUCGCACCUUGAUAACUUUAGCCACUUAAACUCCACUGUAAGCCUCUGUGUACAUGUACAAAUCAUAAACCUUGUCAUCACUACCAUGCUGUGCUGAUGCUCCACUCUCAGCCACGCUAUCCUUCACUCCAUUUCCAUCUCCGACUCCAUACUGCACUUUCCAGCCACGGCGUUCUUCACGGCCUUACUCUCUUCCUUGCUCACUACCAUCUGACUCCAUACUGCACUGUGCAGUACUAGGCAUGGGAGGCUCCCCUGGUUCUAAGAUAUAUGAGAAUGCUUGCCAUGAAUGCAUAACAUACCAUAAGUUUGCAUUGAAUCUCAAGGUUGCAUACGCACCCGUUCCCGAAGCGAAGCUAUAGCAGCUUGCAAGUUAUUUGACAUGGUCAGGAUGCGACAUGUGGAUAUGUGAAUUGCGACAUACGACAUUGCGACAUAAUGCACAUACCGCCCAAACGCAUCCAAACCCGCCAAACAUAUUGUGCAUGCAUUCAAUAUGCCUCUGGUAAGCGUGGAACGCCGUGGCACACAACAAAACGUGUCUCGGUUGCCACGGUGGUGGUGGCGUGGCGUAGGGUGCGGCCAGCGGGAGGAGCUUGUGGCUACGCUAGCGCAAUACACCGCCGCAAAGCUGGGAGAUGUUACUUAAAUGGGCUUCAGGACGCGUAGCUAUGCAAAUGUGGGCGAGUCUUGGUAUGUCGCAAUGUUGUAUGUCGCAUUUCACAUGUCGACAUGUCGCAACCUGACCAUGUCAAAUAAUGUGCACACAGCCAUAUAUGUGCAGUGUCGUGUGCACAUGCCGUAAGUGAUGUGCUACAAUAAUAAUACUAAUAAUAAUAAUAAUACCUACGCACGGACCAAGGUCCCGCGUGCCUUAAGGAAGAGUCCCAUCGAGGCUAACCCUACCGUAUCUCUGUGGGACCUUGGCAAGAGGCACCCCACGCAUCCACCUUCACUCAGUCCAUAGGAACCGAAGUUCUGGACCUAUCGGCCUACCAACUCUCCGAAUUCGGCCAUCAUGAAGUUUCCACGUUGCAACAAUGGGAUCCGAACCCAGAGAGUCGCUACAACGCUUCCAUCAGUACCGCGGACUCCAUACCGGAAUACUGACUCGGUUCCCCGGGCAGGAUCCGAACCUGCAUCUAUACUUGUCAGCCUCAACCCGGCCGAAUCCGUGAUUCGAACCUGGGUCUGCCAUGUGACAGCGGCAUGCUCUACCAAUUGAGCUACCGGGGAAAGUGAUGUGCUACACUAAUGAACAUACAAAACCGAGUACACAUCGGAUCAGUCCUCACUACAAAGUCCCGCACACAUGCCGUUCACGUGCCGUACGUGCGCGACACGCCGGCAGCUGCUUUGUUUAUUUAUAGUACAUGCGAAAAGCCUGCAAAGAAUUGGUUAUGCCCAUCACAGCUCUAUCUUGCUAGUCCCUACGGUGGUUACGACAUCAGUAACCAAUCCCCAUGCAUAUGUACUCAGUCGUUCAGGCGCACAGAUGGCAGCCGUUUGCGCGCUCCCUCGCGCUGGGCGGGCGGUGCCUCUGCGGGAAGCCCGCGCUUGGCGCGCCCGCGCUUGGGAGCCACGGGCUCCAUGGCUGCCGCCGCGGCCAAGCCGGCUGCCCCCGCAUUGACGCCGACUGCCACCACAGCUCCGCUAGCAGCCGCUGCAUCCAUGCCAGUCGCCGCCAUGUUCCGCUCCGCGCCUGCUGCUGCCGCCGGCCGCGUCCGCUUUGCCUCCGCUGGAACAGCGUCCACAGCCCGUUUGCGGGCGAUUGCAGCUGCGGGCGCCGCAACCUGAGCGCAGUGGGGGCAGAACCACUGCCCUUCCGGGAUGCCGUCCACCCUGGGUGUCAGGCAGAAGUUGUGGUAGCCCUUGUCACAGCUGUCGCACAAGAGCAUUGCGUCUGCGGGCUCCGGCUCGUUGCACAGCUGACAGACAAAGUCGUCACCGUAGGUGGAGUCACAGUCGCUGCUGCUGUCUGCGCUGUCGGGCUCGUCCGCAGAUUCCUCCUCCGGCGCCUCUGCUGCUGGCGCUGCCUUCUUGCGGCCACGACGCUGGCCGUCUGCGCCGCCAGCCGCUGUGGUCGCCUUGCCCUUCUUUGCCGCUGUAGCUGCAUCUGCCCGCCUCUCGUCCCGCAGCGCCCGGUCACUAGCCUUGUCGGCCUGUACCAGCACUUUGAGGUGACGAAGCAGCCCUUCGAGAUUGGCGUGCACGUACUUGGUCACCAGUACGCCCAUCAAAGCGCGGAGGUCGGUGAGCGAGUAGGGCUGUUGCUGCUGCCCGUUGCCGGGCUGCACUGACACCCCUGCGGACGCGCACGCCGCCUGGAAGCCGCCCCAGGCCGCAGGGUCGUACCGCACCUCAUCAAUCCACCCCUGAACAACCAGAGGGCCUCCGCGCAGUACGCUGCUGGCGGUCUUGACGUGCAAAAUCAGGCCGCGCUGUAAGCCCUCGAAGAAGUCUGCAAUGGAAGGCUUCGGGGUAACAAUGCGGCCUAGGUUUAGGCUUGGCAGCAGGUCGUCGUCAAAGCUGCGCCGAAAGCAGCCAUCCGUGCGCGCCUCGAUCAGCUCCUCCACCAGGCGCGCCUGCGACGAAGCUGCAGCGGUUUUGGACCGCUUGGCUGACCUGGUGGCGUUCUGCAAGGUGCUGUGCAGCGCCCAGCCCGUGACACGGCUGCAGGCGGUCCGGUUGCUGAAGAGCUCGAACGUGGCCUCUUUGGGCGGCAACGCCUGCUGCUGCUUUGGCGGCUGCUUUUUAGAACGCCCUGUUGAGGGGGCCGCCGCAGGCUGUGCCGCUGGUAGCAGCAAACCGCGCAGCACCCCCACGCGUGCAGCGGCCGCGAAGAUGUAGCUGUGGACAAGGCAGGCUGACUGCCCCAGCUGCUGCCAGUCCGCCAUGGUUACCGACGGCGGCUCUGCUGCAGUAAUGUUGCGGCCACGUGCAGGCACUAGGGCCGCUGUGGCCGAGAACGGGGGCCUGCUGAUUGGGCCAACCUCCGGUUGGGCGCACAGCCAGCUCCAGGCAUGGUAGCACGGCGCAGCAUGCUGUGCGCCAAACACAUGCUUUGUGGCAGCUGUAGUGCCGUUCGACUGCACAAGCGCGUCCUCCAUUGCAGGCAGCAGCCACGCGCAGUACGCCUCCCACGCAUGGCUGACGCAGGAGUCGGGCUGUAGAGCCGCGGUGAGCUGGGGCACUGCCGGGCGGUGUGCGUUGAAGAUGCUGGUGCCAACCAGGUCCUGCCACACCAGCUGCCGCAGUCCAGCCGCGGCAGCAACGGUAGCCGUCCGUGAUGGCUGGUCGCCAGUAGGCUGUGUGCUGUUUGACAGAUCUGACAGGCUCCAGGUGCUGGACGCCGCUGCGGCCCUGGUUGGGCCCCGCCGCCGGCAGCGUAGAAGGCUGUCCACUGCAUCCACGCUGGCGCUGCCAGCGCUGGAUGCGGACGCUGGCGCGUACGAGCCGUUACGCUGGUGUUGGGCCCGAGUGAGGUUGGCGGCAAUAAGGACCUCGUUGGUGCGCAAGUGCUGCUCGCCGUCCAUCACGCGCCGCGCGUCCGGACAGCGGUUUUGGCCAUGGCCACGGAGCUGCGAGAACGCGUUCUCAACACAGUUCUGGUUGAGUGUCGCGAGAGAGACAGACCGAGGCGGGCUGCCUUGAGGCGCCUUGCUAAUGUAGCUGCGCACCAGGGCAACGACGCCGUAGCAUGUGACCUGUGUGGACGGCGGCCAGAGUGGGGGGACAUUCACUUAAGCCCUCCGAUACAUGUGCUGUGUGGCCACCGACUCAGCAGUCCAGUCCAAAAUGAGGGAUGCCUCACCUGAAAGUCGCUGUAGCACUCCUGAGAAAGGCCCGUGCGACCUGUGCCAGUGGUGGGCAGCUUCUUGUCCUUCUCGUCCUGUCGGAGCUUCUCGUGCCAGCUGUACACGGUUUCGCCAUUCCUGAGCAGUUGCACCAGGAAGCUGUCGUCGGCCGACUUGAUGGGCUCCACACGCUCAAGCGACAUCAUCGUGCUGUUGAACAGCCUGUGGGUGACGGCGUGACGGCGAGACGUGUUCAGACGUGUUCAGAGCAAUACAGCGAUCAAGCAACUUGUGAACGGGGGUUCAACCAAUGUAUGAAAAUAGCCCUGUAGAAUUUGGCCCUGGAAUUACAACCGCUCACCUGACGAAGCCGUGCAGGCGCAGAGCAGCAGCCUUGAUGGCAGCCGGCGGCUCUCCAGCGGUCCUCCAUUGUAGCGGCAACUGGCUUCGCCAGCUGAACAGUAGCCGCAGGUGCGCGCUGGGCUGCAGCCGCCCGCCGCAUGGACCGCAUGCCAGCCAUUGCGGGCUGGGCGCCGGCGGGCUGUGCCGCGCCGGCGGGCUGUGCCGCGCCGGCGGGCUGCGCGGCGCCGGCGGGCUGUGCGGCGCCGGUGGGCUGUGCGGCGCCGGCGGGAUUCCAUCCCUCCGUGUCAACCCAGUGCACAAACUCCUCCAGCCCACGUAAAAGCUGCGAGACCAGAUGGCAACGCAUGCGCGUCCAGCUGGUCAAGUGGAUGUGGCUGUGGUUCACAUGCGCCAUCAGCUGUGGAGAGUGGUGCAUGUCCCAUUCCACAAUUGUCUGGACAUCCCGCCAGCUCAGCUCCAACCAGCCACUGUCAUCCGGCCACAGCAUCUCCACGGUGUUACGUCCGUGUGCACCUGCACAGCGUGCCGCACCAAAUCAUAUGUUAAUGGGGAUCAAAUUUAAAGGGGGGUCAUAUCAGUGACGCGCAGCAUGGACUAGAUACUGCCCCAGGUACGGCACGUCCCCAUACCUGUCCCACUGCGGCUACGCUCGAUGUUGUUCCGCCCCUUCUUGAUGAGGUGCGGGCCGUCCGUCAGCAUAAUGAUGGGCAGCGUUGGAUCGGCCGGGUCGCGGAAGCACCGCAGGUGCGCGGUAGGGUUGGCCGACGGCAUCGUGAUGUUGCAUUCUGAACAGCAAGGCAAUUGUUUAUUAUGGGCUCAGCAACAUGUAGCAACGGCAGCUAGUCGCGCCCGCCACGUGAGCGCGUACCUUCCGCGACCUGCUUCGCCAGCUCCUCGUCCGCCAUCAGCUCCAUCCACUUGCGGUUCUCAGGAGCGCCAUCACACACCGUGUAGUGCACGCGCAGCCCAGCCGCGCGCAGCUGCGUGAUGCCAUGCGAGAUGAGCGGGGCAAGCUCGACAGCUGACACGCCGUUGGUGAAGAAGUAACCGACGGAAGCCCUGAGGGCAGUCAAACAAGCAAGUACGCAAAUUGGUGAUCGGUGGACACAAAAGAGGCGGAUGCACCCGAGCCCUACCCAUGUACCUCAGCCUCCAACAUGCAUUGAGCAUCGCGCUCUUUCCUACCGGACGGUCUGGGGGCCAAGCGUUGUGUAUGUCAGGUGCAACACGUGAGUUGCCAGAGCUGGGGGCGGCGCUGACUCGCCGCCCAUAGCUGCAGCGCCAGCUGCUGAGGGCAGCGGCGGCUUGCCGCCCAGGAGCUGGUGCAGGCGCUGCGCCUCAGUGCCCACGUCCACGUCCGAGUAGCCCAAAAAGGAGUUGGUCGAUAUGUUGAACACCAGCCCGCUGCUGAUCUUCAUCUCGUCAAAGGCAAGCCCGCCGUCAGGCUGCGCGCCAGCCAUCUUCACAAGCUCCGCUGCCUGCUCCAUCACAGGCGGGUGCCAUCCAGACCCGCACGCCGUGAAGCCCUUGUAGUUCAGGAGCUGACUGAUGGACGGAAGCGAAAGCUGGUCGCUGAUACGAUCAUAGAGGCCAGCGCCACCCUGGUUCAGCAGCCCGAGCGCGAACUGCAGCGUACUGGGGAGAGAUGGCAAGGGGGCGAGCGAAAGCGACACCAGCAUUUAGGUGAUACUAAGGAUUGCCCGCUCCGACCCAUCCUGCCGCGCCCCGCCGUGCCUUGCCGCGCCCCGCCCGGCCGCCCGCCCCACCGUGCCGCGCCCUACCGCGCUGCACUGUGCCGCGUCGCAACCCGCCCCGCACCGUGCCACACCACAACGCCUGCCACACCUGUUGUGCCAGCGCAUGCCGUUCACCAUCUUGCCGCCUUGGCGUGCACGGCGGACGUAUUCCAGCUGGUCCUUCCAAAAUGCAGCCUGGCCGGGGUUCUCCUUCAUGUGAGCCUGAACGCCCUCAUGCUGCAGCAGCGUCACUAGAUCCUCCGACUCCCCUGCUGAUAGCUCCGUCAUCUUAGCGCGUGAAGCCUCCAGCUCCGCCUGGACUGCCGCUAGCUGCUCCUGGGUUGCCGCUAGCUCCUGGCCAAGCUCGGCUUUCUCAUGGCUGAGCUGGACAACCUGAACCCGCAGCGCCACAAUCUUCUCCUCCGAAUCCUUCAGAGCCUGCUCGUACCGUUCAGCUGACACCGCUGCCGCGGACAUAGCUGCCGCGGCGGUGGCACCCGCCUUUGCUUCCGCCAGGCGGUGCUGUACGGUGCUGCGGUGGAGGGUGGCGCGCAGGGACGGGGCGUGGGCGUGGCAGCUGGUACAGCGCGAGCUGCAGCUUGCGCCGCUGACGAGGCCGCUGCAGUUGGUGCUGAAGUGCACUUGCCGCUCCUCGUAGCUGGUGGGCCACAGCGGAUCGUCGGUCGGCAGGGCAAGGCGCCCGGCCGCGGGAUAGAUGGUGGUACGCGGCUGCAUACUGAAGCGCUGCAGGGGAAGCGAGUCCACAGUACUGUUGGGGGUUGUGUGCUGGUCCUUGUAUGCACGCAUCUCCGCCGCCGACGUGCCGCCAUAGCAGGGGCGGCAGCUCUGAAGGUAGAGGAGGAGGUCGGACAGGGCUGCCUGGGUCGUCAGCCGGCCCGCGCUGGGAGCAUCUGCUGGCAACUGAACCUCCUCCAGGGCAUGCUGCACGCUGAAGCCCAGGUUAGAGGCCAGUACGACGCUGAGCCUGUUGUGGUAAUGGCUGCCCACCGUACAGUCAAACCGCAGGUGCUUGUCUCCGGUGUGAGACACGGGCUGCUGUACCAGGUGACAGGACCACGCGGACGUGACCCGUGUAUCCCAGUCCUUCCAGCCCGCCUUGGAAGCUGGGCUGAAAGCGGCACGAAUGCUCUCAAGUCGCUCACUUGGACUGACGCACUCAAGCUCGUCAAAGGCGGCCGCGGCCUGCGCCGCCGCCGCCAUGAUAGCUGAGGGAGAGAACGCGCCGCUCGUGACGUUGCGGUGGACAUCAAGCGCCUGUUGGUGGCGUCAUUUACAAAUGGGUUCGUUAGGGCUUGCAGCAGACCGUGAACGCUGGAAGUGCAUCGUGCCUAGUGCCGACCCAGAUUGCAGUCACGCCGCCCAGAUUGUACAUGUCACGCCAUGUCCACACCCCGCACGGCUAACCCCGCAUAUGCAACGAACCCAUGUGAAGCAACUCCGAAACAAUGCCAUGCUCACCUGCGGCAUCGACGCGAGCUCCAGCAGGUGGGCGCCAGGGGCAGAGGCUGCGAAGAUGGCGGUCUGCCUGGCGAAGAUGUUGGAGCGCUUGCGGCUGUGCACUCCCGUGCUCUUGUUGAUUGUACUCACGAAAUAGGCGAGCUGUCGCGGUGUCAGGCUGUACUCGCUGUCACUGCCGUUCAGCCCCGCGAUCUCGCUGAAGAGGGCAGCCGCACUCGCAAAGAAAGCGCUGCUGCUGCUGCCCCGUGCCCUCUUCAUAGUGAGCCCACUGUCUGAGAAGUGCCCGCCAAGGAUACGGUACAGAACCAACUCCUCAGGCGCCGGCAGUGUGUCGCCCCACCUCUCCCACACCGGGAACGUAGUGCGGCCCCCCGUGUAAGCUGCAGCAGGCGGCGGCGCUACUGUUGGCUCCGCCACUGGCCCUGGCCCUACUGUUGGCGCCACCACUGGCACUGCUUCUGGGGCAGCGGUGCUGCCACCGCUACCAGCAGAGGUGGCGCCGUCGGUAGCUGGCAGUUGCUGUGGCGUUGAAGUGGCAGGCGAUGUGGCUAAUGGCUUCUCAGAAGGCUUCUCUGGAAGAUCUGGUGGAUCAAAGGUGGCAAGGUCGAUGCCGCUGACGCUGGACGCAUUCCUGCGGUGGCUGCGCCUCAGCCCCGGCUGCUGCUGCAACCCUGAAGCCGCACCGCUGUCGUUGACCAGCACCUGCUGCGGCCUCGGCUGGAUCUCUGUGCCGAAGGCCCGCGCCUGCGUUGCCGUGCUGGCGGCAACACUGGCGUUCACAAGUCCCGCCACCAGCAGCAUGCUGGCUGUGUUGUGCUGGCGCUGCAGGGGGUUCUGCGUCUGGGCCUGCUCCAGCUCGUACUCGUGCUGCAUCUCCGCGGUCACAGUCUUGUUGUGCUCUGCGCACUCAAAGCAAACGUUCCAGCCAACCCGGUCAGGUGGCGAAACAGGCUGGAUUUGACGCAGCGUUGCGCCUGGCGUGUAGCUGGAGUAAUGGGCUGCAUGUGUGUGCAGCGGACACGAGCCGAGGACACUGGUGCUGGCCACGGUGAAAGCGCAGCAGUCUUCGCCGCCGUUACACCAACCCGGCUUAUGGCCAUCGCUGCUGCGGCCGAUGCUGAUGAAGCCCCUGGACGAAACCUUCAUGCCACAGGUGUAGCAGUGCCUCCGCCGCAUUUCCGCAACCUUUCCCAUUGAGACGGGCUCGGCGCAGACAACCAGGAACAGAAUGAAGAACUGUGGGGGGCGGUACAAGGGGGGAAGAGGCGGGCGGGGGUGAGCAACCAGCCUGCACACAAAGGAGGCCACCCACCAAAGCCUCGGGGGCACUCCACAACAUCUUGGACCGCAAUCACAGGCUCAUCAGAGCGCAACCCACAUGCCAGGGACAGCCCGGUGUAGCCCAGUACCGGUCCCAUCGUGCACCCAAAGUCCCCGGACAUCUGGUGUGAACACUACGCCGAACCUUUUUGCAGUCUGGAAAGCGCUAUGGGCUCCCAUAUACAUGUUCUCCAUUCUGACACCUAAGCACAUGAUAUCUAGGAACGCGCGAUGCCCGCCAUGCAAAAUUGCGCCUGCAUUCUGGUGGGGAAGAAUGCCUUCCUCUAAGGACCCCGGCAUGCGCGCUAUGGCCAAAGUACCGCCAACACAUAUCGAAAUCGUGCAGGCGCGGUGAUAUGGCUGCGACGAUUUGGCCCCCUGUGAACUGAACCAUCACAUUUCGCCGGACAUCGCGUGUGGCCUAAUACUCCUUGUAAACAUGGUCGGGAUUCGCGCUUCUGGUUCCUCAUACAGUUGGCUCCAUUCUGACACCUAACCUAGGGAAAGGAGCGAUAGCCGACGCCACCCGAGCUUGUGCCGCGCUGGGGGCCUUUCCAUGCGGUCCUGGAAACGGCCCAACCAGCACCCUCCUGGCCUCCUAAGGCCGCACCCACCCCCGCUGGGACAUGGUAUUGGGAUGCAAAUGCCUAGGUCGGCGCUGGCAGCUCCUUAGGAGGCUCAGCGAGCCCGCAAAGGGUCCAUUUCCCCGUUCUCCCCUGGUCUCACCGUCGCUCGCAGGGCGCCCAGGGCCUCCAGGACACGCCAGAUCCCCGCGAAACGAGCGUUCCAGUUCAUUUCAGUAUUUCACGCCAUACUCAGCCCAAAGGCCCGCCCAUAGGUCGGCGCCACUACAAGACUAGAAUGCAUACAAAUACACCUCUUACCAACCUCGCAAGCUCGUCGCUAGGAAAUAUGUGGAAAAUGGUUGCUCGGCGAAAGGUGGAGCGAAAGUCCGCAGGUAUCUGCGUUCUGAUAUGCUUUGCACUCUGCAUGCUGACAACCAACGCGACCACGGCUGGGAACGAGUCUGGCUCUGCCGCGGCCGACCGCUGGUUUGACCGGGGACCGCCCCGGCAUUCCAGCGCUUUCGUGCUAUUGGGCAACCAUGACCGUACCAUGCCAAUCCAAAAGUGGUCUGCAAGAGGUCUCACGACCUGCACCGAGAGCUCUGCGAAAGGGGGAUGUUCGCAUGUUUGCACCAACCGGGCAACUGGCGCACAGCUGCCAGCCCUAAGCCACACUGAUGGCUCCAUUGCGACACAUGGAAUUAACCACGCACACGGUAGCGUGUGGAGGGAGAACUUCAGCUUUGCGCACUCGAUGUUCACAGUACACUCGAACCCCGCGAACGCGACGCUCUUGUCGGAUCGCUGCUCUCAGAAAGGCAUAUUUGAUACCAGUAUACUGCACACGACGUGCUACACAGCUGGCAAGCGUGCUGGCGCCGAACCUUUCGGCAUGUCGCCAAAGAGACCUUCGCAAAGCCCAACUGCUGCAAAACACCCGUCUUUUGAGGAGCUUAUAAGCUCCAAGCACAUACCAGUUGCCUCAGAGCCGCUCGCCAACGACGUCCCAGAAAGGGGUCGAGCCGAGCCUCUUGGCCUCCAGUAUUAUACAGCUAAUUCCCAGCUCUAUGAAAAUGCGAGUUUGCUCACAGAACCACAACCGACAAGCUCCGAACGAAGGCAAUACCGAAGCCCUAGCGGACUCCUGUCGCGCGCAAAGGUUAAGCCAAAGCCUGGAUGCACCAACAUACGCAAUGUGAUGAUAACUGCCUUGCAACCGGUAGGGGAGGGACUCCUUUCUACAAAUCUGAAAAUAGCACAGGCAUGCAGGAGUGGCAUGAGAAAGUUAUGCACAGCGGAGGGAGUAUACCGUCCAUAUGCGAGUAAGACAAUCGGGCUGCUUGGAGAGAGCCUGUUAACGAGUGUGCUUGCGCUGGGCGACCUGGGCAGUCGGCAUGGAGGAACCAUGCUGCGCUCCGGUGCUUCGGCACUGCACUCCAUGGCAGAAACAGCUUACGGGCCCCAACCAACCCACAACUGUAGUGCCUCCUGGGAAAACUCGCCGCUUCUUCGCCUGCACCUUGCACUUGCCGUCUACCUCCACUGGGUUGGAGCAGGGCAUGUACGGGCAGCCAUGCACAGCCAUGCUAUCGCCAUCAGAGUGGGCACACACCUUGCAACCCUGUCUAGACUCGCCACCUACCAGACAGUCGCCCAGACUGGCAAAGCACUACACACCAUACUUGACAAAGCCAUUGUCAGCCUCGCCAUCAUCACCGCGACAGGGGCCAUGUAUAUGCUCUGGACCCACCUCCUGCACACCGAAACCCACACUACCUCCAUCAACACGGAAAUCUAUGCAAACGGUGCAAUCCUCAGCCUGCUACUAUGGGGUCCCACACUCACCACUCUUGCUCUCUCCCCACUGUGUGUAAUAGCGCUUGCCUUCGGGAUAACCGCCAUCCCCGCAGCCCUCGGUCUCCUGUUCGCACUGACAGUGACAUCCAUCCUACCCGUCCUCUGUCUCCCAGCUCUCCUCAACUAUGUGGUCCAAGUGACAAGGCAGAUAGCCUCUGCAACCUGGGCCCGGCGGAAGCUACUACUCUGGGGAACGGCCAUGGCCAUCAUCCUGCGAAACCUGUACCUCACACUGCCGGACCCUUGCAGUGUGCAACCGGCACAGCCGGCACUCUGGGGGCCAGCAUUGGUCACCGGCCUACUUACUGCUAGCCAGGCAACCACUCUCCUCACGCUUACAUAUGCAGUAAACCGGACACACACAAUGCCCUACAUCAAGCCAACACUGCGAGGUGCGCUGCCCACAGACCCGACAGCCCCGCCGGCGCCCGCCGACCCUCGCACGCAUGCGGCAGUGAACAUCCGACCACCAGCCGCACUGCACUGGCCGCCAAACUCCAACACCACAUACCAUGAAACACAGCGGCAACACUUCUGCAGUGUCCACGCCCUCAACAACUCUUUGGGGCUCGCAUGGCUCGACCCCCUGGAUGUCCUCUCUUACGCUAAACGAGUGCACGCUCACCUCACAGCCACGCAAGACCCGAAUGCCCUGUUCUGGAAAGAAUGCUACUGCCCCAACAGUGGCGCCUUCAGCGAAUUUCUCCUGAACCACUACCUGUACCACAAUGCCACCAUCAGCAACAUAUUCGCCUACCCCAACAGGAAGUUGAUUAUGCGCCGAACCCACUUUCCGCGACUCAACGGCGACAUCAGCAAAGAAAAGGUCCUAGAGAGCCUUCCGGUAGCCGCCCGAACUCGCGGCUUUACCGUCCACCAGUACACUGUGCGACACACAAUUGCUGUGCGUUACGAAGCAGGACAAUGGAGAGUAAUAGAUUCGGUGAACAGCCCUAUCCACAACACGGUCUUACACGACAACACUUGGAACACACUUGAUGGGGAGGUCUGGUGCCUUGACGCGGUGCGUGCAUCUGACACGGCAACACUUCAGGACGCACUUGGGCAACUCCGUGAGAUCGUCCCGCCACCACGCCCGCCACCCCACAUGGAGGCCACCAGACCCGUGCAGACAGGGCCCGCCGCCACAGGAAGGCCGGCACCAGAGCCAGCUCAACAUGCCCAAGACAACUCACCGCUGCGGGCAGCACACAGGGCGCCACAGCAUGCAGCACCCCACACUACCGCACCCGCGCAGCCACACAAUGCAAAUGCCGGCAUAGCACCCCGACUCAACACGACAGGCACCCGACAAACUAUCCUUAACUGGCUUGUACGGCCCACUGCACGCAACCACGCUCACAUGGAACCCAACCAGGCACACACAAACACGAGACCCCCCAGCAGCAACACCACCCUACACAUCGUGACCCACAAUGUACGGGGACUGCUCUCAGAAAUUCUGUCCACCGGCCAACCCGGCAACCUCAGCUUCACCCUCUGCAACCUAGCCCAAUGGAAAGCCGACAUAGUUGUCCUAACCGAGACAAAACUGACAGGGAAGACUGACUCAAUCAAGCGAGCCUUCCGAAAUGAAGGAUACCGCCUCUACUGUAGCACUACUCCCCGCGCGGCCACAGCGCGCGGUAGCGCUGGCGUAGCGGUGGCCAUCUCCGCCCGGUACAGUGACCUCGGCUGUGUCACACACCACACGCCCCCACCAACACUCCAUGGCUAUGUGUCACACGUUCAAAUUAAGACCCCCGGGAGCACGCCUCUCACUGUACUGGGCAUCUACGCACCAGAAGACAUGCAAACCCGCAAGGCAAUCUACACAUACUGUCAGCAGGUGGUGGGCCGGGCGGACGCGUGCGAACACCACCUAGUCACCGCGGGAGACUUUAAUGCCGUCGCCCGAGCACAUGAGCGUGACAGCCCCAUCGACACGGCGGACCGGGCCCACCAGCGGUUCCUUGCCGAUAGUGGCCUGCGCCCUAUCCGCGGAGACACCACUACCACUGCCGAAUGGUCAUAUGAACAAACACGCCCGGGCAUGGCCCCAUACCACAGUCGCAUCGAUGACAUCCUCCUAUGCCCUGCCACGCGCGCUGCAUGCACAGAAGCGCGUGAAUACACCAGUACAGUUGCAGGCAACUUUGACCACAAACCAGUCCACGCAGAGUUACUAGCCGCGGACCUACAGCUAUGGCCGGCACCACAGGCCGGCGCCCGGAACCCAGUCCCCCAGCAGCAGACCCAACAACGAUGGGCCGAGGUCGCACUGCCUGUCACACAAAAGCAACUGGCCGCCGCAGCUAUCCGCCUUGAGGAAGCCCUUGUGGAAGCAACAGCCGACCUGCAUUCCGCAACAAGGCAGGCAACGCAAUCAAUUGAACAUGCACUCACAAGGCACAGCAUGGACCCCACAGGCUACCCCGCCAGCGUCAUGCACCGAGACCUGGCGCAGGACACGAGCAUCCAGAAGGCCGAUAUCAACCAACUUGCAGAACAACUUGCCUCCGCACUGGACACCGGGCUAACAUGCCUCCUUGAAGAGUGCACCCGGAAAGCCCCCUUCACUGGCAAACACCACGCAUCACGCUCCACCGCACGGGUGCUAAAGCCCCUAUGGGACAAGGAAGUGGCCCUGAAGACACAACUGACAAACCUCACGCAAGGGCCCCAGGCCCUACCUGAGGUAGACGCCGCCAAUGCGGCGGCAAAGCUGCGGAACGAAAUAAAGGCCUGCCAGGCCGAGCACCGCCAGCUAGUGGCGGACCGCGCCAAAGCCCAGCGAGAGGCCGCUGCCACAGCGCUGCAACAUACCCUGGCCACGCGCCCUGCACAGGGGCACAAGAGAAUCUUUCAGAAGGAAGACAUGGAACGGGGUCUCCCAGCGGUCCGGAACCCAGAAACUGGGGAGGUGACGACUGACUCCACCAGCAUCCUCGCCAUACUCGAAACCCACUUCCGAAAGCUGUCCGCCCCACCACGCGGCACCCGCACUGGGGACUUCCGACUACCCAGCAACGCCACACGCGGCUACCCAUUUGAGAAAGCCGACGCAACAGAUCAAUUCACACUGGACCGCAACCGGCACCCUGACACACAUUCCAUGCUCCCCAGCAUGGCAGACACGGCAAAUUUUGAGCAGUGCAUUUCUCACCUCUCCAGAAACAAGGCGACAGGCCCUGACGGCAUCCCAAACGAACUGCUCCGUAUCCUGCCAUCGGGCAUGAAGCGCAACCUCCACUGUAUCCUGCAAAUCAUGUACGUCAAGUCACAAAUACCUGAAACCUGGGCCGCAUCAGAGACCGUGCUACUCCCCAAACCUGGAGACGCCCUGGACAUAAAAAACAAACGGCCCAUUGCGCUCGCAAAUACCUGCUACAAGCUGUACACGUCCAUGCUUACCUUGGGCAUUGGCGAACUGGCUGGCCCCCUCCAGCUAUUCAGUGAAGCGCAGGAAGGCUUCCGUGCCUACUGCAACACCGAAAGGCAGGUCCUAAAUUUAGUACAUGCCCUUGAGGAUGCCGCACUGUUUGGAAAAGAUGUCUAUGCGGUAUACGUGGACUAUAGCUCCGCGUUUAACACAAUCGACCAGGACCGAUUACUACAAAUUAUGUUUGACCUUGGGCUGCCAACGGACCUGAUCCGCGCAGUCCGCAACCUAUAUGCACAUGCGACCACCCGCAUCCGCACCGAACACGGAAGCACAUCCGCCAUUCCUAUAGAGCGAGGCACCGUGCAAGGGGAUACACUCUCACCUGUGCUCUUUAUUCUGUUCAUGGAACCUCUUGUCCGCUGGCUCCAUGCGGGCGGACGGGGCUACCACUACGGCUGCCUGACCCCCAGCGAAAACCUGCAGUACCAUUGCAGUGCCGCCGCGUACGCAGACGACCUGGCGGCGCUCACCAACUCGCUCGACGACCUGCAGGUUCAAUGUGACAAAAUCGCAUCUUACGCCGAGUGGGCGAGCCUGCGUGUCAAUCACACCAAGUGUGCCACCACCGCCAUCUGGCACGACAAAUCUCGCUCGGACCCCAACCUUGACGGGCCCACAGGAAAAGCUACCCUUGCCGCCAUGCGCCGCAACAUGACCAACACAAUUAAGAUUGGCACGACCCCUGUCCCGUACUUCCCCCCGACCCAGCCGUACAAGUACCUGGGAGUGCAGCUCACGUUCUCGCUGGACUGGUCGGCACAUGUCGCAAGAGUCACCGAGACUGUGAAGGACAAGGGCACAGCCAUUGCCACAUCCCUGGCGACACCGGCACAACGCCUGCGCAUGAUACAACAGUGCGUGCACACCACAGUUGCAUAUGGAUUCGCAGCAAUGCCCUUCACAAAACAGGACAUAACAACGCUCGACACUACCCUGGCUGGUUUUGCAAAGCGCUGCUACGGACUCCCCCGCAGCUUCCCCACCCGGACCUCCCUCCUGCCCGCCGACGAAUACGGCUUGGGCCUGGGCUCCCUCCUGCCGCAAUACGCGCGCGUGGCCCAGCGAGCCCUGGUCCUUGCCCUAAAUGACUCGGGCCGUCUUGGGAUAGUAACCCGAGCCCUUCUGCCGCGCCAGGCAAGCAUAGCUGGCCCCACACAGGCCCACCUUCUCCCAGCCCAUAGGUCACACCACCUUACGACGCUGAAACAGAUGACCCUGGCAAAAGAGUACGGUGUCACACUGUACCAAAAUGGGUCUGCCUUUACUGCGCCUACCUGGUCCAUUGCCGCUGCCCUUGAGGCAGAAGCUGACGCCCGGGGCGUCGAACCUCUCCCCAUUGAAUACGUCCUCCCUCUUGCGGACCUGAGGCUCGAACUGAGCCACCUGGUGGACCGCAACACAGGCAAACACCUGAUUACUAGCUCGGACCUCGAGAAGCACAUGGGAGCGAGCCGGGUCCGGCACAAGCACAAGGUAGCCCUGAACAGGCUUAGCCUUGCUCUCAGUAUGGCUGCACGUGCAGGGGAAAACGCUCCAGCCCAUGGCAGCCCUGCCCCCCUGACCACCGCACAGCGUGCACUGCCCGACGUGGCCGCAAUCGUGGCCUUAGCCAUGAGGGCGGACCCCCUCCCUCUCGGAAUGGCCAACCCCCUCGACCGGUACCUGCAGCCCCUCCCGGAGGCGCCCCCCGCCCAAGCAAACACCACGCAAGCCCCCGCCGACCUAGCCCCCCCCUCUCCAGCAGGGGCGGCCCAGGCCCAUCCCGGCGCACAAGGUGCUGCUGCACCGGAAGUCCCCGCUGAUGGGGCAACGCAACCCUCCCUACGGCCACCGGCCAGAGCCCGCAAGCCGGCUACAACACGCCGGCCACAGAACCAAACACGCGCACGGCGCGUUACAAAACAUGCAGCGCAACGCGCACGCAUUGCAGAAACUACACGCACUACCCCUGAGGACUUGCUCACCGGGGACCGCGCCGCCAUCAACCAUGCCCUGCGGCUCACCAACGGCGAUGAGAGCCUGCCGGUGGGCACGCGGGGAUAUGAAACGGCAUGCUCGGUAUUCCAGGCGCUCGCCAAAGACAUGACAGGACACAUGCGGAUCUGCCACCCACACCCACAAGACCCACCCUCCCUUGCACAUGCUGUCGAACCACGCCAACAGCGCCGUGGGCUACCACCCGCCCUCACAACCCGCCUCACGGCGAAUGCCGCCAACCCCGAACCCAACGCCAUAAGCGAGUAUCUGAACAACACAGGAUUGCCUAUGGAAGUCAACCAGGCUGCCGCUCACAACGACCCCAUGGACGCCGAUAGCCCGACGCCGCCCCUGACCGCCCCGGCAGUGCAAGCUGCGGGAGGCCAUGGGGCCCGUCCCAGCUGGCGACUGGCCCGCGCAAGGAUCACACACGAUCUAGUCCCAAGGCCCGCCGACAACCGCACUAACGGUGACACUCAACUCACCUACGCCCUGGACAAUGACGGACAGGAACUGGCACAGGUCCUGCACAGCGAAAACAAACAAACUGUCACGGACAAAGAACUGACACGGAAGCGCAAAGCCAGAGAGGACACCUCUGGGACACGUGAAAAAUACUGGAAGGUGCAGUGGAAGCCGUCCAUUUGCCCGGCCGGCAUUGUCUCUGCUUUUGUUCGCAUGGGCUACGCAACUAUCCAGAAUGCCAGGUGUUAUAAGCACCCUCUUGCGACGCGCCCAUGCCCACAACCUGCGCAGACCGAGGCUGAGCCUCCGGCUGAAACCCAAGCCCACGCAAUCUCACCUGAAGAGCCUGCCCAAGCUGCAGAGCCGGCAGCACCGCAGCCCACUGGGGCCCCCCUAUUCUCGUCCUGGACGACCAAACUCCUACGACAUGUCACGUGGGCGCCGAGCACGGACCGUGAACGGGACCUAAAACACAGUCCACAAUGGGAGGAGUUACUGGAGGAGUGCAAAACCCGGCUAGCAAACGGUACCAACCAAGGCCCGCGGCCCCGAACAGUGCGCCCCGCACCUGAUCGGAACCUUACCGCCAGACAGCGCCAAGGCCGCCACGACGCCGAGCCCCUGGAUACCGCAUCCCGCGCGCGUGACAUCCGCACGACCACCACCAUCACCACAAGCCCGUGCAACCCCUACAAGGACAUUGUGGCCCCCGGAGCAUACACAAUUACCACCACUGGUGGCACCCGCCGUGACCCAGCUGAGGCGCACGUCCAUGAACCCAGUGGCCGCUGGCUGGGCACCAUCACCUACCCCCGCCUCCUUACCCUGUGGGAGCGCUUCAGGCACACCGGCAACCAGCGGCCCAACGCCUUUGAGGAAGCGGUCGCUGCCCUCAUCAUGCGCUACCGCUAUGACCCGGCGCAGCAGGACCGCAAGGCCAUGCCAAUGCACCAGGUGUCGCUGCCGGCAGGCACAGUAGCAGCCAUCGUCCAAUGCCUGCGGGUCACACAAGCAGUACACAUUCGGGAAAUGUUUGCGUCCCCACUAAACUCCUCCAUUGCAGCCCACGAAUACUGGACACGAGACCCUGCUGAUGGGGCCUUUGGCGCACUGCACGAUGCCUACCAGACCGCAUGGACCGGCUUGCAAUAUGCCCACCCCCCCUCUAGCCCCCACGACGCACGGAAGGCGCUCAUGUGGGCCCUCGCAUGCGCCGAGGCUAUGCGUGACUCACAGGAACCAACCCUUACUGUAUUGGCGCUCCCCAAAGCGGCCACUUUCCCCCACACGCAGUGGCUUCAACACCCACUUUGCCACGAGCUGGCCAACUGGUCCGCGGGCACCGCGGGCCUUGACACAGGACUUGGCACCAACACCCAGGCUGAACGCCAGAAGGGGCUCCGACUGGUCAUUGUUGGGAACCCCGCCGGACUCCAGUGCUUUGCCCCCCGCCUGAAACGGCUCGUGGACGCACUGAAACGGGGGGCGAACGCACCCACGCACAUCAGCGACCCGCGCACGUGGACACACACGGCCACGGCCCCAACCUGCCCGGCCCUCCCAAACUCACUUCUAAAGCAAGCCAAAUACCAGCACGCUAACCCAAAGACGAUACACGCCAUGGCUGACGAAGCACGACGCUUUCCUAACGCGCGAUUCCAGACCCACCAUGCUCUGGCCCACGACGUGAAUGGCACUGUCUGGACAGAUGGUUCGGUAAGCAAAAUCAAAACUGACAAUGGCAAAGAAGUCCAGGUUGCCGGCGCCUGCGCCUGGUUCAGCGAUUCUCGCGUUGUCUACGUGAAUCCAAAUGGCGCUGGGUGCACAAACACUAUUACGAGAGCUGAACUGGCAGCAAUUCGUGCUGCCCUCGCAGAAUUUGGUGGCGAAGGUAAAGAAUUUGCAACUAAGAAGCUCACUAUUGCAUCAGAUUCUGUUGCAAGCUUGUACCUAAUCAAACGAGCAAUUAACGAGCCUCGGCGACUGCAUCUGAGUAAACAUCGGGACCUCCUGGAUUCAGUCGUGGCAUUGCUCCAUGCACGCCACGCCCGGGGCGCACCCACCGCCCUGAUUAAAGUGAUCUCGCACACCGGGCUACACGGCAACGAGGAAGCCGAUAAAGGGGCGGCUGCCGUCGCCACCCAGGAAAAACCCGCCGAUUUAUCCGAACCGGCCGACAACGACCCGCACGCCCGGCACUGGUGGCCGACCUUCACGGUCACCAGGGACGACGAUAGCACAGCCACGCACUACGUGUCGGACCUAAACCGGGGCCUCACCAGGGCAAUGGCCCCCAGCUGCCGUGGUGGAUACGCCAACAAAACCCUGUACACUGAGAAAUGGGCCGAGGCAGCACCCAGCCUUGACCCACGCGCCAGUAACGCGUACAUGACGAACUCGGACGCCAGCCACGGCCUACGCCGGUUCAUACAGAAUGCUCGUCAGGGAGGCCUCAUCUGCCCGGCCCGGCUGGCUUUGUUUAAACUACGAGACAGCGACAAAUGUGGUCUCUGUGCCCACACCCAGCGCAGCCGCGGAUCUGACCCAGAGCGUGGCACCGCAGGUCACCUUGCCGGCCACUGCGCGCACCCCCAACUCGUUGGCGCUAGGAUAGCCAAACACAACACUGCAGUGCGGACGAUUGCCGAAUGCCUACACCAUGGUCACAACGGUGGUGGCUACAUGAUAAUGGAUGCCACCUCCCGAGCUGAACUGCCUGAGUACUGUGCGGGCAUGCGGCCGCCGUCAUGGCUCUGCCCGCGAGUGCCCGCUGCAGACCUCAACAGGAUGCGGCCUGACAUUCUGUUUAUCCCGAACCUCCCCCGGUCCGAAGCAGAACGCUUCAUGACAUCCCCACCAGCCAACAAAGGGGCCUACCCAGUGUACAUCCUUGAAGUUGGAUACACCUCUGACCUGCACCACAGCGAGAAGCUCAUUCAAAAACAAGCACAGCAUGCCACCCUUGCCACUGCCAUGCGAGCUGCAGGGUGGACCGUGCACUACGAUACCAAGCACGUUAUUACACUGGGACACGGUGGCACUGUCCCCCGUACCCUUGAAACUCUCCUCAAAGACCUAGGAGCCAAACCGCAGGCAGCCAAGGCCUGCUGCACACGUCUCCACAUGCAUGGCGUCACCACACUCCGGGGCACCGCAAACCUGUACUACCGGCUAGAGCGAGAGAUGGGCAUUGCCAACACCCGAUGCCGCCCGGGAGGCCGCACCCAGGGGACCGCCAAUGGCGGCCCCCGCGCAGGGGAGCCGGGGUAGGGAAAUCAAGUUUUCCAAUGGUGGGGUGAGCUUGUCUCACUCCUCCUUAAGACACGCGGGCACCUGUGCCCUGCGUAGAUAUUAUUAUUAUUAUUAUUUCACGCCAUAGGACACGUCAAGUCAUGAAAUCGCUCAGGAAUGGCUCUAAACCCUCGAAAUGUUGGAGGGGGCCCUGCGGCCCUUCGCUAUCAGUUCUAAUGACUAUACAGUUGUCUUACAAACACAAAUGAAUGGCCGGGAGCUCCUUGGGAGGGGUCCGAACACCUUUUGGCCGGGUCCCAUGCAGCGCGAACCUGGAUCCAGGCCGAGUUGCACACCCCCCUCCCCUGUAGGCAGCCGAGUCGCAGCCCAGCGGGGCACACAUACAUACUGUUCUUACGCACACUAAAGCUGAACGCUACCUGAGAUUCAAGUACCACUCGAGCAGGGUUCGAUCAUUCGAGUAGUUUUGGUCUUCGCGUGUGGAUGAUUUCUUUUCUAUUUUAGACAGGGCCAAAAAUGAUACCGAAGAGAAGCAACGGCAAGCAAAGCGGCCGGAGGAGGCAGCCCGGCAGCAAGCGGCCGCGUCUGCUUAGAACGCCAAGUUACAGGGGCGGGAGUUCCAGACAUGACUAGUUGGAAGACGGCGGGGUGGCGGGACUGCGAGAGGAGGAGGGAGGAGGGAGGAGGGAGGAGGGAGGAGGGAGGAGGGAGGAGGGAGGAGGGAGGAGGGCCGAUCUGCGAGCCCGUGUUUCGAGGCGUUACCGUGGCCCAGUAUGGCCGAUGGUUGCAGACAACCCCCCUCCCCCAAAUUCGCUAACAAGGCAGCCGUACUGCGGCGGAGCAUUCUAAAGGGGGCGCCACUAAAUCGACUGGAAAGAGGCCCAGUAAUCCCACUAGCGGACCGCCAUGCGAUCCAUGGAGCGUGCCCCUAAGGGAGUCAAGUGACAGGGGACGCAAUGUACAGUGUUUGAAUGCCGAGCACGAGAGGAGGCUGGUGUAGAAGUGGCGACUAAAGUCUGAGUAUGACCUGAGUGCCAGAGUCGUAACAAAUGUUGGACCAAAGGUACUGCGGAUGCUGGCGUGCACACAACCUCCUGGACCGGUGACCGGGGCCCCAUAAAAAAAAUGCCGUGGCGACUGGCACGCCCUAGCAUGAGGAUUCCCCGCCCAGAGGGAGGAGCUUUUCUUCCUAUGGGUUUGGCUUUUCUCUCAACAACUUUCCAAAUCAGGAAGCGUGAUGUGUGCACGGAUUGGCUCGCGUCUGCUGGAUGUCUGUGCUGGGGUUGGCCCAGGGAUGCGGGAUGAGCCGGCGACUUGAGAGACGAGCCGCUCUCGCGGCUCGGGUAGUCUCUUCACCAGUUCACGUGGAGCAGUGGAGGGCGUGGGGGAGGGAGUUUCCGCCCCGCUACAUGCAGCUUCCUGCGUCAGNNNNNNNNNNNNNNNNNNNNNNNNNNNNNNNNNNNNNNNNNNNNNNNNNNNNNNNNNNNNNNNNNNNNNNNNNNNNNNNNNNNNNNNNNNNNNNNNNNNNCGCCAGCGAGCGUAAGAGGGGGUUCGCCGAGCUGGGUCGCCGAGCGUGCUAAAAGUUCACAGCACAUCGCAACUGUGCAUGACUUUGCUCACCGAUUAUAUCAACGGAUACAGCUGCUCGCACAUAUCGUGUAAGCUUUCAUCCCAGCCGAUCGGAACGAGCACUCUCUGAAAUUCUUGCAAGUGCGCGCUCUGGCAGGCCAGACUGUGUCGCUAAUACAUCGCACUGUACGUUAUAGCUGCGCGCAUUCUCGAGGAAGCCAAGAAAGCGCAGUUACCGGCUUCGUUCAUACGCUGCACUCGCUCUCGCGGCCUGGAAAGAAGAUCACGUAUACAAGAAGCUGCGAAUAAUCGAUCAUGCUAGUUGGUUCGAGCUGAAUCGCGCUGUAGCGCAAACGCACCGGGUGCGUCACACUUUCCAGGGCAUAUGUAGAUAGCUGGGCUAACAAGGCAGCCGUACUGCGGCGGAGCAUUCUAAAGGGGGCGCCACUAAAUCGACUGGAAAGAGGCCCAGUAAUCCCACUAGCGGACCGCCAUGCGAUCCAUGGAGCGUGCCCCUAAGGGAGUCAAGUGACAGGGGACGCAAUGUACAGUGUUUAAAUGCCGAGCACGAGAGGAGGCUGGUGUAGAAGUGGCGACUAAAGUCUGAGUAUGACCUGAGUGCCAGAGUCGUAACAAAUGUUGGACCAAAGGUACUGCGGAUGCUGGCGUGCACACAACCUCCUGGACCGGUGACCGGGGCCCCAUAAAAAAAAUGCCGUGGCGACUGGCACGCCCUAGCAUGAGGAUUCCCCGCCCAGAGGGAGGAGCUUUUCUUCCUAUGGGUUUGGCUUUUCUCUCAACAACUUUCCAAAUCAGGAAGCGUGAUGUGUGCACGGAUUGGCUCGCGUCUGCUGGAUGUCUGUGCUGGGGUUGGCCCAGGGAUGCGGGAUGAGCCGGCGACUUGAGAGACGAGCCGCUCUCGCGGCUCGGGUAGUCUCUUCACCAGUUCACGUGGAGCAGUGGAGGGCGUGGGGGAGGGAGUUUCCGCCCCGCUACAUGCAGCUUCCUGCGUCAGUCCGCACACCCACAUUAACCACAACUACUAAGUGCAUUAAUCCCGGCCAGCAGCCCCGCCACAGCUUAGUCCGCCCAGCGGAACUCGGCACUGUCACGCCAGUGCUUCAGGGCUGCCGCGUACGGGAAGUCCGACAGAGAGAACCACCGCUGCGCCAUCAUGCGCACAGUCAGGCACAGGUGCCGCUGCUCCAGCCGGUUGCGCUGCUUGUUCUUGAUGUAGCUCAUGGUGCUGAACACAAGCUCCUUGACUUUGGCCUUGACAUUGCCCAAGCUCUUAUCCUUAACCUUAGGGGCCAUAUCGUGGGGCCAUAUCUACUGUAUGAACUGGUAUGAAUGUAAUACGCAUAGCAAGUAGUAUUUGCGGCGGGGCCCGGGUAGUUUAGGGUCCGGCGGAUUAAAUUUUUGGUACCCGUGUGGGUACUCGAGGCCCCAAUAAUUAGUUUCCAGUACCCGCGUCAAUUUCGUCGAAUUGUUUUCUCAGUACCCGAAUGGGUACUAGUACCCGGUUUUGGAAACACUGCUAGAUUGCAUCGUCGGCCUACGUGGACAUUGCGCAGUCUCCAUGCGGGUCCCACUCCAUGACAAAUCGUGUCCCCAGGGAGGCGCCCACACGACGGCACCCAAAACCCCCUGAUAGAUAGUACUUUCAGGAUGCCACCACGCCGUCCCUAACUGAUGUGUACAGGACAAUACAUCAGGGGGGUUUCACCGCCGUCCGGGGGCUGCGCUUCCCCAGCUACCCCAGCCAAACCCGCACGCCAAGGAGGCCCCAAACCAAACGCAGAGCGGGAUACAGACUCCGCCACUUAAUGUAUAUAUGUUACAUGCAAUCUAUUGGAGCAAUAGCGCUUGACGGCAGGCUAAAACGUGCUCGUCGAGGCUCAAGUCAUGACAUUGACCGACCAACAUCCUGCAUAGGCGUUGUUUUGGAGCGUGAUCAAUUGCCGUCAACACAGAUAUCUGCAUAGAUGUAAUCAGGCUACUAUCUGGCCUGAUAUGGCGUGUCCUGGCGAACGCGACAUGCAGAUGUUUGAGGUCGGCCCCGGCUCGAUUCAGUGCCCCGGGGCUACCCUAUUGACCUUAUAUGUUUGUAGUAGAUGCUAUAGGAGGAAUGGUACUGGGCUGGGGACACGACCGGCCCGUAGUUGGACGUUGCCGACCGACCUCGCAGCGCCACCUUGCCGGUGCCUGAGGCGCAUGCUGCCUAUUAAUUGCUAUUCAUAAUUCUGGGUCCCUUUUAUGGGGCCACGCGGCCACACACCGGUGCUCGCGCAAACCCGAUACUCAACGCGGCGACGCGGCGUUCUUAAGUGGGGGGCCGAAUUCUGUGCGCUGUAUUUACACAACUGGGUCCCUCGCGGCUGCCCGGACAGCAAAUGGCCGCGGCUCCGACAUAAACGCCACGGAGCGCACUCCCGUAUGCGGCCCCAGCGACGUCGCGAGCACGCGCGACGCUCCUCGCAACAAAGCUGGGUCCCUCACGCCCGGGGCCCCGGCCCUCCCCCACACCCUCGGAGGAUCGCCCGCGCGACUAAGUCCGGUUUCUAUUAUUAUUCUUCUUAUGAUAUAGGAAUAAUAAUAAUAAUAUCUACGCAGGGCACAGGUACCCGCGUGUCUUAAGGAGGAGUGAGACAAGCUCACCCCACCAUCGGAAAACUUGAUUUCCCUACCCCGGCUCCCCUGCGCGGGGGCCGCCAUUGGCGGUCCCCUGGGUGCGGCCUCCCGGGCGGCAUCGGGUGUUGACAAUGCCCAUCUCUCGCUCUAGUCGGUAGUACAGGUUUGCGGUGCCCCGGAGUGUGGUGACGCUAUGCAUGUGGAGACGUGUGCAGCAGGCCUUGGCUGCCUGCGGUUUGGCUCCUAGGUCUUUGAGGAGAGUUUCAAGGGUACGGGGGACAGUGCCACCGUGGCCCAGUGUAAUAACGUGUUUAGUAUCCUAGUGCACAGUCCACCCUGCAACUCGCAUGGCAGUGGCAAGGGUGGCGUGCUGUGCUUGUUUUUGAAUGAGCUUCUCGCUGUGGUGCAGGUCAGAGGUGUAUCCAACUUCAAGGAUGUACACUGGGUAGGCCCCUUUGUUGGCUGGUGGGGAUGUCAUGAAGCGUUCUGCUUCGGACCGGGGAAGGUUCGGGAUAAACAGAAUGUCAGGCCGCAACCUGUUGAGGUCUGCAGCGGGCACUUGCGGGCAGAGCCAGGACGGCGGCCGCAUGCCCGCACAGUACUCAGGCAGUUCAGCUCGGGAGGUGGCAUCCAUUAUCAUGUAGCCACCACCGUUGUGACCAUGGUGUAGGCACUCGGCAAUCGUCCGCACUGCAGUGUUGUGUUUGGCUAUCCUAGCGCCAACGAGUUGGGGGUGCGCGCAGUGGCCGGCAAGGUGACCUGUGGUGCCACGCUCUGGGUCAGAUCCGCGGCUGCGCUGGGCGUGGGCACAGAGACCACAUUUGUCGCUGUCUCGUAGUUUAAACAAAGCCAGCCGUGCCGGGCAGAUGAGGCCUCCCUGACGAGCAUUCUGUAUGAACCGGCGUAGGCCGUGGCUGGCGUCCGAGUUCGUCAUGUACGCGUUGCUGGCGCGCGGGUCAAGGCUGGGUGCUGCCUCGGCCCAUUUUUCAGUGUACAGGGUUUUGUUGGCGUAUCCACCACGGCAGCUGGGGGCCAUUGCCCUGGUGAGGCCCCGGUUUAGGUCCGACACGUAGUGCGUGGCUGUGCUAUCGUCGUCUCUGGUUGGCGUGCCCCGGCCCCCGCAGGGGGCGCGGCGCACCCAUACGUUGGCUCGCCCCCCAAAGGGGGGCGAAAGCCUUACUCUUCGACCAGAACCAUACAUUAGGGUUGUUUGCAGUUUUUGCGUUUUCGUGAAAGGAUGUAUGCAAGUAGCGGCUGCUUCGGAGUAUUUGUCAAGCGGAGAAACCUUUGAAAACAUGCAACACAGAAAAACCGGUAGAAAAAGCGCACCUCCCAGGCCAUGUCCAAGGCCUGUCGUCUUGGACCCAUCACCAAUCCAAAGCCCAGCGCACGAAGCCACAAGCCUAGCCAAAGCCAAAGCCGCAAGCCAAAGCCAAAGCCAAAGCCAAAGCCAGUAAAGCCAGAGCCAAAGCCAAAGCCAAAGCCAAAGCCAAAGCCAAAGCCAAAGCCAAAGCCAAAGCCAAAGCCAAAGCCAAAGCCAAAGCCAAAGCCAAAGCCAAAGCCAAAGCCAAAGCCGAAGAAUGUCGCCGUGCCCUCGACUUGACGUUCUGCUCGCCGCAAAUGCAUUGAUGCGGUGGCCAUUGAUGCGCAAGGCCGAGGCGACCCAGCAGAGCGAUGUUGCCCGUGGGCCGCCGCCGCCGCCGCCACCGCCGCCGCCGCUGCCGGGGCGUGUGGAGCCGCAACCGUGCUGCUGCAACGCGCCUGAACCUCGCCCCCGGCCCCUACCAUAGCCAACGUGGCAUAGAUGACAAGUGCAGUGCACGCACAGGCAAGGGCAGGAAGCGCAGCGCGAGCGUGAGGGCGCAAGGCCGAGGCGACCCAACAGAGCGAUGUUCACGCGGGUACCACUCCGGGGGUCAAGGGCGGGAUCGCAAGGUCUAUGCCCAGACUGUCGCCCCGACCAUGAAUUGACAUCCCAUUACGCAUAAUAAGGUCCCUGGAUGGUGCUCGGGCAUAAUUUUGAGCGAGAGCUCAAGUCGAAAUGCUGUAUGUCGCGCUCGCCAGGACCCCGCCAACUUAGCCUGAAGCUAUUUUGAUUACAUCUAUACGAGAAUUAAUGUCGACGGCAAUAGAUUCAGGCCCCAAACAGCGCAUAUGCGAGAUAUGGGCUUCGGUCAAUUUCGCGACUUGAGCCCCGAUAAGCAUAAUUUGGACCUUUGCCGACCACUUCUGGCUGAUGAUGAUGUUGGUUAUGUACCUACAGAAAGGCGGUGUCUAAUCCGUGCGGUAGGAUUUGCCCCGGGGCAACGUCCAACGUGCGGGUUUGGCUGGGAAAACGCACCCCCCGGACGGCAGCCCAGUUUUCACCACGGGCAAUAGCUCGUACAAGAAAUCUAACUAGCCAGGCGGAUAGAGCGCUAUCGAAUUGUGGGGGGUAGGUCGGGUCAGCAUCCUUGUACGAGUUAUUGCUCACAGUGAAAAGGCCCGCGGAAGAAGGGACUCCCCUAGACCCCAUCCAGCCGCCUGGUGGUACCCGCGUGGCGAUGUUGCCCGUGGGCCGCCGCCGCCGCCGCCGCCGCCGAGGCGUAUGAAGCCGCAACCGUGCUGCUGCAAUGCGCCUGAACCUCGCCCCCAGCCCCCACCAUAGCUGACGUCGCAUAGCAAGUGCAGUGCACGCACAGGCAACAGCAGGAAGCACAGCACCAGCGCCAGCCAGGGCGUGUCAGCAUCCAGAUUUGUACCCACCCCAACACACGCACUACCUUGGAUUUCCGCCCCCCCCUGCGCGCGCAGCGCACACUUGUGCCGUCUCCUGCCUCGUCACGCCUACCAGUUCAGCACGCUGUAACUUGCCCCGCUUGAAUGCUCUGGUGCACGUCUGUCAAUCCAGUGAUCGCUAUCCAACACCUUGCGCUCACAGCCAGCCUCGGCUACACGCCCCUAGCGCUGAAGCCUCACCUCCGCACUUCCCCUCAAGCGGAAAGUCCGCACAAAGGGCGAGCCAUCGCGCUGCGGAGCGGGGAGGUUUCAGAAAGCGGCGGUUGACGAAAACUUGGGCAACACGUGUUCCCCGCUCCCGCCGACUGCACACAGGCAUUAUUUAAGCCAUCUGUUACACGAAGCUGUUGUACACCAGGAAGUAAGAAGAGGCCCCAGCGACGAAGUUCAGAUACCCGGCUCGAGUCCAGGGAACCCGACCGCGAAAGUAACUGAUGCUGAACCAGAUAAAAUGCGCUCAAGCGCAUAGAAUGGAGUCCGAUGCCGCAAGGAAGCCAAUGUUGAGGCCGAUUUAUCGCACAGGCAGGCGCUGUGCCGAUUGAUUCAUCAGAUACAUAAAUAGCUCCAAAUUAAGCACUUGUGAAUCUUUCAGAAGCCUCGUAGGCGUGUAAGCUGCGAGCGCGAUCAUCUGUCCUUAAUACAGCCGCGCUGGCAGCCCCAUAUAGUGAUACCAAUGAAGCUUAGACUCCGUAAUCAAAAUACUUGCAAAACGUGCAGGUGAACGGUUUCGCCGCAAGGUCGAACUUUCUGCCCUCGGUUUCGGCCUCGGCGACGAUCGAGACUGUUAAACCCAGGUGAUUUCAUCAACAAAGCAUGUUAAGUGAUCGGUUUUGCGCAGCUUAGGACCGGUCCGGGAGGUUGUGCACGCGCAACGGCUGCAAUGUUGUGCGGUCCCGCCCAUUUCGCGACUCUGGCUCUUGCCCUUAACGUCUACUUCAUUCCCAGCCCUUCUUCACCUCAGCUCAACAUCCCUGCCUGCAUAUGCGAGCCCACUCUCUCAGCCUAUUACCGCUGUACGUUGCGUCCCUUGUCCCUUGACAGUUGACACCCUUAGGGGCACGCCCCAUGGAUCGCAUGGCGGUCCGCUAGUGACCGUGAAGGUCGGCCACCAGUGCCGGGCGUGCGGGUCGUUGUCGGCCGGUUCGGAUACAUCGGCGGGUUGGCUCGCCCCCCAAAGGGGGGCGACAGCCUUAGUCCUCGACCAGAACCAUACAUUAGGGUUCUUUGCAGUUUUUGCGUUUUCGUGAAAGGAUGUAUGCAAGUAGCGGCUGCUUUGGAGUAUUUGUCAAGCGGAGAAACCUUUGAAAACAUGCAACACAGAAAAACCGGUAGAAAAAGCGCACCUCCCAGUCCAAGUCCAAGGCCUGUCGUCUUGGACCCAUCACCAAACCAAAGCCCAGCGCACAAAGCCACAAGCCUAGCCAAAGCCAAAGCCGCAAGCCAAAGCCAAAGCCAGAGCCAGAGCCAGAGCCAAAGCCAAAGCCAAAGCCAAAGCCAAAGCCAAAGCCAAAGCCAAAGCCAAAGCCAAAGCCAAAGCCAAAGCCAAAGCCAAAGCCAAAGCCAAAGCCAAAGCCAAAGCCAAAGCCAAAGCCAAAGCCAAAGCCAAAGCCAAAGCCAAAGCCAAAGCCAAAGCCAAAGCCAAAGCCAAAGCCAAAGCCAAAGCCAAAGCCAAAGCCAAAGCCAAAGCCAAAGCCAAAGCCAAAGCCCAGCGCACGAAGCCACAAGCCAAAGCCAAAGCCAAAGCCAAAGCCAAAGCCAAAGCCAAAGCCAAAGCCAAAGCCAAAGCCAAAGCCAAAGCCAAAGCCAAAGCCAAAGCCAAAGCCAAAGCCAAAGCCAAAGCCAAAGCCAAAGCCAAAGCCAAAGCCAAAGCCAAAGCCAAAGCCAAAGCCAAAGCCAAAGCCAAAGCCAAAGCCAAAGCCAAAGCCAAGCCGAAGUGAAGAAUGUCGACCCAGCGGAGCGGUGUUGCCCGUGGGCCGCCGCCGCCGCCGCCGCCGCCGGGGCGUGUGGAGCCGCAACCGUGCUGCUGCAACGCGCCUGAACCUCCCCCCGGUCCCUACCAUAGCCAACGUGGCAUAGAUGACGCACAGGCAAGGGCAGGAAGCGCAGCGCGAGCGCGAAAUUGCAAGGCCGAGGCGACCCAGCAGAGCGAUGUUGCCUGUGGGCCGCCGCCGGGGCGUGUGAAGCCGCAACCGUGCUGCUGCAAUGCGCCUGAAUCUCGCCUCCAGCCCCCACCAUAGCUGACGUCGCAUAGCAAGUCUGCAAGUGCAGUGCACGCACAGGCAACAGCAGGAAGCGCAGCACCAGCGCUUGGGCGUGUCAGCAUCCAGAUUUGUACGUACCCACCCAAAACACACGCACUACCUUGGAUUUCCGCCCCCCCCCCCUUGCGUGCGCGCGCAGCGCACACUUGUGCUGUCUCCUGCCUCGUCACGCCUACCAGCUCAGCACGCUGUAACUUUCCCCGCUUGAAUGCUCUUGUGCACGUCUGUCAAUCCAGGGAUCGCUAUCCAAUACCUUGCGCUCACAGCCAGCCUCGGCUACACGCCCCUAGCGCUGAAGCCUCGCCUGUGCACUUCCCCUCAAGCGAAAAAUCCGCACAAAGGGCGAGCCAUCGCGCUGCGGAGCGGGGAGGUUUUUCCUGGGUGGCGACGGCAGCCGCCCCUUUAUCGGCUUCCUCGUUGCCGUGUAGCCCGGUGUGCGAGAUCACUUUAAUCAGAGCGGUGGGUGCGCCCCGGGCGUGGCGUGCAUGGAGCAAUGCCACGACUGAAUCCAGGAGGUCCCGAUGUUUACUCAGAUGCAGUCGCCGAGGCUCGUUAAUUGCUCGUUUGAUUAGGUACAAGCUUGCAACAGAAUCUGAUGCAAUAGUGAGCUUCUUAUUUGCAAAUUCUUCACCCUCGCCACCAAAUUCUGCGAGCGCAGCACGAAUUGCUGCCAGUUCAGCUCUCGUAAUAGUGUUUGUGCACCCAGCGCCAUUUGGAUUCACGUAGACAACGCGAGAAUCGCUGAACCAGGCGCAGGCGCCGGCAACCUGGACUUCUUUGCCAUUGUUAGUUUUGAUUUUGCUUACCGAACCAUCUGUCCAGACAGUGCCAUUCACGUCGUGGGCCAGAGCAUGGUGGGUCUGGAAUCGCGCGUUAGGAAAGCGUCGUGUUUCUUCAGCCAUGGCGUGUAUCGUCUUUGGGUUAGCGUGCUGGUAUUUGGCUUGCUUUAGAAGUGAGUUUGGGAGGGCCGGGCAGGUUGGGGCCGUGGCCGUGUGUGUCCACGUGCGCGGGUCGCUGAUGUGCGUGGGUGCGUUCGCCCCCCGUUUCAGUGUGUCCACGAGCCGUUUCAGGCGGGGGGCAAAGCACUGGAGACCGGCGGGGUUCCCAACAAUGACCAGUCGGAGCCCCUUCUGGCGUUCAGCCCGGGUGUCGGUGCCAAGUCCUGUGUCAAGGCCCGCGGUGCCCGCGGACCAGUUGGCCAGCUCGUGGCAAAGUGGGUGUUGAAGCCACUGCGUGUGGGGGAAAGUGGCCGCUUUGGGAAGCGCCAAUACAGUAAGGGUUGGUUCCUGCGAGUCACGCAUAGCCUCGGCGCAUGCGAGGGCCCACAUGAGCGCCUUCCGUGCAUCGUGGGGGGUAGAGGGGGGGGUGGGCAUAUUGCAAGCCGGUCCAUGCGGUCUGGUAGGCAUCGUGCAGUGCGCCAAAGGCCCCAUCAGCAGGGUCUCGUGUCCAGUAUUCGUGGGCUGCAGUGGAGGAGUUUAGUGGGGACGCAAACAUUUCCCGAAUGUGUACUGCUUGUGUGACCCGCAGGCAUUGGACAAUGGCUGCUACUGUACCUGCCGGCAGCGACACCUGGUGCAUUGGCAUGGCCUUGCGGUCCUGCUGCGCCGGGUCAUAGCGGUAGCGCAUGAUGAGGGCAGCGACCGCUUCCUCAAAGGCGUUGGGCCGCUGGUUGCCGGUGUGCCUGAAGCGCUCCCACAGGGUAAGGAGGCGGGGGUAGGUGAUGGUGCCCAGCCAGCGGCCACUGGGUUCAUGGACGUGCGCCUCAGCUGGGUCACGGCGGGUGCCACCAGUGGUGGUAAUUGUGUAUGCUCCGGGGGCCACGAUGUCCUUGUAGGGGUUGCACGGGCUUGUGGUGAUGGUGGUGGUCGUGCGGAUGUCACGCGCGCGGGAUGCGGUAUCCAGGGGCUCGGCGUCGUGGCGGCCUUGGCGCUGUCUGGCGGUAAGGUUCCGAUCAGGUGCGGGGCGCACUGUUCGGGGCCGCGGGCCUUGGUUGGUACCGUUUGCUAGCCGGGUUUUGCACUCCUCCAGUAACUCCUCCCAUUGUGGGCUGUGUUUUAGGUCCCGUUCGCGGUCCGUGCUCGGCGCCCACGUGACAUGUCGCAGGAGUCUGGUCGUCCAGGACGAGAAUAGGGGGGCCCCAGUGGGCUGCGGUGCUGCCGGCUCUGCAACUGGGGCAGGCUCUUCAGGUGAGAUUGCGUGGGCUUGGGUUUCAGCCGGAGGCUCAGCCUCGGUCUGCGCAGGUUGUGGGCCUGGGCGCGUCGCAAGAGGGUGCUUGUAGCACCUGGCAUUCUGGAUAGUUGCGUAGCCCAUGCGAACAAAAGCAGAGACAAUGCCGGCCGGGCAAAUGGACGGCUUCCACUGCACCUUCCAGUAUUUCUCACGUGUCCCAGAGGUGUCCUCCCUGGCUUUGCGCUUCCGUGUCAGUUCUUUGUCCGUGACAGUUUGUAUAUUUUCGCUGUGCAGGACCUGCGCCAGUUCCUGUCCGUCAUUGUCCAGGUCGUAGGUGAGUUGAGUGUCGCCGUUAGUGCGGUUGUCGGCGGGCCGUGGGACUAGAUCGUGUGUGAUCCUUGCGCGGGCCAGUCGCCAGCUGGGACGGGCCCCGUGGCCUCCCGCAGCUUGCGCUGCCGGGGCGGUCAGGGGCGGCGUCGGGCCGUCGACGUCCAUGGGGUCGUUGUGCGCGGCAGCCUGGUUGAUUUCCAUAGGCAAUCCUGUGUUGUUCAAGUACUCGUUUAUGGCGUUGGGUUCGGGGUUGGCAGCAUUAGCCGUGAGGCGGGUUGUGAGGGCGGGUGGUAGCCCACGGCGCUGUUGGCGUGGUUCGACAGCAUGUGCAAAAGAUGGUGGGUCUUGGGGGUGUGGGUGGCAGAUCCGCACGUGUCCUGUCAUGUCUUUGGCGAGCGCCUGGAAUACCGAGCAUGCCGUUUCGUACCCCCGCGUGCCCACCGGCAGGCUCUCAUCGCCGUUGGUGAGCCGCAGGGCAUGGUUGAUGGCGGCGCGGUCCCCGGUGAGUAGGUCCUCAGGGGUAGUGCGUGUAGUUUCUGCAAUGCGUGCGCGUUGCGCUGCAUGUUUUGUAACGCGCCGUGCGCGUGUUUGGUUCUGUGGUGGCCGGCGUGUUGUAGCCGGCUUGCGGGCUCUGGCCGGUGGCCGUAGGGAGGGUUGCGUUGCCCCAUCAGCGGGGACUUCCGGUGCAGCAGCACCGUGUGCGCCGGGGUGGGCCUGGGCCGCCCCUGCUGGGGAGGGGGGGGCUAGGUCGGCGGGGGCUUGCGUGGUGUUUGCUUGGGCGGGGGGCGCCUCCGGGAGGGGCUGCAGGUACCGGUCGAGGGGGUUGGCCAUUCCGAGAGGGAGGGGGUCCGCCCUCAUGGCUAAGGCCACGAUUGCGGCCACGUCAGGCAGUGCACGCUGUGCGGUGGUCAGGGGGGCAGGGCUGCCGUGGGCUGGGGCGUUUUCCCCUGCACGUGCAGCCAUACUGAGAGCAAGGCUAAGCCUGUUCAGGGCUACCUUGUGCUUGUGUCGGACCCGGCUCGCUCCCAUGUGCUUCUCGAGGUCCGAGCUAGUAAUCAGGUGUUUGCCUGUGUUGCGGUCCACCAGGUGGCUCAGUUCGAGCCUCAGGUCCGCAAGAGGGAGGACGUAUUCGAUGGGGAGAGGUUCGACGCCCCGGGCCUCAGCUUCUGCCUCAAGGGCAGCGGCAAUGGACCAGGUAGGCGCAGUAAAGGCAGACCCAUUUUGGUACAGUGUGACACCGUACUCUUUUGCCAGGGUCAUCUGUUUCAGCGUCGUAAGGUGGUGUGACCUAUGGGCUGGGAGAAGGUGGGCCUGUGUAGGGCCAGCUAUGCUUGCCUGGCGCGGCAGAAGGGCUCGGGUUACUAUCCCAAGACGGCCCGAGUCAUUUAGGGCAAGGACCAGGGCCCGCUGGGCCACGCGCGCGUAUUGCGGCAGGAGGGAGCCCAGGCCCAAGCCGUAUUCGUCGGCGGGCAGGAGGGAGGUCCGGGUGGGGAAGCUGCGGGGGAGUCCGUAGCAGCGCUUUGCAAAACCAGCCAGGGUAGUGUCGAGCGUUGUUAUGUCAUGUUUUGUGAAGGGCAUUGCUGCGAAUCCAUAUGCAACUGUGGUGUGCACGCACUGUUGUAUCAUGCGCAGGCGUUGUGCCGGUGUCGCCAGGGAUGUGGCAAUGGCUGUGCCCUUGUCCUUCACAAUCUCGGUCACUCUUGCGGCAUGUGCCGACCAGUCCAGCGAGAACGUGAGCUGCACUCCCAGGUACUUGUACGGCUGGGUCGGGGGGAAGUACGGGACAGGGGUCGUGCCAAUCUUAAUUGUGUUGGUCAUGUUGCGGCGCAUGGCGGCGAGGGUAGCUUUUCCUGUGGGCCCGUCAAGGUUGGGGUCCGAGCGGGAUUUGUCGUGCCAGAUGGCGGUGGUGGCACACUUGGUGUGAUUGACACGCAGGCUCGCCCACUCGGCGUAAGAUGCGAUUUUGUCACAUUGAACCUGCAGGUCGUCGAGCGAGUUGGUGAGCGCCGCCAGGUCGUCUGCGUACGCGGCGGCACUGCAAUGGUAUUGCAGGUUUUCGCUGGGGGUCAGGCAGCCGUAGUGGUAGCCCCGUCCGCCCGCAUGGAGCCAGCGGACAAGAGGUUCCAUGAACAGAAUAAAGAGCACAGGUGAGAGUGUAUCCCCUUGCACGGUGCCUCGCUCUAUAGGAAUGGCGGAUGUGCUUCCGUGUUCGGUGCGGAUGCGGGUGGUCGCGUGUGCAUAUAGGUUGCGGACUGCGCGGAUCAGGUCCGUUGGCAGCCCAAGGUCAUACAUUAUUUGUAGUAAUCGGUCCUGGUCGAUUGUGUUAAACGCGGAGCUAUAGUCCACGUAUACCGCAUAGACAUCUUUUCCAAACAGUGCGGCAUCCUCAAGGGCAUGUACUAAAUUUAGGACCUGCCUUUCGGUGUUGCAGUAGGCACGGAAGCCUUCCUGCGCUUCACUGAAUAGCUGGAGGGGGCCAGCCAGUUCGCCAAUGCCCAAGGUAAGCAUGGACGUGUACAGCUUGUAGCAGGUAUUUGCGAGCGCAAUGGGCCGUUUGUUGUUUAUGUCCAGGGCGUCUCCAGGUUUGGGGAGUAGCACGGUCUCCGAUGCGGCCCAGGUUUCAGGUAUUUGUGACUUGACGUACAUGAUUUGCAGGAUACAGUGGAGGUUGCGCUUCAUGCCCGAUGGCAGGAUACGGAGCAGUUCGUUUGGUAUGCCGUCAGGGCCUGUCGCCUUGUUUCUGGAGAGGUGAGAAAUGCACUGCUCAAAGUUUGCCGUGUCUGCCAUGCUGGGGAGCAUGGAGUGUGUGUCAGGGUGCCGGUUGCGGUCCAGUGUGAAUUGAUCUGUUGCGUCGGCUUUCUCAAAUGGGUAGCCGCGUGUGGCGUUGCUGGGUAGUCGGAAGUCCCCAGUGCGGGUGCCGCGUGGUGGGGCGGACAGCUUUCGGAAGUGGGUUUCGAGUAUGGCGAGGAUGCUGGUGGAGUCAGUCGUCACCUCCCCAGUUUCCGGGUUCCGGACCGCUGGGAGACCCCGUUCCAUGUCUUCCUUCUGAAAGAUUCUCUUGUGCCCCUGUGCAGGGCGCGUGGCCAGGGUAUGUUGCAGCGCUGUGGCAGCGGCCUCUCGCUGGGCUUUGGCGCGGUCCGCCACUAGCUGGCGGUGCUCGGCCUGGCAGGCUUUUAUUUCGUUGCGCAGCUUUGCUGCUGCAUUGGCGGCGUCUACCUCAGGUAGGGCCUGGGGCCCUUGCGUGAGGUUUGUCAGUUGUGUCUUCAGGGCCACUUCCUUGUCCCAUAGGGGCUUUAGCACCCGUGCGGUGGAGCGUGAUGCGUGGUGUUUGCCAGUGAAGGGGGCUUUCCGGGUGCACUCUUCAAGGAGGCAUGUUAGCCCGGUGUCCAGUGCGGAGGCAAGUUGUUCUGCAAGUUGGUUGAUAUCGGCCUUCUGGAUGCUCGUGUCCUGCGCCAGGUCUCGUUGCAUGACGCUGGCGGGGUAGCCUGUGGGGUCCAUGCUGUGCCUUGUGAGUGCAUGUUCAAUUGAUUGCGUUGCCUGCCUUGUUGCGGAAUGCAGGUCGGCUGUUGCUUCCACCAAGGCUUCCUCAAGGCGGAUAGCUGCGGCGGCCAGUUGCUUUUGUGUGACGGGCAGGGCGACCUCGGCCCAUCGUUGUUGGGUCUGCUGCUGGGGGGCUGGGUUCCGGGCGCCGGCCUGUGGUGCCGGCCAUAGCUGCAGGUCCGCGGCUAGUAACUCUGCGUGGACUGGUUUGUGGUCAAAGUUGCCUGCAACUGUACUGGUGUAUUCACGCGCUUCUGUGCAUGCAGCGCGCGUGGCAGGGCAUAGGAGGAUGUCAUCAACGCGACUGUGAUAUGGGGCCAUGCCUGGGCGUGUUUGUUCAUAUGACCAUUCGGCAGUGGUAGUGGUGUCUCCGCGGAUAGGGCGCAGGCCACUAUCGGCAAGGAACCGCUGGUGGGCCCGGUCCGCCGUGUCGAUGGGGCUGUCCCGCUCAUGUGCUCGGGCGACGGCAUUAAAGUCUCCCGCGGUGACUAGGUGGUGUCCGCACGCGUCCGCCCGGCCUACCACCUGCUGACAGUAUGUGUAGAUUGCCUUGCGGGUUUGCAUGUCCUCUGGUGCGUAGAUGCCCAGUACAGUGAGAGGCGUGCUCCCGGGGGUCUUGAUUUGAACGUGUGACACAUAGCCAUGGAGUGUUGGUGGGGGCGUGUGGUGUGUGACACAGCCGAGGUCACUGUACCGGGCGGAGAUGGCCACCGCUACACCAGCGCUACCGCGCGCUGUGGCCACGCGGGGAGUAGUGCUACAGUAGAGGCGGUAUCCUUCAUUUCGGAAGGCUCGCUUGAUAGAGUCAGUCUUCCCUGUCAGUUUUGUCUCGGUUAGGACAACUAUAUCGGCUUUCCACUGGGCUAGGUUGCAGAGGGUGAAGCUGAGGUUGCCGGGUUGGCCGGUGGACAAAAUUUCUGAGAGCAGUCCCCGUACAUUGUGGGUCACGAUGUGUAGGGUGGUGUUGCCGCUGGGGGGUCGCGUGUUUGUGUGUGCCUGGUUGGGUUCCAUGUGGGCAUGGGUGCGUGCAGUGGGCCGUACUAGCCAGUUAAGGAUAGUUUGUCGGGUGCCUGUCGUGUUGAGUCGGGGUGCUAUGCUAGCAUUUGCAUUGUGUGGCUGCGCGGGUGCGGUAGUGUGGGGUGCUGCAUGCUGUGGCGCCCUGUGUGCUGCCCGCAGCGGUGAGUUGUCUUGGGCAUUUUGAGCUGGCUCUGGUGCCGGCCUUCCUGUGGCGGCGGGCCCUGCCUGCACGGGUCUGGUGGCCUCCAUGUGGGGUGGCGGGCGUGGUGGCGGGACGAUCUCACGGAGUUGCCCAAGUGCGUCCUGAAGUGUUGCCGUGUCAGAUGCACGCACCGCGUCAAGGCACCAGACCUCCCCAUCGAGUGUGUUCCAAGUGUUGUCGUGUAAGACCGUGUUGUGGAUAGGGCUGUUCACCGAGUCUAUUACUCUCCAUUGUCCUGCUUCGUAACGCACAGCAAUUGUGUGUCGCACAGUGUAUUGGUGGACGGUAAAGUCGCGAGUUCGGGCGGCUACCGGAAGACUCUCUAGGACCUUUUCUUUGCUGAUGUCGCCAUUGAGUCGCGGAAAGUGGGUUCGGCGCAUAGUCAGCUUCCUGUUGGGGUAGGCGAAUAUGUUGCUGAUGGUGGCAUUGUGGUACAGGUAGUGGUUCAGGAGAAGUUCGCUGAAGGCGCCACUGUUGGGGCAGUAGCAUUCUUUCCAGAACGGGGCAUUCGGGUCUUGCGUGGCUGUGAGGUGAGCGUGCACUCGUUUAGCGUAGGAGAGGACAUCUAGAGGGUCGAGCCAUGCGAGCCCCAAAGAGUUGUUGAGGGCGUGGACACUGCAGAAGUGUUGCCGUUGUGUUUCACGGUAUGUUGCAUUGGACCGGGGCGGCCAGUGCAGCGCGGCUGGUGGUUGGGUGUUCACUGCCGCAUGAAUGCGAGGGUCGGCGGGCACCGGCGGGGCUGUCGGGCCUGUGGGCAGCGCACCUCGCAGUGUUGGCUUGACGUAGGGCACCGUGUGUGUCCGGUUUACUGCAUGUGUAAGCGUGAGGAGAGUGGUUGCCUGGCUAGCAGUAAGUAGGCCGGUGGCCAGUGCUGGCCCCCAGAGUGUCAGCUGUGCCGGUUGCAUACUGCAAGGGUCCGGCAGUGUGAGGUACAGGUUUCGCAGGAUGAUGGCCAUGGCAGUUCCCCAGAGUAGGAGCUUCCGCCGGGCCCAGGUUGCAGAGGCUAUCUGCCGUGUCACUUGGACCACAUGUUUGAGGAGAGCUGGGAGACAGAGGACGGCAAUGAUGGAUGUCACUGUCAGUGCGAACAGGAGACCGAGGGCUGCGGGGAUGGCGGUUAUCCCGAGGGCAAGCGCUAUCACACACAGAGGGGAGAGAGCGAGAGUGGUGAGUGGGGGACCCCAUAGUAACAGGCUGAGGAUUGCACCGUUUGUGCAGAUUUCUGAGUUGACUGAGGCAGUGCGGGUUUCGGCAUGCAGGAGGUGGGUCCAGAGCAUAUACAUGGCCCCUGUCGCGGUGAUGAUUGUGAGGCUGACAAUGGCUUUGUCAAGUAUAGUGAGUAGGGCUUUGCCAGUCUGGGCAGCUGUUUGGUAGAUGGCGAGUCUAGACCGGGUAGCAAGGUGUGCGCCUACUCUGAUGGCAAUUGUAUGGCUGUGCAUCGCUGCCCGCACAUGCCCUGCUCCAGCCCAGUGGAAGUGGACGACGAGUGUAAGGUGCAGGCGAAGGAGUGGUGAACUUUCCCAGGGGGCGCUACAGUUAAGGGUCGGUUGCGGCCCGUAGGCUGUUUCUGCCAUGGAGUGCAGUGCCGAAGCACCGGAGCGCAGCAGGGUUCCUCCAUGCCGAUUGCCCAGGUCGCCAUUAUGUGUGACCCAAACUAAACCAAACCCAAAACUAAACCAAACCCAAUGAAAACGAGCGGAGCACAGGCAGAGGCGGGGGUGUUGCAAGGAUGUUUGGAGAAGCGGUACGGGGGGGGGGGGAGCAGGGGGUCCAGAUGCUCACCAGAGGGGGACUGGCGAAAGGAGGGACUGGCAGGGAGGGCUGAGGCGGGCGGCUGAAGCUUGGGGCGUGGGGAUAUUGGUCGUGUGUGCGCGCCAGUGCGUUGGUAUGGAAGAGCAUUAGAGCAAGCUCUGGGCAUCAUGGGGGGGGGCAUCAAGGAGGGAACGAGGGAGGGCGGCCGGCGGCACGCGUGGGGUGGGGCGAGGUGUGUGUUUGUGUGUGUGUGUGUGUGUGUGUGGCUGUGGCUGUGGCUGUGGCUGUGGCUGUGGCUGUGUGUGUGUGGACUGGCGGCACGCCUGCCUGCCUGCCUGCCUGCCUGCCUGCCUGCCUGCCGUGGACAGGGGAGGGGGCACUCGGAUUUGGGGCGUUGUGUGCGCCCCAUGACUAAUGCCUCAUGGCACCAUGGUGUGCCGGAUGUGCCCUGCACAAACCAGCCAUCACACACUGUCCUGCGUGCAUGGGUCGUGCUCCUUAACCAACCAUCAUCACACCAGCCACCACACCACCACACCGCGCCAACCACCACACCAGCAGGCCUGCCAAGCGCGAGCCCCUGCCGCCUCCCUGUCAGCCCCAGCAACCCAUCAGCUCCCCAACCACACAGUCUUGUCUCCUUCCCCCAUCCCCUAAGUAUUAUCGCUUGCAACUAACGCCUCUGCUUGUGCUCCGCUAGAUUUCGUCGGUUUUGGUUUACCGUAGUUUGGGCUGGUAUUUGCAACCCGCCCUCCCCUUCCCUCCGCGCUCUUUUGCAAUGGGUUAGGGCUGGUAUCUACAGCCCUCCCGCCGGCCCUUCCCUUCUCCCGCCAUCCCCUUCCCUCCCCCCCCCCCAACGCGCCUGCUAUACUACUGUUCCUAGCUACGCCUUCACUUCUUAACCCAGGUAAUCAUGAACGUAACCCCUGCCCCGCACCCGUGACAGGAUCAUCUUCGGCCUAGAUUACUGCCAUCUCAAAGGAGUGGUCAACCGUGACCUCAAGCCCGAGAACCUGUUGCUCAAGCUGACGCCGGAGGCCAGCAAAAGGCACAGGUGGGCACAGGGCAGGAGGCGGGCGGGUGGGGCGGGCGGCGGGCUUGGUGGUGUAGGUUGUGGAGUUUGGGGGGAGGGUGGUAGGUGGGGGCACUUGGCUCUAGGCCUCCUUUCUUUAGACACCAGCAAAGAUGGGUCUGAUGGUUUCUAAGGCCCUCAGCCGGCUCUUUGGCAAGAAGGAGAUGCGCAUUCUGAUGGUGCGUCCAGCCCCGCCCUGACACCUGGGCCCGACCGCUGACCGGAGACUAUGCCCCGCGCAGGUCGGUCUGGACGCCGCUGGUAAGACUACCAUCCUCUACAAGCUGAAGCUGGGCGAAAUCGUGACGACUAUUCCCACCAUCGGUAAGGGGAGAGAUCACCACCCGUAGCAGUGUGCAGCGCUGACUCGAGGCGACCGCAGGCUUCAACGUGGAGACUGUGGAGUACAAGAACAUUAGCUUCACCGUGUGGGAUGUCGGUGGCCAGGACAAGGUUCGUUUCGCUGCUUGGCCGCGAAGUUUGGCGGGGACUUGACUCGCUGUCUUCUCUGUUGCAGAUCCGCCCUCUGUGGCGGCACUACUUCCAGAACACUCAGGGCCUCAUUUUCGUCGUGGACAGCAAUGACCGCGAUCGUAUUGGGGAGGCCAAGGAUGAGCUGCACCGCAUGCUCAACGAGGUGCGCUGGAGGACUGCGGGAUGCUUACUGGGGCUCCGCGAUGAGCUGCUACGUUCAUCACAUUGAUGGUGCUGACUUGCAUGGUAUGCUUUCGGGUAUGCAGGACGAGCUGCGGGACGCCGUGCUGCUGGUCUUCGCCAACAAGCAGGACCUGCCCAACGCCAUGAACGCGGCGGAGAUCACGGAGAAGCUGGGCCUGCACGGCCUGCGCCAGCGCCACUGGUGGGUAGCGUCCGGAUGCCAGCGAAAACGUGUCAAAGGCGGGCGGGGGGUUCCAGCGUUGUUGUAUGGGGGGAGCUGCGUGGGAGCUGCGGGUACCUGGGCUGUUCUCAAAUCUGAAUGCCCAGACCAGUUUGCCUGGAAGGUGGCAGCACACGAGGAUUGAACGCACAUAACCGUGUCAAGGGUUUGUGGGCUUGGACGGCAAACACCAACUCGUGCUGCGGCUAGAAAACCCGACAGCGUGGGGAUGCAUACCUGGCAGCGUCAUUACGAGUUGACCGUGGACCUGACGACGGUGUGUGCAUUGGUUUGGCUUGCAGGUACAUCCAGUCCACGUGCGCCACCAGCGGCGAGGGCCUGUACGAGGGCCUGGACUGGCUGAGCCAAAACAUCCAGAACAAGUCGUGAGCGAGCAGAGUGGUACAGUGAGACAGACUAGCGAGAUGUGGCUGAUGAGGGCGUGGGCCAUGGCUGCGGCCCCAGGUACAGGAGUUCUGGUGGGUGGAUGUGUCGGGAUGCGUGGUGCGCGUCGUCAUGCAGUCGGGUGGUCAUGCGCGGAUAGCCAUCGCAGCGCGGGCUCGCAAUGCCAUUAGCCUGCUAGUAGAUGUGCACAUCGCGGGCAUGUUAGAUUGUUUAGGUCCCUUAUGCUGAACCAUUAUUUCUCCAGAAAAAGGCAUGCAAUACCCUGUCGCUUGCACGGUGACGCUUGACCCCUGGCAUGGGUAGUGCGGUGUUGUGGAGGGCUCUGCCAUUUCAGGGCCCGCAUGUAACUUUAACCGCAUGUGACAUAUUGACUUUCAUCGGAGGCGCGCUGUGUCCUGGGGCGCUCCUUGUGGGGUAGACAUUGGGCGGGUGCGCUUGUGGGAGCGCCGGCGCGCAGGUUUGCAGUGAUGCCUGGGGUCCACAUCAGCCUUCCUUGCAGUCUACCAUGAUUGAGAUGCUCGCAACUGCAAGGCAGGUUGACCUGCAGACGUCAAUGUGACCACCCACCACGACCACCAUAAUGAAGCGCAGCGCUAACUACUCCGGCUACGUCCAGAGCUCGGAUAGCUGGGCUCAGGGGGUAAGUUCGUCUUUAAAGCAUUCUCAAUACGGGGAAAGCCGCACAUGCACGCGCACCUCCGCUCACGCCCACCGCCGCAUGAAGGAAAGCCGGGGGAACGCAUGGUGCGCCGGGCUGGAUACGGUGUAUGGCUCACAUGCACGCGCACCUCCGCUCACGCCCACCGCCGCAUGAAGGAAAGCCGGGGGAACGCAUGGUGCACCGGGCUGGAUACGGUGUAUGGCUCACAUGCACGCGCACCUCCGCUCACGCCCACCGCCGCAUGAAGGAAAGCCGGGGGAACGCCUGGUGCGCCGGGCUGGAUACGGUGUAUGGCUCACAUGCACACGCACCUCCACUCACGCCCACCGCCGCAUGAAGGAAAGCCGGGGGAACGCAUGGUGCGCCGGGCUGGAUACGGGGUAAGGCUCACAUGCACGCGCACCUCCGCUCACGCCCACCGCCGCAUGAAGGAAAGCCGGGGGAACGCCUGGUGCGCCGGGCUGGAUACGGAAUAAGGCUCACAUGCACGCGCACCUCCGCUCACGCCCACCGCCGCAUGAAGGAAAGCCGGGGGAACGCCUGGUGCGCCGGGCUGGAUACGGGGUAAGGCUCACAUGCACGCGCACCUCCGCUCACGCCCACCGCCGCAUGAAGGAAAGCCGGGGGAACGCAUGGUGCUUCGGGCUGGAUACGGUGUAUGGCUCACAUGCACGCGCACCUCUGCUCACGCCCACCGCCGCAUGAAGGAAAGCCGGGGGAACGCCUGGUGCGCCGGGCUGGACACGGAAUAAGGCUCACAUGCACGCGCACCUCCGCUCACGCCCACCGCCGCAUGAAGGAAAGCCGGGGGAACGCCUGGUGCGCCGGGCUGGACACGGAAUAAGGCUCACAUGCACGCGCACCUCCGCUCACGCCCACCGCCGCAUGAAGGAAAGCCGGGGGAACGCAUGGUGCGCCGGGCUGGAUACGGUGUAUGGCUCACAUGCACACGCACCUCCGCUCACGCCCACCGCCGCAUGAAGGAAAGCCGGGGGAACGCCUGGUGCACCGGGCUGGAUACGGUGUAUGGCUCACAUGCACGCGCACCUCCGCUCACGCCCACCGCCGCAUGAAGGAAAGCCGGGGGAACGCCUGGUGCGCCGGGCUGGAUACGGUGUAUGGCUCACAUGCACGCGCACCUCCGCUCACGCCCACCGCCGCAUGAAGGAAAGCCGGGGGAACGCAUGGUGCGCCGGGCUGGAUACGGUGUAUGGCUCACAUGCACGCGCACCUCCGCUCACGCCCACCGCCGCAUGAAGGAAAGCCGGGGGAAAGCCUGGUGCGCCGGGCUGGAUACGGCGUAUGGCUCACAUGCACGCGCACCUCCGUUCACGCCCACCGCCGCAUGAAGGAAAGCCGGGGGAACGCCUGGAGCGCCGGGCUGGAUACGGUGUAUGGCUCACAUGCACACGCACCUCCACUCACGCCCACCGCCGCAUGAAGGAAAGCCGGGGGAACGCCUGGUGCGCCGGGCUGGAUACGGUGUAUGGCUCACAUGCACGCGCACCUCCGCUCACGCCCACCGCCGCAUGAAGGAAAGCCGGGGGAACGCCUGGUGCGCCGGGCUGGAUACGGUGUAUGGCUCACAUGCACGCGCACCUCCGCUCACGCCCACCGCCGCAUGAAGGAAAGCCGGGGGAACGCAUGGUGCGCCGGGCUGGAUACGGUGUAUGGCUCACAUGCACGCGCACCUCCGCUCACGCCCACCGCCGCAUGAAGGAAAGCCGGGGGAACGCAUGGUGCGCUGGGCUGGAUACGGGGUAUGGCUCACAUGCACACGCACCUCCACUCACGCCCACCGCCGCAUGAAGGAAAGCCGGGGGAACGCCUGGUGCGCCGGGCUGGACACGGAAUAAGGCUCACAUGCACGCGCACCUCCGCUCACGCCCACCGCCGCAUGAAGGAAAGCCGGGGGAACGCCUGGUGCGCCGGGCUGGAUACGGUGUAUGGCUCACAUGCACGCGCACCUCCGCUCACGCCCACCGCCGCAUGAAGGAAAGCCGGGGGAACGCAUGGUGCGCCGGGCUGGAUACGGUGUAUGGCUCACAUGCACGCGCACCUCCGCUCACGCCCACCGCCGCAUGAAGGAAAGCCGGGGGAACGCCUGGUGCGCCGGGCUGGAUACGGUGUAUGGCUCACAUGCACGCGCACCUCCGCUCACGCCCACCGCCGCAUGAAGGAAAGCCGGGGGAACGCAUGGUGCGCCGGGCUGGAUACGGUGUAUGGCUCACAUGCACGCGCACCUCCGCUCACGCCCACCGCCGCAUGAAGGAAAGCCGGGGGAACGCCUGGUGCGCCGGGCUGGAUACGGUGUAUGGCUCACAUGCACGCGCACCUCCGCUCACGCCCACCGCCGCAUGAAGGAAAGCCGGGGGAACGCAUGGUGCGCCGGGCUGGAUACGGUGUAUGGCUCACAUGCACACGCACCUCCACUCACGCCCACCGCCGCAUGAAGGAAAGCCGGGGGAACGCCUGGUGCGCCGGGCUGGUUAAGGUGUAUGGCUCACAUGCACACGCACCUCGGCUCACGCCCACCGCCGCAUGAAGGAAAGCCGGGGGAACGCAUGGUGCGCCGGGCUGGAUACGGUGUAUGGCUCACAUGCACACGCACCUUGGCUCACGCCCACCGCCGCAUGAAGGAAAGCCGGGGGAACGCAUGGUGCGCCGGGCUGGAUACGGUGUAUGGCUCACAUGCACGCGCACCUCCGCUCACGCCCACCGCCGCAUGAAGGAAAGCCGGGGGAACGCAUGGUGCGCCGGGCUGGAUACGGUGUAUGGCUCACAUGCACGCGCACCUCCGCUCACGCCCACCGCCGCAUGAAGGAAAGCCGGGGGAACGCAUGGUGCGCCGGGCUGGAUACGGGGUAAGGCUCACAUGCACGCGCACCUCCGCUCACGCCCACCGCCGCAUGAAGGAAAGCCGGGGGAACGCCUGGUGCGCCGGGCUGGAUACGGAAUAAGGCUCACAUGCACGCGCACCUCCGCUCACGCCCACCGCCGCAUGAAGGAAAGCCGGGGGAACGCCUGGUGCGCCGGGCUGGAUACGGUGUAUGGCUCACAUGCACGCGCACCUCCGCUCACGCCCACCGCCGCAUGAAGUAAAGCCGGGGGAACGCCUGGUGCGCCGGGCUGGAUACGGUGUAUGGCUCACAUGCACGCGCACCUCCGCUCACGCCCACCGCCGCAUGAAGGAAAGCCGGGGGAACGCAUGGUGCGCCGGGCUGGAUACGGGGUAAGGCUCACAUGCACGCGCACCUCCGCUCACGCCCACCGCCGCAUGAAGGAAAGCCGGGGGAACGCCUGGUGCGCCGGGCUGGAUACGGUGUAAGGCUCACAUGCACGCGCACCUCCGCUCACGCCCACCGCCGCAUGAAGGAAAGCCGGGGGAACGCCUGGUGCGCCGGGCUGGAUACGGAAUAAGGCUCACAUGCACGCGCACCUCCGCUCACGCCCACCGCCGCAUGAAGUAAAGCCGGGGGAACGCAUGGUGCGCCGGGCUGGAUACGGUGUAUGGCUCACAUGCACGCGCACCUCCGCUCACGCCCACGGCCGCAUGAAGGAAAGCCGGGGGAACGCCUGGUGCGCCGGGCUGGAUACGGUGUAUGGCUCACAUGCACGCGCACCUCCGCUCUGCCGCGGCUGCUUGGCGCAGUCACCACCACGCGCCGCCGCCGCUCCCCCCGUUAUGCCUGCCGCUCCGUGCAGAUCCCGGGCUGAUAGCAGCGCGCAGCAGCGGCAGUCGCCAGCCUUCCUCCCCACCCGCGGCCGUGCAACCGGUGACUGCUGGCCAUGGGCAGCCGCGGCAGCCACAGCCUCUGCCGCGGCUGCUUGGCACAAUCACCACCACGCGCCGCCGCCGCUCCCCCCGUUAUGCCUGCCGCUCCGUGCAGAUCCCGGUCUGAUAGCAGCGCGCAGCAGCGGCAGUCGCCAGCCUUCCUCCCCACCAGCGGCCGUGCAACCGGUGACUGCUGGCCAUACUUGGCGGUCGACAGUUUCCUCCUGUGGAACACACAUAAUAAGAAUGUAAUCUACUCUUGAAGCCUUCUAGCACACUCACUCGCGAGACACUAGAUGGCCAAAGAGGAAGCGAGCAAACGGACACGACUGGACAAGCAAGUAGGCUCAGCGAGAUGGUUUAUCACCGCUAUCACUCUGGGACUACUUGUUACAGUGACGGGAAGCGGCGCCAGGAACGCCGCGUUGUCUGCAUGGUUCAGCACUGCGCCUGCAUGAGCCACCCACGACUCUGCAAUAUGACAAGACCGACUCGGAAGCCCACGAGCCCUUCGCCGCACUGCCGAGAACAGCCGCCCGCAUGCAAGCGACCCCGCACCCCCCCAGACCCCCGCCAGACACAGCAAAGUACACAAGAACAAACACAUGCAUUCGAGGAGCCAGACCUGCUAAAACAAAGCGCGUCGAGCUCACUUGGAGCUGCAGCCAUGCUCAGGAGACGUGCGACUAGCUCUCGCAAGUCGAGAAUUAUUAACAGCACUACAGCAAUCAGCUGGGCGCUUGUUUUGCUUUCGACGCUCAGCUAUAUCUUCGCUCGUGCCCGCUGCGAGCUGAGCUGGGACAUCCCCGGCCCUCGGAAACAGAGCAAGCUAAAAGUAAACAGCAACACAGCAACCAGUUGGGCUUUUGCUCUAGCUACAAUUUCCACUUAUAUGCUCUCUUGCCGGCGCGCCCGCCAAGCAACGCCCGGAGCCGACACACACAUGCGACACGCUGGCAGCAAGAGCAAACGCAUCAAACUAGCCACACCCGUUGUCAGAGCCAUACACCUCCAUGAUAAACAGCACGACAAUCGCUCCUGCCUCAUCCAUGCAACCAACAACCUGCUCGGGAAACGCCUUCUCACACCCGCCACAGUCUGCGCCGAAUGGGAGCGGGGGUGGCAGCUCCUGCACCGCAACUCCCCAGCCUCAGUGCCCACCUGGGCGACCUACCUGACCGCCACCAGCAUAGACUAUGGCCUCAUAAACCACUGCCUCAAAGCCAACACCUGUUCCCCCCUGCCAGGCCUCCCCCAUGUCCAACUCACGGCAUGCUCGUACCACGGGGGCCUAAACCAGCACGAAGCACUCAAUGCCAUCCCCUCCGAGUCCCGCCACAUCGGCUUUAUUCUUAUCCACGGCGGCCAUGCCCGAACUGUGAAACAUGCAAACGGCCGCUGGUGGCUGCACGACUCCAAUGCACCGCGCGCCAUCCCCCUCACGAACGCCGACGCUGCACAGCCAGGCUACUACCGGUGGGCGGAUCUGGGGCGCGGCCUCGCCCUAACCCUCACUUACACCCGACACCCCGAAGUAUCAACCAACUUCAACAUCCGGGACAUCCCGCCAAUCAGGCCCCCCACCACCCGCAUCACCCUCUCACACGAGGGCAUCCGCAUCACCGCUGUCCGCACCAAUGAGGUAAACCGCCAGCACGCAGGCACCAAACGCACACGCGCUCCAAACCGCAAUGAUGCCUCCACCGCAAACAAAAGCGGCCCCACAUCCGCAGCCCUCGCACAUGACCCCCCCAUCAACCCUGCCGUCGCCACCCCUGCCGGCCCCAAGACCACAAACUCCCCUAGCCCGCCUACGAGCGCCAACCCAGGCCCAGCCUGUCAAACCAAAACUGCCACACGCACUGUGCCCAAACCAGUGGGCCCCACAAAGCGCCCCGCCAGGCGUACGCCCAACCCCACCCCUAAACUCCGCAAACUCGCCACUGGCACCCCCAGCGCACCACCACCAGCCAAGAGACUCCACCAGACCACCAUAGCAACAGCGCACAAAAGAAGACACACGGCCACACUCCAAAACACACCCAGCGGACCCGCAGACGGCCAAGCCCAGGCCAGCCCCUCCCCACCCCCCGACGGACGCAUCUCCAUCCUCACCCUCAACACCAGAGAACUGUUGAGCCACCAUGAAAGCAUCCUCCACACGGUCACCACACGCACCCCCGACAUCCUCUUCCUCACCGAAACCAAAAUUCCCACCCGCCUCCACUACAGCAUGGGCAGCGCGAAAAAGGGCCUCUCCUCGCACUACCAAACCUACACCAGCAACGCACCCUACAACCCACGAGAGGGGACCCGCCCCCAUGCCGGCGUCAUGGUCGGUGUCACCCACCGCUUUAGCCGCCCGUCCGGCACCACGGACAUGAAUGCACACAACACAGACGCACGCCUGGCAGGCCACGUCUGCCACAUACGCAUUGCACCACCACACAGCACGCCAGUACACGCCAUCGGCAUAUACGCCCCCAGCGACGACGCCACCCGCGCUGCAAUCUACAAAUACUGCACCGACCAAGCCGCCAAAACGACAGCCGCUAAAGAGCAUCUCCUUAUGGGAGGCGACUGGAACGCAGUGCUGUUCCCCUCCGACCGCAGCACGGGCGAGCUGAACGCUACGGACCGCGCCCACAUUGCCUUCGCCACCUCUGCGGGCCUGCACCCACUCACACCGCCCACACACGACCACCCCCGGCCCCACACAUACCUACAAGACCAAGCCACGGCACCGCACAUGAGCCGCAUUGACGACCUACUAGUAAGCCACCACACACACGCCAUCAUCACUACAACAGGAGGUGGACAGGAAGCGGUGCAUGAAUGCGGUGAUGCCCUCGACCACCGUGCCCUCCUCUCCAGCGUCCCCCUCGCUGCCCUCCGCCUCUACCCCUUCCCCACGACACCUGCCGCCCCCUCCGAUCCUGACGCAUGGGUAAACUACCAUCCACCAACCAAAGACCAACGCGAGAAAGCGCGCAUCAAGAUGGAGGAAACCAUUGGACAAGAGAUCGCCGACCUACUGAACACGCUACACCCUGCACACUUCGCCAUCACCAAUAAGCUAUACCCUGCCGGCCUCACCCCUGCCCAAGCCGAACGGAACACCCCAAGCCCUGCGGAGUUCCGCGCCCUUCCCGAAGUUAGUGCUGCCGACACCACGUCCAUCAGCAACACACUCGAAACCAUCCUCCAAAAGUGCCUGGACGUUCUCAAAACCUACUGCGACAAAAAACCGCCGCGCGCCAGCACUACAAGCCCACGACACCACACGUCAAAAACAGUGACGCGCCUCCUGACUGCCACCAGCAAGCUGAAAGAACGACUCACAGCCGCCCUUACUGCCACAAACGCAGCGGGCGCCACCCCACCCACCACCUCACCUCACCCCGCCCCGACGCCCCCACCCAACACCACCAGCCCCACACCUACCCCGCCGACCCCCGCAGAAGCCGACACACCCACCGCCAUCCGGAGUCAACUACUCAACGCACGCACCCUCCUCCGUGCCGCAAAAAAGGAAGCAAGGAAACUCAACACCAAACGGGCAGCCCGCGCCUUCCGACGACUGGUUGCAACACAGCCAAAACGCGCACACCAGAAGAUCUUCGAUGAAACGGACCAGCCACGCGGCACGCCCGCCCUCACUGACCCCACCACCAAAGAAGUCCACACCGCACCCGAGAAAAUCCUGAGCAGCAUCCACCAGCACUUCACCGCUCAACUCCUCCCAAUCAAUGGCCCCCGCACAGGACACUACGACAUACCCCACAGCGAGAAACAGUACCCCUGGAGCCGGCCCGACGCACCUGAUCGUAUGCCGGCCCUAUCCAAGCCAACCGACGCACCCGCCACCCUACUGCCCGGCAUAGCCGACAGCACAACGUUCUUUGGCUGCGUCAACCACCUGUCCCGCCGCAAGGCCCCGGGGCCCGAUGGAAUACCCAACGAACUCCUCCAGACAAUACCAACCAACCUGCAGACAGCCAUCCACCAACUCAUGACCCUCAUGUGGGUGAAAGCGCACAUCCCUACACACUGGACACAGUCCGACACCGUCCUCCUACCCAAGAAGGGAGACCCCCUGCUGAUACAGAAUAAGCGGCCUAUCGCGCUGGCCAACACCCUCUACAAGCUGUACACCUCUCUCAUCACCGUAAACGCCGCCCUGUUUAGCGAACAAGCCCACAUUUUCACGGAGUCACAAGAAGGAUUUCUCAGAGGCCGCAAUACCGAACGGCAAGUCCAACACCUGCUCCACGCAAUAGAGGACGCCGCCACCACCGGACGCGACCUCUUCCUACUGUACAUUGACUUCACCUCCGCAUUUAACACGAUCGACCAUGACAAACUGCUCAUCGUCAUGCGCGAUCUAGGCUACCCCACCGACCUGAUUGAGGUGGUACGGGACCUCUACGGCAAGGCAGCCACCAGCGUCCGCACUGAGCACGGCACCACGCCCCCCAUCCCCAUCCAACGAGGCACAGUGCAGGGUGACGUCCUAUCACCCCUACUGUUCAUCAUCUUUAUUGAACCGCUGCUCCGGUGGCUACACGUUGGCGGGCGCGGGUACCAAUACGGAUGCCUCACCAAAGCCGAAAACGACAAGCAUAACCUCAGCUCCGGCGCCUUCGCUGAUGACCUGGUCACAGCCACAACCCAAAUCUCAAAUCUACGAAUCCAAGUUGAAAAAAUUGAGAAAUACGCAGCAUGGGGCGGUUUGAAGGUCAACGUCUCCAAAUGCCAACUACAAGGCAUACUCCACGGCCGCGCGCGCGCCGACCCCACCCUUGGCGGCCCCCGCAGCAAGCCCCACCAGGCAGCGCUCGCCCGGAUGCUAGAAGGCCAAAUCCGCAUAGACGGCACCGCUAUCCCAUACAAGCCCCCGCAUGAAUCCUACAAAUACCUCGGCAUCCACAUCACCCCUACCCUAGACUGGAGCGCACAAGUACAGUACAUCCGGGAAAAGAUUAAGAAGCGAGGGCAACGCAUCGCCACAUCACUUGCCACACCAGACCAAAAGCUCCGAAUGAUACAAUUUACCAUCCACCCAGCAGUGGCCUACAGCCUCCCGUUCAUGCCGUACAGCACACAUGACGUCACCAGCCUCGACUCCCUGAUUGCCAGCACCGCCAAAAUGUGCUACGGCCUGAAACGAAGCUUCCCCACCCGCGCUAUCCUCCAACCCACCAACGCCCUUGGCCUGGGCGUAGGCAGCAUCCGCGAGCUGUAUGCCCGCCGCGCCGGCAAGGCUCUCGUCCAGGCCCUGAACGAUGGAGGCAGGCUGGGCGCCGUCACCCGCGCCAUGCUCCACCUGCAACACAGCGUGGCACAGAAGAUACCCGCAGAUCAGCUCCGCACACAAUGCCGCUUCUAUACCAACCUGCGACAGCUGUCGCUGAUCACAGACGCGGGCCUGGAGCUGACCCAACAGGGCAGCGCAUACCACACUACACUACACGGUUUGUCGGCCCUCCUUGCACGCACCGUGCCGCCAGGCGCCGACGCGGAACAGGCCCUGCCCUUCCGAUUGAUUCAACCCCUCCUUGAACUCACCAGCGACUUCCGCGAGCUCCUCACUCCGGACCGCACCUGCGUCAUCGAUGCCAACACUCUAAAAAACACAUGGCCGAGGGCCCAAAGGCGGCACCGGCUAGCCCUCAACCGUCUCACUCUCGCACUCCACGCUGAAACCCGAACUCGCGCCAAAACCCACAACAGCACCGCUCCCCUCACCACUGCCCAGCGCACUCUUCCAGAUGGACACACCUUCACUGGCCUCCACACGGCCCACACCGCACCUGCCGCCGUCGACUGGGGCACGCUUAACCGCUUCCUCCGCCAGCGCGCCCCCGCCACCGGACAGACUGCUAACGCCGGAGAAACCGCUGCGGCCACCACCGCCGCCGCCACCACCGCGGCGGCCGAGCCUGAGGAGGACCACCACGCCGGCGAGAGCCAUGCACCUGCACAAACACGCCGGCCAGGCACACAGCAACGUAAGCGGGCUUGCAUUAAGAUGGUCAGGGAACCUGAAGGUCGUGGAUCACCGCCUGCUGAUGCGCCCGCAGCAUUUGAUUGGGAUCCAUCGCUCGACCCGCUUACAGAAGCACACUGCGCAGACCUGAUCCAUACCGCCCCUAGCCUCCUCGGCAAAUCCAAGCCCCAAAACCCCGCGGCACACCUCAGAGGCCUGCUCCUCGGCCCCACACCCCCAGCCACAUUCACACACCGACACAAGCUCAGUCAGGAGGAGCAAGACGCGUACCUAGCCGCCACGUCCGACACAUGGAAGCACUUCAGCGAAACCUACCGCACCAAAGCCCUAACCACCACCAACACCCUAUACGGGCAACAGGAGCGAGUACAACAAGUGAUAGCGCACACCACCAGCAAAGGCGCGCCCUUUUACCGAGUCCAGUGGGAACCCACCGUCAUCACCCCCGGCUCCCUCACCCUCUACGCCCGCAACCGCUACCGCCCCAAACCCGGCGGCCUUACCUGGCUCCUCACCCCAGGUAACGAACCUCGCGUCCUUGUGGAAUGGGAAGACUUGGAAGAACCCGCCGCUAUCCUGGAUGCACAAGACAACAAGCAGGAACUCCUAGACGCCCUUAACGCCCGCCUCGCCGUCCCCCUGGGCCCCCGCCCGCCACCCCCCGCUACGGACACCCACCUAAACCCUGACCAGCGACAGGGCCGCUGGACAGACGCCAGCAAUGACACAGCACGAGGGCAACGCACUCUGCGCCACUACGUAGAUAUCAACGUUGAGCCCUGCAACCCUAGCCGAGACAUCCACCCCACGCAAGCAUACACCGUCCAGCUCGGUACAGCCCUCGACCCCGGCUCCCCGGCAUGCGGCACCCACCUGGCGCAUGUAUACGACCCCCGCGGACGGUGCAUAGGCACCAUCAGCGCAGAGCGGCUCAGCCUCCUGUGGCAACGCUACCAGCAUGCACAAACAACCUGGCCCGAAGUGCACGCCAAGCACGAUCAGGGCAGAGGCUUUGCGGCCGCCAUCGCCCGCCUGCUCCUCCGAUACAAACCCGGGGGCGGCUCCAAAUCCCACCCUGUUACCGAAAAAGGCGAACGCAUACUGUGUGAAGGGCUGACGCAAACCCUGCACACAGCAAUAGGCAGCACAACGGAGCUCUUCGCAUCACCCCUUAACGUCUCGGACGCCGCCACCACCUACUACACACUGUACGAAGAAGACAUGCUCUUUGGGGCCAACUAUGAUGCGUACUCACAGCCAUGGGAUGGAGUUGCUGUCGCCUGCCCCGAACCCAACACCGAAGACGGAGCUCACGCAGUCCGCUGGGCACUAGCAUGGGCCGAACACACCGAACCCCUUACAAACACCCGCAACCCGCCAACCACUGCCACGCUGCUCAUCCUCCCCACCCAACGCAACGCGCCAUACACACGAUACCUCGCCCACCCCAGAGUCACACUCCUUGGCAGCAUCUCCGCCACAGCAACACACGCCCUUCUCGGCCAGAUCCACAACGACGCAGGCAUCACCCUAAAACACGACCUAGUGCUGGUCAGCAAUACACCCGGAGCCCAACUCGCCCAGCCCAUACGCGACGCCCUAGGCACAUCCCUAUACCUCUCGGGCAUGCCCGUCGACCCGCAGCCCCAACUCACGUGGGCCCACACGCGAUGGGUAACCAAGCAAGUCCGCCGGAUGACCCGCACCCGCCCGGCGGCACCCCGGGUAACACCCCCUCCCGUACCGGCCACGCCAGCCACCCUGGCCCCCUUCGCGGCCACCCAGCCCCUCCGCCUCAAUCCCUAUGAAGGCUUCUACACCGAUGGCUCAGUGCAGAAGGACGCCCUCGGUCAGCCCAGCGCGUGGGGGGCCGCAGCGAUUGAUGCCCGCACGCUGCGCUGCUAUCAAAUCGACGUCAACCCUGGGCAACACGGCUGUAACACCAUCACACGAUGCGAGCUCUCGGCCAUACACCAAGUGCUCAAGCUAGACGAAGUGCAAGCGCUCCCCGAAGUCACAGUAUACACUGACUCCGCUGCGUCGCUGUUCCUCAUCCGCAAAACAAUCAACCAGCCCCAACUCCUCACCUUCAGCAAACACAAAGCGCUGCUGGAUAACAUCCUCGCGCUACUGAAACGCCGCUCCCACGCCGGCUGCCGGACUAAUCUCCUCAAGGUCAAAGCACAUUCAGGGAUUGCGCACAAUGAACUCGCAGAUCAGGCGGCGGUGAAAACCGCCAAGGGAGAACAGAUACCCGGGGCCAAGUGGCUGGUCGAGGAAUCCGAUAACGACCCGCGCAGCAAAUACUAUUGGAUACGUAAAACUAUGAAACCGACUGUAGAAGGGGUGCCACGAGAGAAGAACGAAGGACACUACGCGCAUGACCUCAACCGCGGCAUCGCCACGCUUGCGGCCCCGCACAUCGCCCAAGGCCACACCCGCGAAACCCUCUACACUGGCUUCGUUGCCAAGGCCAUCCCAGACCUGGAUAUCAAAUCCAGCACCCGAACCAUGAACCUGCAAUCAGGCCGGCACCGCAAGGCCAAACGCUGCAUGGACUAUCUGUACGGGCAGCUGUGGAACAAUAAACUCGCAGCCCGCUUCGGCCGCACAGUCACAGGCCGCCGAGCCCCCCGCGCUGGCCCCGAUACCCCCGCCCCAUGCCCACUCUGUCGCGGACCCGACUCCGGUGGCCAUAUACUGGGAGGCUGCCACAACCCCCAACUCCGUGCAAUGUACAUUAAACGACACAACAUUGCAGUCCAGACCAUCGCACGAGCCAUCUCCCGUGGUGACUGCGGUGGCUGCUACAUGGUAAUGGACGCCACGUCUAAAGCCGAUCUGCCAGACUACGCGGCUGACAACCGCCUGCCGCCGUGGCUGCUCCCCGACCAGGAGGGCAAACCAGCCGGACGCCACCUACAUUACCGCCCCGACAUCCUACUAAUCCCUUCCAUCUCCCUCGCCGCAGCCCUAAACCCAAACUUUGUCGUGCUUCCCAGCGAACGCGACACCAUCCACAUCAUCGAAGCAGGAUACACCGCCGACACGAACCACGCCGCCAAGCAACACGAAAAAGCACAACAGCACCAGGCCCUUGCAGCCGACCUGCGGGAAGCGGGAUGGAAAGUGCAAUACACCCCGCAGAGCGCAAUCAGCCUCGGAUUUGCAGGCACAAUCCACAAGGACCUCCAUCCCCUCCUCACCUCCCUGGGCGUCACUUCCCACAAAGCCAGGCAGUGCUGCGACACCCUACACGACCACGCAGUCACCACCCUCAACCACAUUGUCCUGACCAGACGGCGUCUCGAACGGGGACUGCCACCUGGCGACCCGGGCGGGACGUAACACCCUGGCGGGGUGCAGGCCUGGCCUGCACGCCCGCCUUCACAUGCUCGGUAGUGGGGGCGUACAGGAGGCGGGCCUGGCCCACCUCCUCAUCUCCCCCCACUCCCUUAAUUCACACCACUUGCCUACGGCAGGGUGUCUCUAUUUCUAUUUCUAUUUGCUGGCCAUGGGCAGCCGCGGCAGCCACAGCCUCUGCCGCGGCUGCUUGGCACAGUCACCACCACGCGCCGCCGCCGUUCCCCACGUUUACCCUGCUUAUGCUUCCCGCUCCGUGCAGAUCCCGGGCUGAUAGCAGCGCGCAGCAGCGGCAGUCGCCUGCCUUCCUCCCCACCCGCGGCCGUGCAACCGGUGACUGCUGGCCAUGGGCAGCCGCGGCAGCCACAGCCUCUGCCGCGGCUGCUUGGCACAGUCACCACCACGCGCCGCCGCCGCUCCCCCCGUUUACCCUGCUUAUGCCUGCCGCUCCGUGCAGAUCCCGGUCUGAUAGCAGCGCGCAGCAGCGGCAGUCGCCAGCCUUCCUCCCCACCAGCGGCCGUGCAACCGGUGACUGCUGGCCAUGGGCAGCCGCGGCAGCCACAGCCUCUGCCGCGGCUGCUUGGCACAGUCACCACCACGCGCCGCCGCCGUUCCCCCGUUUACCCUGCGUAUGCCUGCCGCUCCGUGCAGAUCCCGGGCUGAUAGCAGCGCGCAGCAGCGGCAGUCGCCAGCCUUCCUCCCCACCCGCGGCCGUGCAACCGGUGACUGCUGGCCAUGGGCAGCCGCGGCAGCCACAGCCUCUGCCGCGGCUGCUUGGCACAGUCACCACCACGCGCCGCCGCCGCUCCCCACGUUUACCCUGCUCAUGCUUCCCGCUCCGUGCAGAUCCCGGUCUGAUAGCAGCGCGCAGCAGCGGCAGUCGCCAGCCUUCCUCCCCACCCGCGGCCGUGCAACCGGUGACUGCUGGCCAUGGGCAGCCGCGGCAGCCACAGCCUCUGCCGCGGCUGCUUGGCACAGUCACCACCACGCGCCGCCGCCGCUCCCCCCGUUUACCCUGCUUAUGCCUGCCGCUCCGUGCAGAUCCCGGUCUGAUAGCAGCGCGCAGCAGCGGCAGUCGCCAGCCUUCCUCCCCACCAGCGGCCGUGCAACCGGUGACUGCUGGCCAUGGGCAGCCGCGGCAGCCAUAGCCUCUGCCACGGCUGCUUGGCACAGUCACCACCACGCGCCGCCGCCGUUCCCCCGUUUACCCUGCGUAUGCCUGCCGCUCCGUGCAGAUCCCGGGCUGAUAGCAGCGCGCAGCAGCGGCAGUCGCCAGCCUUCCUCCCCACCCGCGGCCGUGCAACCGGUGACUGCUGGCCAUGGGCAGCCGCGGCAGCCACAGCCUCUGCCGCGGCUGCUUGGCACAGUCACCACCACGCGCCGCCGCCGCUCCCCCCGUUUACCCUGCUUAUGCCUGCCGCUCCGUGCAGAUCCCGGUCUGAUAGCAGCGCGCAGCAGCGGCAGUCGCCAGCCUUCCUCCCCACCCGCGGCCGUGCAACCGGUGACUGCUGGCCAUGGGCAGCCGCGGCAGCCAUAGCCUCUGCCACGGCUGCUUGGCACAGUCACCACCACGCGCCGCCGCCGUUCCCCCGUUUACCCUGCUCAUGCUUCCCGCUCCGUGCAGAUCCCGGUCUGAUAGCAGCGCGCAGCAGCGGCAGUCGCCAGCCUUCCUCCCCACCCGCGGCCGUGCAACCGGUGACUGCUGGCCAUGGGCAGCCGCGGCAGCCACAGCCUCUGCCGCGGCUGCUUGGCACAAUCACCACCACGCGCCGCCGCCGCUCCCCACGUUUACCCUGCUCAUGCUUCCCGCUCCGUGCAGAUCCCGAGCUGAUAGCAGCGCGCAGCAGCGGCAGUCGCCAGCCUUCCUCCCCACCAGCGGCCGUGCAACCGGUGACUGCUGGCCAUUGGCAGCCGCGAUUACUAGUUAAUACCUAGGUUUAACUCAACAUACAUACAUACAACAUAGAGCCUGGCACUCAUUGCUUUGCCUUUGUUUAACAAGGCCCAUCCCUAACGCCGUUCUCGUGGCAAUUGCGUUAUACGUGCUAGUAUACUGUUUGUUAUUAACGCAGUAAAUGUAGAAGCAAUAGUUUGCACGUUGCAGUGCAGUUGGGCGAUCGCGAGGUCUGGCAAAGUCAUCGUUCGUUAUGUGUCUACACUCUGUGAUUUGAGCAAGUACUUGAGGUGAAGGCUUUGAUGGGGCUUGCGUCGGGGGCUUGCGUAUUCGUGGGGCGCAUGCGUCUGCAUGCGUUCCGCAUGCGUGUUUCGCACGCACAACAGAGAGGUUUGCCGCUCUCCCCGCCCCUCAUGCUUCUUGCUUUCCGUGGACGCAUGCGUCCCACCCCCAACGCAUGCUUUACGCACAAAAAGCAGGUGUGGGCACUUAUUGUGCAUCGGUGCCCCGGCCAGCCCGCCCAGCCCUGGCGGUGGGCUUGCUGUCGGCGCUAGCGCCCCGCCGUCACCGCCACCUGUGCUGCUGCAGUCCACUGCCGCGGUGGCGCCGGCAGGUGUCACCGCCCUGCCCAGUGCUGCGACCUCCAAGUCCGCGCCGGGCCCGCCUGCGCGCUGCAGUGCUUCGGCACUCCCGCCCAGUUAUGGAGGUGGGCUUGCUGUCGGCGCUAGCGCCCCGCCGUCACCGCCACCUGUGCUGCUGCAGUCCACUGCCGCGGUGGCGCCGGCAGCUGUCACCGCCCUGCCCAGUACUGCGACCUCCAAGUCCGCGCCGGGCCCGCCUGCGCGCUGCAGUGCUUCGGCACCCCCGCCCAGCCCUGGCGGUGGGCUUGCUGUCGGCUCUAGCGCCCCGCCGUCACCGCCACCUGUGCUGCUGCAGUCCGCUGCCGCGGUGGCGCCGGCAGCUGUCACCGCCCUGCCCAGUGCUGCGACCUCCAAGUCCGCGCCGGGCCCGCCUGCGCGCUGCAGUGCUUCGGCACCCCCGCCCAGUUAUGGAGGUGGGCUUGCUGUCGGCUCUAGCGCCCCGCCGUCACCGCCACCUGUGCUGCUGCAGUCCACUGCCGCGGUGGCGCCGGCAGGUGUCACCGCCCUGCCCAGUGCGUGCUGCGACCUCCACUGUAACGACGGGAAACUCGCGUCUCGGCGCGUCUCAGCGCGUCCGAGCGCGUCAGAAUGCGUCAGGGGGCGUCUGGCCGCGUAUCGUGACGCGAGUGCUGAGACGCGAACAGUGACGCGAACUACUUUGAAGGGGACCCAUACCGUGGUGCGCACGGUGUUUUACACUAGCCUAUACUGCUAUUGCGACAAAUGUAGCCUUGCCCGGCAGUAUGUGGGCUGUCAUGGGCAGAUUGGCCCCUGCACCUGCGCCUGCUGCCGCAAGCCCCUGCACCCCUGGCCCUGCACCCGGGCGGGCUGGCCAGCCCCGCCUCUGCUCCGUCGCCCCAACCAACCUUUAGGCGCAGUUCAGCCAGCCUGCGCCAGCCAGCCGAUAUGUGCCGAUACUGCUUACAACAAGCCUAUAAGCCUAGAUACAGUAAGCAAAGGCAUUGGCACAGGCGAGCAUCGGUGACACCGGUGCAAUCGGUCGCCCACCACCAAGUGUUUGCCCCUUGCCUCGCUUGACCGCUAUUCUCUUGAAAACAUAAACAUGACUGACGAACUCAUGAAUCAUACGUCUGCCAACGGGCCUUGUUCCGUUGGUGGCGGCCUGGGGCCUUCAGAGCGCGCUUCACAGCGGGCUUGUAUGGCUCCAGGCCGACCAACCCACCUCAGCGCUUACUGCGCACGUAGUGCUGUCAAUGUUAACAUUAGUGUUAGUGCUGGCGGCUCUGGCAACGGUUCACCUGAGCUUUGCUCCUCGCGCUAUCAGCCAAAGUUCACAAACGGAAGAGCUACAAAUCUUCAUUAGGCUUCCUUCAGGGCAACUCGUCACGUUCGUGGGACCUGUCGAUGCCACUGUGGGCUCUGUCUUCGACUUUAUCGCUUCCACGACCCUCUUCCAUCUAGAUAACAGCCGGAUAUGGCGCUUGGUCGCGCGCGGCGGCGACACGCUGCUGGAGCGUUCGACCGUGCUGGCACGUCGUGGCCUGGCGUCCGGUUCCGAGCUGCAAGUGCUCGCACGGCUAAUGGGUGGCACUCCAAAGAGAAGGCCAUCAGCACCCUCAGGUAUAGUUGUUGGGAGUCAAGAGGCUUGGCACGGCAAAGGACUUACAACCACACCGUGUGCACGCAGACAACUGGCUCAGCCUCCACCGCUUCACCCGCUUCCAAAACCACUUCGGAGACCCCGUCUACACGUGCACCAACCCUGGAUGCCGUUCGCCAACGCAGUUCAAGGAUAGAGCGGCUUGCUCUCGCCACGAAAAAUGCUGUGAGGGUGCACCUCGGGACCUCCCUCUCCCUGCCGGUACCGGUGGCGAAGGCGGCCUAGGAGACGCUGACGUUCCUGAGGGAGGGAGGGAUUCGCCUGCGGGUUCUGUUAGUGAGAGCGACAGCAUGGACACUAGCGGUAGCGGCACCGACAGAGGUAGCGGCACCGACAGCGGUAGCGGCACCGGCAGCGGUAGCGGCACCGGCAGCGGUAGUGGCACCGGUAGCGGCACCGACGGCGGCAGCGGCGGGAAUGUUGGCAAUGGCAGUGACAGGAGUGGUGGUGGCUACAGUAAUAGCGGCAGCGCCCGGGUUGACAGCGACUACCUAUACUCCGAUGAGGAAGAGGAAGAUGCUGCUGACGCUGAACCGGGUAAGGAUCGCGCAGGUUGCGGUCCUCCUUUGCGCGCCGCAAGCCCGGGUCUGGGUGCUGGGUCAUGCCUCUGUCCUGGGGGUCUCGCUUCCGGACAUGGCUUAUGUUCAGAUCGUUGAGAAGCGACAUCUAACUUUGCAUUACCCUGACGUCCCGCCCAACCCUGCCCCCCCACCCCCAAUCCACAGGUCAUUUCCUGGCGGCAGCUCUACACCGCGUUGUGGCUUCUCUCGACCAGGACGACCCUGCCAACAUCAACACCAUUGAGCUGCUGAAUGCUAUUCUGCAGCAAUUCGGGCACCUGGCGCCUGUUGACGGCGACGGUGAUGCUGAUGACCAAGCCGGUGCGGUUGCCAACGACCUUGCGGCGCAGGGCAUGGUCAUGCAACCCACCAACAUCUCCGAACUACAGCAUGGUGCGCGGUCUGUGCAGCACUUCAAGGGCAUCAUGUCAGAGCCGCUGUGGAGAACAGGCACUCAAUGUAAGUCGGGAUGUGGGUCGGGUCGGGUCGGGCGGGGUUGGGACAGCGGGAUUUCGACAGGCUUUGACAAGGGAGCUCUGGGGUAUUGCGUGGUGGGCGCAGCAGCAGGCGCGGGCAACACUGGAAUGGAAUGGGUAUUCGAACUGCCACUGCAACGCCACGGAAUUCUGUGCAUGUAACGGCGCACUUGAUUGACGCAAUGCACCUCCCUUUCCGUGGCUUUCACCCUCUCCGCUGGCACACUACUGCAAUUCCGGUACGACACCUAUCUGCGCAGCUGCACCUAUCACUGUGGGGCAGUUUGCUUACGCUUGGAUGAAGGAGAAGAUUGAUGGGCGCGUACGGGAUAAUGUUGCGGACCGUCAGCUGCGUUUCCUUCGUGACGUGUGCUUUCCACCUGGCAAUAACUUGCCCCCGUCGCUGUACAUAAUGAAGAAGAUGUUGGACAUUCCAGACGCACGUGACUUUGAGAAGCACGUUUGUUUGAGCGACAAGUGCUUGUUUCCUGAUUUCCCUCGAGAUGAGUGGCACCAGCACCUGCAAGAUGAGUGCGGCUGCGGCCAUCGACGGUUUAAGCCUGCCCGGCCAGGACACCAACCAGUUCCGAACAAGGUACGUUGCAUGCUUUACUUGUUGCCCAUGCGGAGUCUCCCCAUAGCAAUAAGUCUCCCAAGGUCUCCCAAUCCUGCAUGCCCUUGUUCCGUCAACCCUUCUUGACUUCAGUGCCCUUUGCCAUGACCGCGUGCACGUGCUGUCUUCCCACAGAGGUUCUACGACUUCGGUGUCGAGAAUGUCGUGCGCGGCAUGUUCAUGGACCCACGGUUCUGCAUGUUUCGCGGCACAGGGCGCGACAACAACCCUGAUGACUUCUACGGCUCGCGGUACGCACAAGACAUCAAUGCCAAGACUUCCGGCGAGUUCUUCGAGCCCGACAGCUCCGCUUACGACCUGGGAUUUGACUUCGGCGAGGUCUUCUCGUUCAAGAAGUACAGCUGCGGGAUGCUGUUCAUUCGGUGCGUGUGACGGACCUCAGCCUGUUGCAUAGUAUGGGCAAUUGCUUUCCUGUGCACCUACAGCGUCUCCGUGUGUGCAUUUGAUGUAAUGGGCAUCGUUAAGUAUGUGCCUAUGCUGUAAUCAUCACCCACCAGACCUUAUUGCUCCCCGCUUUAACUGCUGUCUUCAGGUGCGCGGACCUGCCAGUGACUCACCGCAGCAAGCGCCGCCACUGCUUCCCCCUGAUCAUCACGCCCGGACCUUCGGAGCCUGACUCAAUGGAAGUCUACUUGCGCCCAACACUGACAGCAUUCAAGGCCUUCGGGCCUGGCACCGAGGGUAUGACCGUGGUGGACGCUGCUUCGGGCCGGACCUUUGGGCACAAGAUGUUUCUGGGCGGUAUCUUUGCUGGUGAGUGGGCUUUUAGUCCGUGCUGGGGCGGGAGCGUUUGGGGACGGUAGUGGUGGGGCGGGGGCAGGAGUGCUCAGGCGUGGGCGGGAAUGCUAGGGUGGUGUGGGAGAGCUGGGGCAGGGGUGGGGGUGCAGGGGCGGGGCGCGGGGCAGGUGUGCUGGGGUGGGGUGGGAGUGCUGGGGUGAGGGCAGGAGUGCUGUGGCUUAGGUGGGCAUGGUGGGGCGGGGUUGGGCUGGUGGUGGUGGUUCUGGGGCGGGGGUGGGAGGACUGGGGGCGGGAGUGCUUGGGUCCAUAUGUUGACCUCUGCUUGGUCUGCAUGCAGAUACGCCUGCUAACCGGACGUUGAGUCUUUGGCUCUCCCAUGCGGCCAAGAACGCAUGUGGGCACUGCAUGCUGCUGGGAGAGACUGGCCCUAACGGCCAUGGUACAUACUUUCUGGGGUACAACAAGCCGGCGGACAUCAACACAGCGCUGAACGUCCUGUUGCCACCUGACUGUCAGAUGCCAGAGACUGCACUAUGCGGUGACAGCAGGAUCCGGAUCUCUCAUGCGCACCACAUGGAUCGGGCACAGGUUGUGGAAAGUAAUCAUGACUUGGCAUCAGCGCUGGGUUGCCAUGGCAUUUCCUGCAUAGCGAAGGAGCUGUCGUACAUAGACAUGAAUAACGUGUGGGUUGUGCCCAUAGCGCAUGCAGCUCUGUUCGGUGUCAUCAAGAAGUUCUGGCACUUUGUGCUGGGCGAGUCCGUCAAGAAGGCUGAGAGUGACUUUGUGUUAAGUGUAGAGGCUCGUCGCAGAAUGACUGCACGUGCAUCCCAUUUCAUCAUUACUAAUGACUUUAACCGACCCUACCGUGACAUUGUCCCCUGCUCGUACUGGACCAUGGAAGAAUGGCUACACUGGACGGACUGCUUCUCCCUAUACGUCCUGCACUCGCACGGAGGGGAUCCUAAUAAAGUUAAGAUGCCGGUAGUUACACGGAAAGAUGAUGCAGGGCUGGAUCGUGAGUUUGACCUGGGGAGAAUGUGGGAGAUGUUGCGCACGGCCAUGCUGCAUUAUCUGCGGUAUGACCAAUUCUCGGAGGCUGCGUGUGACAGUGCAGCAGUAACCUUCAAACAGUUCUGCUGUGACUCGGAGCUCGUGUUUGGCAUGAAGUUUGCUACCUACAACAUGCAUCUCCUGGCAUGUAGGCUACGCGAGCAGGAGCGUGCACGUGGGCACGUGGCGUUUGCAACUGAGUUCUGGGUCGAGCGCGGUGUGCAGCAGGUCAAAAGUGGGGUCAAGUUCCGCACAACCAGGUGUCCAGAGCAAAUUAUUGUGAGUGGGUUCCUUGCAAGUGCCCGGCUCGCUGAGAUGCGAGCUGAGCGUGGCAGGGGAGGUGGCACCGCGGAUGGUGGUGCAACGGAGCCAGCCGGGGUAGAGGCCGGCCAUGCACUGGCUGCGGGUGGGAGCCAGUACAAGUCAUUUGAUGAGUGGGUGCCAAAUUACCGUGCAGCAUACGUCACAUUGACGGGGGAUGUUUGCGCGGAUGUAGAGGAUGGUGAGGGUUCCCAGCUGCUUGGGCGCGGAUAUGUGGCGGGUCCGACCGAGCGGACAGUUGUCUUCGAAGCAUUCAUGAAGGCUUUUAGUAAAGAGGACUUCGAGACACGUUCAGGUGUGGUGGAGGGUGACUUGCAGAACGCAAGUGUUAUUAUAUUCAAACGUGCACUUGUACGACGUGACCAGGUUUUACUAUCUACAAAGUAUAACUUGACCACUGCACGUGAGUCAUUUUAUGUGAAGACUAAGUAUGCGCCAUCCCUUGACACCCCAGAGGACGAUCAGGACGUGUCUGUGUAUGUUGGAGAGGUUGCAUUCUAUGCUCGUGUGCAAACCGUGCGUGGGGUUGUAUGCCGUGUGGCAAUUUGCGAAUUGCAUAAGGUGGAGGUGGUACGGCCGCAGUCGUUGUACUAUGCUGCAGACUUUAGUCGCCGCAAGGCAACCCCCAACCAAGAACGCCAGCAGACGUUCCUGAACUCGUUCCCCGUGCUAUUGCAAGCCAUUGACUCGAAGGUGAUGCGCUGCAAGCUCGACGAGAAUAAAAGUUACUUCAUUACGUACCACUUGUUUUCUCAGUUGCCAACCAAUGAUGGUGAUUGGCAAGGAGCAGUGCAAGUUGGGUAGCCGCUCACGCGGCUGAUGCAGUCUGUAACAUGAUGAUGUCUUCUGGGCUUGUGUCUUCCGGGGCCGCCAACCGUUCCACUAAAGAAAACUUCCCGGCUGCCGACAGCGCACGCAGCCCUGCACCUGCCAGCUACCGUCGGUACAGUAACAGCGCGCGAACGACGCACCAAUGCCUUGUCCCUUCUUGCUACCCAUUUAUGUGGGCACGGGUGGGAGCCACACACAUCGGGACUACGCUUUCCUGCCCCUUGCCAUGUUCCAUCACGAGCACGCAGCCCUGCACCGGUGCCGUAUGACGAUGCAGCCCCAGCCCCCUUCCCGCCUUUCCACCAAAGAAAACUUCCCGGCUGCCGACAGCGCACGCAGCCCUGCACCGGUGCUGUAUGACAAUGCAGCCCCAGCCCCCUUCCCGCCGUUCCACUAAAGAAAUCUUCCCGGCUGCCGACAGCGCACGCAGCCCUGCAUCGGUGCCGUAUGACGAUGCAGCCUCAGCCCCCUUCCCGCCUUUAAAGAAAACUUCCCGGCUGCCGACAGCGCACGCAGCCCUGCACCGGUGCCGUAUGACGAUGCAGCCCCAGCCCCCUUCCCGCCGUUCCACUAAAGAAAACUUCCCGGCUGCCGACAGCGCACGCAGCCCUGCACCGGUGCCGUAUGACGAUGCAGCCCCAGCCCCCUUCCCGCCUUUCCACUAAAGAAAUCUUCCUGGCUGCCGACAGCGCACGCAGCCCUGCAUCGGUGCCGUAUGACGAUGCAGCCUCAGCCCCCUUCCCGCCUUUAAAGAAAACUUCCCGGCUGCCGACAGCGCACGCAGCCCUGCACCGGUGCCGUAUGUCAAUGCAGCCCCAGCCCCGUUCCCGCCGUUCCACUAAAAAAAUCUUCCCGGCUGCCGACAGCGCACGCAGCCCUGCACCGGUGCCGUAUGACGAUGCAGCCCCAGCCCCCUUCCCGCCUUUCCACUAAAGAAAACUUCCCGGCUGCCGACAGCGCACGCAGCCCUGCACCGGAAGCUUCCCAGCAUCUGAGACACAAGUUUCCCAUCAGUACAGUAUUGAUCUACCGGCCUCUUGUUUGUUUACCUAUGGAACUCAUAACAACAACGAUACAUGCUUGCGACCAGCCGUGCAUGGCUGAUCCGCCCGCUCAGCACUUCCCACCACUGCCCUGCGCCCGGCGGCCCUUGAUAGCUGACUGUUGCAGGGCCGCACCCGCAGCCCGCUUCUGGGAUGGCGGAUGACAUCCAGCCUCGGCCUCACACCCCGCGCUUGCGGCCAUGCGCAGGAUCUCCGCCUCAAACUCCUCACCGCGCUUGCACAUGACAUGCAGAGAUGCGGUCUUGCCCUCCGCCGCCAACUCCAACCGCCCGCGCGCCUCGGCCCUCCCCACUUUCACAUCAGACUGGCGUGACACAACGCCAGAGCCCACCGUCACGCCGCACGGCAUGCCCGCCUCAUCGAAUUUAGCGUUAAGUGGCACACGCAAGUCAGCACCGUGCACCACCUGCCGCGCGUCGAACACCAGCAGGUCGCUGUCCUGGGUGCGGGUGUAGGCGCUGACCCCACCAAAUGUGAACAGGUUGCGGCUGACAUGCGCCGCACGCUCCACAUCGUCCAAGAAGUCCUUGCACUGCAUGGCGAUGAGGGGUGAGCUGUCAUACAGCAGGCCAGGGCCAUACCCAUAAGCGCGCCAGCGAGCCCACGCCCAAAUUGUCAAGCACCGGCUUUGGUCAGGGCAAUGCUCCCUGGCUGGCAUUUGCAUCCUUCCUCCACCCGGCCACAAAAACGUUCCGCCGGGUCCCUUCUCCACCCCACCAGCUCGUCCAACCCUUGACGCCUGGCAGCUCACCCGGCGCCCUGUUGCCGACUUCCACAGAGCCAGGAACACGACAGUUGGCGUUGCGUCGUCCGGGUCCAGAUGCGGGUGUGUGAAGUAGUCCAGCCCGACCGGAACCAGGCCCCAUGGCGCCCCUGUCGCCAGGAUUGCAGGCGUACCCGCGACGGUCUCCUUCGCGCUCCUCACGAGGUAGUCCCACAUCGCCAGCAGCAGCAUGGCGAUGCACAGGCCGAACGCACCAAUGACCACCCGCGCUUCGUGGCUCCUCGAUGUGUGCGCAUACCUGUCAAGGAAUCAGGCCGUGCACCUUGCAUCUGUUGCCAAGCCAUCCCGAACGCCGCCCAAAGCCCUCGCCUCCUUGGAUUUCCCCUUAGGUUCCGCUCCACCACGGCUAUGCACGCCCCUCCCUCGCUGCCAUCGCUUGCCAGUCCCAUACCACUCACAUGGUCACGCGGCUCGCCUUGUUGGUCUGCACAUGCCGGUAGCCUGCCAUGUGAGUUUCGCCGCCACACUCUUUCAGCCGACCACGGGGGACCUUCUUCAGCGUCUGCGCCUCCAUCAGGCGCCGCUGCAUGUUGCGCGCCGCGCUCGCACCAACACCGGGUACUUGCUCUGCAUCACCGGCCCCGGCACAUACAGGACCAGGAGGACUGGGUUGAACACGCCGUCAGUCCCCGUCAUGUCAAUCCAGAACAGGCAUGCCCUGCCAGUCAUGUCCCAGUACACGGUCAGCGCUAGCUCCGCUGAUGUGCGGGGUCUCCCCGCAGAUUGCGCCUCCAGGUCCAACGCCGCACGAGCUUUGGCGCGCGCAUUGCACGCGUCGAGCACGUUCGGCCGCAGUUGCCGCACGUUGCCUUGCAGUAGGUCGCGGAGGGCAUCGGGGACUCGCAGGGCGAUGUACAGCUCCCUUAGCAAGGUGCCAUCGGUUAGCUCUCCAGCAGCAACCUGGUGCGGACACACGGUCACAAAUGGCAUUCAAGACAUCCAACACACAAUUGCAGUGCUCAGGACCCCUGCACACGCGGCCUGUUGGGGGGCCUGGGGUAAUGGCGGUCCCACGCCACAGAUACCCAAAGUUCCCCCCUCACCCCGGGCUCCGGCAGGUCUGUCACAACAUCAGUACCAGAGCGGGCAGCACCAGCACCACUGCCUGCUGCUUCCACAUCAGCCAUUCCCUCCUUUGGCGUCACCACAUUCAAUGGUGGUGCAGCCACCGCAGUGCCCUCCACCGCGGCUGCUGCCGUAGUCGAUGAAGCUGGCCGCCCAUCCUCCACACCACCGGACUCCCCCUCCUCCAGGCACGCGCCCUGUGCAGGCAUUCGUGCAUGAGGGCGUACGCAUGCCGACCAGGCCCGCCUGCCAUCGAGGCCACAUCACGUGCAUGCAUGCAUGUCCACAUUACGUGCACCCUACGGCCUUGCCGCCCCAUCCUGGCUGCGCACCUUCAGCUCCAGGAUCGCGGACAGGGACACGAUCUCGUUGUCCUCCACCAUGCCCAUGAUGCUCUCCUCCACGUCCGGCGCCACAUCCCCCACCUCAUCGCCCAUUGCCUGGGGCCUGGCCAUGGGUGGCAGCUCCAGCCGUACCAGCUUAUCCGCAAUGCCGGCGAAAAGCGUCAACUUGUCCCCCCGUUCCCUGGCCCUUCUUAGCUCCCUGCGAGAGCCGGCGGAUUGUGUGGGAUUUCAGUCAGCGCGCCCAGCCCCUCGCGCCGAGGCCUGAGCCCCCACAUCCGUGCUCCGGGCAGCGCCAUCCAAUUCGUCGGGUUAGCCCGGUCGGCCCCGGACGCCCCCGCUCCCCCCCGCCAUGCCCCAUCUGAGGCCGCCGCCCAAUCCAGGCCCGCCCCCGGCGAUGUGACGUACCCCGGCCACCACAGCCCAUCCAUCCAAGCCCUCCCAACCAUGGCCUGUACCUCCCCCCAGCCUCACCUUGCGAGCUCCUCCCGGCCGUGACGCCUCCACUUCUCGCCCAGCGCCAGUAGGAACCUUGGGGGGCACCCGCGGUGGGCGGCCUUGGAAGGAUCCCUCCUCCACCGCUGCUCCUCCUCGACUCGUGCCGCGAGGCAUGAGGCUUUAGGCAUGCCCGGCAUGUCCAGCUGCACAACGCCGCCGGCCCUCGCAAGUGCCGCCCUGCACAUGCAGCCCGCAUGUGAUUUUGCGGAAGUCCCGCGAGUGUCCCCCUUCCCCUCCUCAAAUCUCACCUUACUAUUACGGCCUCAUCAGAUGACAGCGACAGCGUCCCCUUCUUCAAAACCGUCUCAGUUAUGUCCAAAUCCUUGCGGGCCUCGCCCUGCUCCAGACCAACCUCUUCCGAGCUAGACGGCUCCAUUCCUAUUAGGUGCUUCUUCCAAAUCAAGACGCGCCGGGCCCGCGAACGCCGUUCAACGCGACGUUGCCACCCGGAGCCCUGGGUGGCAAAGUCGGCGCGCCUGUACCUCCGUGGCAGUCAGUGCUGCUACUAUGUACUCUUGCUUAUAUUGUUUAUGCCCCACCAUUUGCCGAGCCCAAACGCGUGUCUCUGGCUAUCGCCCACCACCGGCCCGCCCCCGCCCCAUGCGCAAAACCCUACCCCUACCAGUCCCUCCCUUUACAAACGAUACGUAGCAGUUUUGCAGGUGUUGAAAUUGAAGGUGUUCAAAAACACCAAGAAGGUGAUGAUGCCCAGGGACUCGAGGGGACCAUUUGGAUUCACCCGUUUGAAUUGGCCUCCGACCUGAGUCAAACGGGGAUGGGUGAUGGAAUCCAUCGUUUGAAUGCGCUUUAAAUUGCAAGAGAGGGCUUUCGGGCACUACCCUACCUCACAACCAUCCAACAUGGUCGCCCGUGUCUGCAAGCUCCUUAUCAAGGAUCCCGACCAUCCCAACAAAGUCUACCAUCAGUGGGCGACAACGAUUUCGCCUGGAACUAAGCCUGAUACGUUCAGGGGGGAUCUUCUCCCCGAGACGGACUCCACCGUCAAUUACAAGCUCUCCGUGGACCCCGAGGACCCCGAGGACCCCGUGGAAUAUUAUUCGCCGGAGCAGGUUCUGGCGUUUGCUCUCGAGUACCUGGCCAGCGGCUCUGACGGGCCCGCCUGCCCCCUUCCCUGCGCCUCGUGGGAUGCGGAGAAGCAGAGGCUGACCCUCACCAUUGUGCGCGAGUCCAAGCAGGACCCCAUCAAGAAGCCCAAGAAGAGCAACGCGAAAGAGCCCAUCACUCGCGUGCGAACGCCGGACUCCGCGCUGUUCAUGGAGGCCGUCCGUCGCUUCUACCCCUUCGCCAAGCGCGGCCCUGGCGAAGGCCCCCGCCUGCUCAACACCAGACUGGCCGCCAAUGGCGAGUUGAAGAAGUAUUGGCAAGACAAGAUGGCCGCGGCCUACGCCUGGAGCCUGAAGCGGGGCAUCACGUUGUCGCGCGAAGACUUCCAGGCCGACUGGACAAAGUGAGUUUUUGUUCUUCUGUAUUGGCAUGGGAAGGACGCUAGAAUGCGGAGGAAUGUCAGUAGCAUGAGCGAUGAGGAAUAGGGGGAUGAGAGUGGACUUGACCGCGUUGACUUGUUGAACUGACCAUAGUUAAUUCUUUAUACAUAAACUUGCUUCAUCCUACUACUCUUUCACAACAUAUCCAGGAAGGCAACCGACUUCAACGCCAAGCGCACCACUUACGAGAAGACGACCGCAGCCGCCCGCGCUGUCAAGGACAGUGAGUCUGCUUUCUAAUUGUAUAUACUGUAUAAGCACCUUGCAAUGAGUGCGUUGAGAGACAUGCGCGAGAGGCAGACUUUGCGUCAGUUUGACCUGGACCUUCUGCUCCAUCCUCAUGCUUCCACCGCGUGCUUGCAGAGAACCAGCCCAAGAAUGAGCGUGGCUGGUACAAGAACGCAUGGCGCAGCAAGUGGGGCAAGAUGUGGGACGGCUACAAGCGCGACCCUGUGCGCUUCACGGCUGGCGAGAAGCAGACGCUGACGGAAGAGGAGGUCGGUCUUUGCAAGGAGCUUGAGUCUUUGCUGCCAAGCCGGGCUUCCGCGAGCGUCAAGGACGCCAAGGUGUCCUACGGUGCCAUCGACGCUGGGGGCCUUCUGGUGGGUUACUUUCUUACAUAGCCAGACUGUUAGUGCGUGCUUCGCUUACGAGCGCAUCCUUACUGCUGAUACGACCAGGCGCGGUUGUUGGUGAAUGUCUGUUGCGCUUACACAACUCUGCUGCUUCUUGCAGGGACCGCUGGCCAAGGCCUUGAGCGGCCUCUCUUCAAAGACCAAGCGCUCCUCUCUGGGGUCCACAGGCGCCGUCGACGUCGCCGCCGCGCCUCAGCCCAGCCCGCCCAUGCCCCCGCCCAUGCCCCAGUCCGCCCCAGGCGCCAUCGACAAGCUGGCCGCGGCGGGUGCCGAGCGCAUGAAGGUAAGACCACCGUGAUCAUGUUCUCUGCGCGCGUCGUCUAAUAUGGCUCGCUGCGUAAGUCGUUUACUUCUGCACUGGAGAUGGUCCCUUGCGGCAUGGGUGCCAGGCACCACUGCGGACGGACCGUCCCUUCGUGCAAGUUCGCUUUCACAGCAUUGCGGCACACUUGCUGUCAUGCAGGCGAUGGGCGACAAGAAGCGGACGGAUGCGCAGAAGCGCAAGGAUGAGAGGACGGCCGAGGCGCCAGCUAAGGUGAAUGGGUGAAUGGGGGAGCUUCCGUCGUCUGGUUCAGGGUGUGUGUGGCAGCACUGUUGGUGCUCUCGGGUGGGGUUCAGCUAGAAUGCAUUCUAAAUGCAUGUGGUUCUUGGUCUACGCCAGUGUACUCUUGCGUGUUUUCUUUCACCAAUUUAUGAUGGCGAAUCAUUGUUGCGCCUACGCCCCCAUCCCAUGCAGAAGCACAAGGGCGAUGAGGCGGUAGCCCCCGCUGCCAAGGCCAAGACCAAUGCCAAGACUGCCGCUGAGGGCAAGGCUGCCAAGGUUCCGGCCGCGAAGGCUGGCAAGGCCGCCAGGGGCAAAGCCGCCAGGGGCAACGCCGCCAGGGGCAAGUAGACUGCCAAUGCUGGUGCUACAUGGAUUGUACAAUGUUCGGACUAGGCCUAGUACGGCUUAUUCUGGACUUAGCUACCGAGCAUUAGGAUGUUUGGACCCUGUGUAGACCACCUAGCGGUAGUAUGUUCGGACCCUGUGUAGACAUCCACUCCAGCAUGAGCGAGUGGCAUUUGAGGACUGCUGUGCUGCAUGCUGUGUAGACCACCUAGCGGUAGUAUGUUUGGACCCUGUGUAGACAUCCACUCCAGCAUGAGCGACUGCUGUGCUGCAUGUGCAUGACAGUGAGACUGUGAUGGGCGACAGAGCGCCUUGGACUGUGAUGCACUUACUGUCAGAUCGUAGUUGUGUGGAAAGCGAGUGAGAUGGUCGGUUCAGGUAAUCCUGAAACAUGUGUGCAGCCAGGGUCCGCCGCAGAUGUGGGAUAGAGGCAGUGUAACGUGCUCUGGAAUGAAGAGUUUCAUGUGUUUCUCCGUGGAUUGUACGGUACCCCCGUGUUUCUGUUUUCGAAUCGCGUCUCAAGACGCAGUGCGUCUCGUGCAUCGCGUGUGUGUGAGACGCGGCGCGUCUAGGGUAUCAGGCUAGCGUCUGGUGUGACGCAUCGCGUUAGCUAAGACGCGCUCUCCAUGCAAUUGUACCGCGUCACGACUCGCGUUCCAUUGCGUCUCGCAGACGCAGUGAAACGCGCUAUCUGUAAUGGUGCCCCGCUUCACUGUUUCUGGUUGCGUCCCCAUCGCGUCUACCCCGCGUCUCCCCCGCGUUUCCCCCUUAACGCGCAGCGUCUCGGCGCGUCUGACACCGCGUCUCACAGGUCAGACGCGGCCCAGACGCGCCCAGACGCGGUUUCCCGUUGUUAUAGUGUCCAAGUCCGCGCCGGGCCCGCCUGCGCGCUGCAGUGCUUCGGCACCCCCGCCAAACCCGCCGCCCGCACAGCCAACGGGCUUCUGUGCACACGUGCUGCAGCUCCAGCGGCCCAUCGGCACCGCCGUGAGAGGGGGUUCAUGGCAGUUCACGUGAUAGCAGUCGUUGCAGUCAUCGCAAAAUACCAUGUCAAAGACGGCCGUGGCCCUCCUUGCCACCGCGACUCUUCUUGGUGGUGUGCCUGCUGAGUGCCGUUUGCACCGCCCGCCCAGAGCCUCCGGCAGCUUGUCCACGCCUGCAUCAUAAUGCGCUGUUCAAGUACGGAUGCAGUCACGACGGGAUGUAUCAACUUACGAGAGCGGAGCAACUUUGGCGCUUGCGAGCAUGUUCAAGCGUCAGGGGCAACCACCCCUGUACGUUUGUCAAUUGAUUUUGAGAAGGCGUUUGACAAGGUACCCAGAUGGGCGCUGUGGGCAACGUCUGGCCGAAAGAGGAGUACGUGGCCGAAUGAUGGAGGUCCUGAAGCGUUGCUAUGAAAGAGUUUGCCUGCGGGUGAAGGUGAACGGCAAACUGAGCGACGCGUUUGAGUCGCUGCAAGGGGUCAAGCAGGGAUGUCCUAAAAGCACCGACCUGUUUGGCACCUUCAUUGAGGCACUAGCAGAAUACGUGGACGCAUGGGACCAGCAUGAGCCAACUGAACGCACGUGGAAGCAUGAGGCGCCGACGAUAGGUGGCAAACUUGUGGCCUGCCUAUUAUACGCGGACGACCUGACGGUAUGCGCACUGUCCAUCCACCGUAUGCAGUUUUUGCUCAAUAGAUUGCACGAAUUUUGCCAAACCUUUGGUAUGCGAGUCAACAUAGCUAAAUGCGAGAUCAUGGUUUUUGCGGGAAUAGCAACGCACCGGCAAAUCCACGCCGUGUACGCUACGGCCCUUCGGUACCCGUACCCUGGGGGUGUAAGCAUACCGGUGAAGGGGCGAGCGCGGUACCUUGGCCUAUACUACGGCCCGGCCACAACGUUUGAUUCUUGCUACCAAGAGCUAAUAGCUGCGGGCAGGAGAGCUGCGUUUGGGUUGAUAGCGGCGCUAGAUAAGAACGAGUGCUCGUCCGGGCACCAUGCAAGCAUGUUUCGAAGUGCAAGUGAGGUCCGUGCUGUCGUAUGGCGUCGAGGUGUGGGGCCCCGACGCCCUGAGCGCCCUGUUUGAAGGCACGAGCUAUGGCGGCCACGACCGCACCAUGGACAAAACGCUAAAAAGCAAGUGGAGAAAUGCCAAGACUUGGUUUGACAAAGCCCUGAUUGAUCCGAUGGUGGCACUGCAAACAUCUUUCCUGGCACGAGCUGCGGGGGUUCGCAAGCCCACCUACAGGCUGCUUUAUGCUGAGUUUGCCGCACAACCCAUGCAUUUGCACUGGGCGUACAUGGUGUUUGGUUGCUGGAAUCGUAUUAUCAAGCAAGACAAAUCGCUAGCGCACGUGUUUUUGGAAGAUGCCGUAGCAACGGCAGCUGCAGGAGGUUUCGAAGGCAUGUGCUGGGUGAGCAAGGUUUACCGAGUCUGCAAAAAGCUUGGCUACGACUGGUGUACAGAGGGCCCGCAGGGCACAGACGCACUUUGUGAAUGGCUACUGCGCACGGGGCUGCCGAUUGGUAGUUUGCUGGGCAACUUCGCCCACAUGCUUAUGGGUGAAUGGAAGGCAGAGAGCAUAUGCACUGACCCUCGGGCUUUCCCUGAAAGCGGAGGGCACCGUAGUACUGCCGGUGGGCCGGGAGUUAAGAUGUGCCGCUAUACGCAGUGGAUGGGCGUCCCGCAGUUGGAUGCUGCAGUUAAGCAAGGCAUUUUACCGCACAUGAAGGAGUAUGUUACGCACAAGCACCUCAUGGCGCUGAUACGGUUCAGGCUAGGAUGUUGGGAUAUCGAGGUUAAUCGCCCCGUGGCGGGGGGCCGGUACCGUCCGCGCAACGAAAGGGUGUGCAGGCUGUGUCGAGGCGGUGUAGAAGAUGAAAAGCACGUUAUGCUGGAGUGCCCAAUUUAUGCUAACAUUCGGUUGGCUUCUGGUACUACAGGUAGCGAUAUGAAAAAGAUUAUGCUUGACACGGACACGCAAAAGUUGGCUGCCCACUUGUACGCAGUUACGACGCUACGGGCACGGACGCUAUUGAUCUAGGCCAUUUGCCUGUUUACCUAACGCGCCCCCGGACUCAAAGGAGUUAGUGGGGCCACAUGGACUCGAACCCAUGAAUAAUAAUAAUAAUAAUAUCUACGCAGGGCACAGGUACCCGCGUGUCUUAAGGAGGAGUGAGACAAGCUCACCCCACCAUCGGAAAACUUGAUUUCCCUACCCCGGCUCCCCUGCGCGGGGGCCGCCAUUGGCGGCCCCCUGGGUGCGGCCUCCCGGGCGGCAUCGGGUGUUGACAAUGCCCAUCUCUCGCUCUAGUCGGUAGUACAGGUUUGCGGUGCCCCGGAGUGUGGUGACGCUAUGCAUGUGGAGACGUGUGCAGCAGGCCUUGGCUGCCUGCGGUUUGGCUCCUAGGUCUUUGAGGAGAGUUUCAAGGGUACGGGGGACAGUGCCACCGUGGCCCAGUGUAAUAACGUGUUUAGUAUCGCAGUGCACAGUCCACCCUGCAGCUCGCAUGGCAGUGGCAAGGGUGGCGUGCUGUGCUUGUUUUUGAAUGAGCUUCUCGCUGUGGUGCAGGUCAGAGGUGUAUCCAACUUCAAGGAUGUACACUGGGUAGGCCCCUUUGUUGGCUGGUGGGGAUGUCAUGAAGCGUUCUGCUUCGGACCGGGGAAGGUUCGGGAUAAACAGAAUGUCAGGCCGCAUCCUGUUGAGGUCUGCAGCGGGCACUUGCGGGCAGAGCCAGGACGGCGGCCGCAUGCCCGCACAGUACUCAGGCAGUUCAGCUCGGGAGGUGGCAUCGAGUUGGGGGUGCGCGCAGUGGCCGGCAAGGUGACCUGCGGUGCCACGCUCUGGGUCAGAUCCGCGGCUGCGCUGGGUGUGGGCACAGAGACCACAUUUGUCUCGAACCCAUGUAAAUGCUCAUGCUCAUGCUCAUGGCUGAGCAUGCCAGCAAUGACCGCCACAGCUUCCUCCUCGCCGUACUCUUCCUUCACCUCCUGGAAGUGGCCGAGUGCCUCCUCCUGCAGCGUUGCAAGUAUCAGCAAACUACCCGUAGCCGCCCUAGCAUGUGCACUUACCUGCGUCGGCGUGAGCUUGCCCCAUUUCAAGCUGGCAUCCCGCAGCGCCCUGGCCAGGGCUGCCUAUAGCCUUCUUCCUUCAGCACCUGCAGCAGCGAGCCCUCCCCAGCCCCCUUCCCAUCCAUGUUGAAGCGCUCAAAAUGCGUCUGCAGGAGCUGCUGGCUGAGUGCAGUUGCACCUGUUGCAUAGGGGAUGAAAGGAGUUAAUGGGAGCUUGGCACGCAACCGUGCACACGAGGCUUGCACACCUUGCGGCUUGCGGACCUUGCGAGCCGCCACCACCGGGUUGACAAUAAUAAUAAUAAUAAUAAUAAUAAUAAUAAUAAUAAUAAUAAUAAUAAUAAUAAUAAUAAUAAUAAUAAUAAUAAUAAUAAUAAUAAUAAUAAUUACAACGCCGGCCCAUAGGGCCUGGCAUGGAUUAACGGGGCAAGGUGACUAAGGCGAGAGGGCCCGCCCCCCUCACGCUGACGCCUCACCACGAAAGAGUCACAACCUCCGAAACUACAACCUCCAAGUCCUAGGCCGCUCUUCAAAGUCCACUACAUCCAAACCUGCACACCUAGCAUAUCGAGCUAGGGAAACGCCACGUUAUAGUAGUGGAGCACUGCCAGUUCGUGCAAACCGAGGAGCCAUGGCGCUCCUCUUCGAGCCUUGGAUCUUGAGCCUUGUCUUGAACCUUGGACCUCGCCACUAAAUCGGACUUCUGCACCGCGACCUUUCUAGUUUGCAGCGGCAUAAGCCCGCAAUUGCCACUAAGGGCAAUUACCGUGGGAUCACCAAUCGGUUUCGCACCAAUCUUUCGCCUUUUGCAUAGUUGGGCUUUUAUCCGGAUUCGUACCCGGGUCCCUUCUGCCGUAAGGACGAGUCAAAUCGCUAACCAGCUAGGCCGGGGGCCUGAUUGUGCACACCCUCCUCCUCUGGGCCCGAGGCGGGGGGGGUGGGGGUGGGGGCUGUGAUGGAGGUGUGCGAUGCCGCGCGGGACGUAUGGUGAAGGUGUCGGGGUGGGGAGUACGGGGGCCGGCGACGAGGUUUGCUGCAUGUGUACCGCCGCCGUCCUGCAGCCAAGACCUUCGUUGAAGGGCAGCGUGUGUGUGUGUGUGUAAUGCACGGUAUGUGUGUUUUUGUGUGUGUGUGUGUGUGCUUGAAAGGUGUGUCAGCCGUGCAGGCAUUGAUUGGUGCAAAUUAAGCAAGGAGUGUUCACCAGCGCCAUCACUAACAAAACUGAUGAACGGGCUGUGUCGAGGUCGAGCGCUCAUAUGUUACAGGGGCGGUGUUAGUGGCCGAAUUUGCUGAAAUGGCGAAACAGGAGUUGACGAAAUAGGCUGCCACUGCUUCAUGUUUCGGGGGCUCCGCCCCUGACCCGCACAAUGUCAACACUGACACGAUACGCCCACUCCUUGGUGUGUCCUGCUCACCUAAUUCCACUGUCCCGUUAGGGGAAUCCCUGUCUCCCGCCGUCAACACUCAACACGCAUAGAUACAGCCCUUUGAGCGUUGUUACCAUAUGCGACUACUUCUAGCGCUCGGUCAAGGCAAACAUAACGACCGCCCCCAACAUCAUUAGCGCUUCUAUGGUGGUGUCCAUCCGUGAGGCAGACUAUGAACACAUGCAACAGUGUAACAACAACAGCUAUAACAAGAUCGCGACCUCAGCGCUUGUGAUGAUCUGUGGUCAACAGCCGUCAUUGAUGUGCGAGGCCUACGUCUUCCUUGUUGCAAGUCGUGGUGCAACAAUCACGUACAGAUGCAAGCACAGCUGGCGUUGCUUAGGGCACGUGCGCUAGUACCCACGCAAGCUGAUACGGGAGCACGUUGAUGACGUCGGGUGAUGCGCCAUGGCGAGAGUGUAUCAUGUGCAGCAGAGCAGCAUGCAGGCGCCGCCAUUCAUCUACGGAAACGGGCGCGUGCCAGGCCUCCCACAGGUGCACGACUUCGAAUCCGUGGCCGUACACGCUCCACGCCACGUCAGACGUGUUGGUGAUGAUGGGAGGACCGCAAGUGGCUGCAAGUGCGUUGCCGGGCGCGGUGGGAGUGGCUGCAACGGCCAUGCCGUCAGGUGUGGCGCGCAGGACGCGCAGGGUUGGCAGGUUGCGGGCCCAGAGUGCGAAAUUCACGGCACUGGAGAAACUGGAGGGAGCGUCAGGUGGGCCCAGGAGAAUGGCACCGGUCCAUGCGCCGGCAGACUGCACUUGUUGGUGCCCCUGCGUAGGGUGGGGGAUGGCGGGUUGGAGUGGAGGUGUGGGCGUGCAGUGGAAGGCAUGGGGCCGCAGCAGAUUUUGGAUGCGGCAGGUAGAGGACGGGACGUACACCGCACACCUAGACUCCUAAGCACGAUGCUGCUGCUGUGCGAGUCCCUGCCGCACGCGGACGCGUGCCCGCACCUGCUGUAGGAGAAGGUCGUAUGCCCAUUGCAUAGCGUGUUCGCUGCCGCCCAUGGCGAUGGCGUCAAGGUCGAUGCGAGCGCCACGGUCAUGGAGGAGCUGCAGGAUGGGCAGGGGCGCGCCAGUGCGGGCCGCGGAGGUGAAAGCCGAGUUGUAUGCCCAGGUGUCCUGCGGAUGGGCAGGCGGUACGGCUGCAGCCACCAUGGCAACUGUGUCCCAGGAGGAGGUCUGUGCAACCACGUGCAAGUCGCGCGCGGUUAUGCUGAAACCGCAGCGUAGGAAUGCUUCUGUUCGUGGGCGGUUGUCUCUAAGCAGCCUGACGCCCGCGUCGCGGGUGGAGGAGAAGAGCGUACAGUCUGCAUUGCAGUGGCGGGCGGCCAUUUCGCCCAUGUGGAGGACUGUGUCUGCAGCUUCGUCAGGGGUGCCGUGCUGUAGAAGCAGGCGGUUGCGUAGCUCCUGCGGCACAGCCACGCCGGCUGCGGCCAGCGUUGCUAGCACCGCGGAAAUGUUUCUGAGGUUCGGGUCGCGCAGGAACGGGUCAGAGCUCAGGAGGUCUGUUGCGACAGCCUGCCAGCCUUGCGGUGCGCGCAGCAGCAGCAGCUGGAUACUGUCUGUGUUGGGCACAGGCAGUUGAGACGCUGUGAGUGUGAUGCUGCGGCAGACGCGCAGCACGACUGAGGGAUCGGGCGGCUGAGGUGCUGGUGGCUGCGGCAAGGCUUCGUGAAUGGCUGGCUGUUGUGGUGGCGGCGCAGGCGCUGCUGGCGGAGCCACAGCUGGGAAGGCAGGUGGCUGUUGCGCUGGCGGCGCGUCCACCACGGGCGGUUCUGCUGCUGGGUCCGCAGGCGGCGGCAGCGGCAAGCUGUGCGGCCACUCAGGGAUGUAGGUGGUGAGCACAUGGUACAGGAACUGGGUGGAGCAGCCUGCUGCGAUGCCGUCCAUGAUUUUGGCUCGCCAGUACGCACCAUACCAGCUGUACGGCGGGGCAUGUUGCAGGGCGCGCUCGACUAGGGCUGUGUGUCCGCGUGCGGCCGCCGCCUUGAUGCUGCUUGCGGGAAGGGUGUGCCAGGCGUCGUGCUGUGCGAAUUGGGUGUUAAGGAAGUCCAGCACACUGCUGUGGCCGCCGAUGCAAGCGCCCUGUUGCGUGCUGGUGUACAGCUCUUGCCAGUCUUGAGGGUCUGCGUGUGCUACUGUGUCGAAGAGGAGCGUGAGGACAUCAAGGUGCCCGGCGCUGCCGGCGGCCACGAAUGCUGAGCAGGUGAGCGCGCAGCCGUGGCUGAUGAGCUGUUGGCAGAGGUGCACCAAGCCAGCCUGUGCGGCUGACGCCAGUACCUCUGUGUUCAUUGCGACACCGCUGUACUGGAUUGCUGCAGUGGCGCUGGCUGCGUGCCCUGAUGCCGCUGCGAGGCAUGCUAGCCGGCGUCGUUGCGACAGGGAGAGGUGGGCCCAGGCGGCUGCGGUGGCGAAGGUCUCCUGGAAUGCGCGGCCGGGCCAGCCCGGUGGUGGCACGUGCGUGUCAAGCCGCCAAUGUCGCGAGUAUCCAGUGUACGUGUGCGGGCCGGCGAGAAACACGCGGCGGUGCUGAGGCGCGGAAAGGCUGUUGCGCAGGAAGCGCGAGGUGCGGCGGAGCGCAGUGGCCCCAUCAGCGGUGUUGAGGAAGGUUGCGAUAUGGAGCCAAAGGUCGGCGGGCAGGUUCUGCCAGUCCGGGGCCAUGUCGGUGCUAAUGUUGAGGCACGUGCAACUAGAGUGCGGGAUGUGAAGGCGCUGGAUACCGGGCGUGAGGUUGGAUACGUAAUGUUGUAUUUGGUUUCAGCCUUUGUGUUCAGCGUAGGCAUGGGUGUGAUCGGGAUGAUGGGCGACUGGCGGAUUGCCGGUCGCAAAGCUUGCCGGAUGGUUUAAUUAUAUAGAUGUCGUGGUUUAAUAAUAUAGACUUGGAAUCCUCGUGGUGUAUUUAGAUAGACCUGGAAUGAGUCGCGUUCGGUGCGAGGCCGAGUUGGAGAGCGCGCGCAAGAAGCCGCGGCAGGAGGCGAACGAUGUGCUGAUCGUGCCGUUCGGGCCGAUGUCUGCGGAGGCAGGCGAGGCGGUUGAAGCGCAGCGGUAGGUACCAGCGCUGGGAAUCGGAUAAGCCUGGCGGCUCAGCGAUCGGGCGCGCGAUGAAGCUGGGCAGUGGCUUUUUUGCGGGUGCUGACAGCAGGGAUGUGGCUGGGUGCAUGGCAAAGGCGGAGCGGCAACGCUGGGAGGCGGUUAAGUGAUUGCGUGGGAAUGUGCUGCCCUCGCCACUGGAAAUGCAGAUCGGAGCGCGCCAAGGCCGACGCGCUGCUGGGCGCCAACAUGCUGCUGCCGCCGUAUCAGGGCCGGCUGGUGGCGCAUCUGCGCGCGCGGUACGCCUUUGUUCCGAUCCCGGGGCAGACCAAGCUUCGCAAGGUGUACGCGUGCGAGACUCCGGCCUGCAACGCUCGUAUGGAGUGGGUUGCCAAGGAUGCUACCGCCAAGGCCUGGCUCGUUUCGCAUAGCCCGCACAGCCAUGCGGCAGCCGCGCCGACGCCUACGGCGACACCCGGCCAGCUGACAAGGUGUGUUUGAUGGAGUGGGACCGUGUGUGUUAGUGUGCGCGUGUGGGUGCGGGGUGGGGGUGGGCGUAGGGGGAGGGGGGCAGGCGGAAUCGGGGCCAGGCAAGCGGGCGAGAGGUACAGGAGCUCGCAGUGGGCGCGAGGUACAUAGGACCGCACAGGGGUGCUUUGUGGGGCGCUGUUUUGAGCGGGCAUUUGCGCACGUGCCGUGUAUAUACAGGCAAGCGCUGCGCAACAAGAACUUCUGCAUCGCCAAGAGUUGGGUGGAGACGUUCAAGCGUACACUGGUCGCCGCUGAGCUGAGCAGGUGCAGUAGGUGUGCGCGGCCCUGUUGUGUGCAGUCCAGCGGGAUGUCUCAGCACAGCAAGGGCAGGGCACCAGCGUACUGAGAUCGGACAGGUCUGCUGCGCGUGUGGCAUGACUCCCCCGGUGCGGGGGACUCAGGCGAAGCGCCGGUCGCUUGCGGCAGGCGUGGCUGCCGAUGCUGUCGUCGGCAGCACCAGGCUCUGCAUCGCCCCAGUUGUGUGGGGCCCGCAUCCUGGGUAGUGCAGCGUUGGCAGGGGGGCAGUUGCGCGGGAGUAGUUGCGUGUGGGAGGUGGAGGGAGGUGCAUGCGCAAGAUCUGUUGCAGCAGUGGCAUGACUCCCCCGGUGCGGGGGACGUAGUCAUUGUUUGCACACUCCGGAUGCACAGGCCCGGACUGCCAGCCCGUGCACCCCGCACACGCCGACAAAGGAGCGCUCAUAAGGUCUACGUCAUAGAAGUCGGAUACUGCUCGGACCUAAACCACCCGGACAAACGCGCAGAGAAGCUGCAACAACACGAAGACCUCGUGGCCGCUCUCCGCGACGCAGGCUGGGACGUGAUGUACAGCCCAGACACUGUAAUUAGCCUUGGCCAUACUGGCACGGUCACACCCCACCUUCAUGCCCUCCUCAAAACACUCGGAUGCCCCACACAGUCCGCACACAGCACAUGCCGUAAACUAGUGCAGCACGCCAUCCACACCACAACCGCCAUCACAGCCCUCCGCCGCGAAAUCUACAGCCACAAAUGGCCAGGGAGACCACCAUAAAACCGUAUGACCCGCUGUGGGAAAGGGGCCAGGCCCAGUACGCCUAGGCGCACUGGCAACCUCCCCUCUCUCACUUGGGGGACAGGGGCUCAGCGGCGGAGACCAUCUAUGCGGUGGUCUCUCACGCCCUCACACCCCUACCUCCGCAGAACACGCCCUGUCAUGCAGGGAGUACCUAUUAUUAUUAUUAUUAUUCAUUGUUUGCAGCGGCAGGCUCUGCGUUGCCCCCGUUGUGUGAGGCUCGCAUCCUGGGGAGUGGGGUGUAGGCGUGGGUAUGGGUGGGCGCCUUGCAUGAGUGAUUCACACUGACCAUUGUGCCUGCAAUUGUGUGUUCUGUGCAUGGAGGCGCGAGGAGGGUGCUGCGUCAGCGGAAGCUGCGCAGGAGCUGCUUGUGCAAGGCGUGGCCAGCAGCAUCGGGUGGGUUUGCUUGUAUGUGCGGAUGUGGGCAGGGCAGGCAGGAACAGUGCAUGCCAACUGCUGCAAGGCACUUUGCUGACGCUGCGCACAUGUUUGGGUACCCGCAUGGUUGCAGGGAGGGGCAGUGGUGCAAGCUGCGCCCGGAUCUGGAUGCGCUCGGCGUGAAGCUCGACGCCAACGGCAUCGUCACGCACCUCAAGUACGCCCUCGCGCCGCCCAAGCCGCCCAGCGCGCACCUCGUGGAGGUGAUGCAGGCGGGUGCCAUCCGCGACAUCCUGAUGGGCAUGGGCUGGGCCGCGCUGCCGGAGCAGCAGGUUCGGGUGUUCGACAUUGACCUUGCCGCUGCGGAUGCGCUCGCGCUGGAGGCCCUGCAAGGGUGGGCACGCAUAGCGGGGGUGGCGCUGCAAGGCGAAGGCCAGAAGCUGGUGCGGCGCCAGCAGGGGCUUAGCACCGGCGGCGACAAAACCUCGUGGUACCAGCAGUGGUUUGCGGAAUGCCCGUUCGGCCUGCUGGAUGUCACCGGGCAGGACGUGCGGGUCUGUGCCGUGCGGCGCACAGCAGAUGGUGGGCUGCAACGCGCGCCGCUGGUCUCUGUAGGGCAGGUGCGAACAAGCUGCGGGCCGGGCGUAUGUUGUUGCGUGUUGUCGGUUGUAUGGCGGUGUGCGUGUUCACCAUGCUGCUGUUGUGCUUGCCUGCAGGUGUCGGGCGAGGCGGGGCGCGCUCUGCGCAACAAGGUGGAAUAAUAAUAAUAAUAAUAAUAAUACCUACGCACGGACCAAGGUCCCGCGUGCCUUAAGGAAGAGUCCCAUCGAGGCUAACCCUACCGUAUCUCUGUGGGACCUUGGCAAGAGGCACCCCACGCAUCCACCUUCACUCAGUCCAUAGGAACCGAAGUUCUGGACCUAUCGGCCUACCAACUCUCCGAAUUCGGCCAUCGUGAAGUUUCCACGUUGCAACAAUGGGAUCCGAACCCAGAGAGUCGCUACAACGCUUCCGUCAGUACCGCGGACUCCAUACCGGAAUACUGACUCGGUUCCCCGGGCAGGAUCCGAACCUGCAUCUAUACUUGUCAGCCUCAACCCGGCCGAAUCCGCGAUUCGAACCUGGGUCUGCCAUGUGACAGCGGCAUGCUCUACCAAUUGAGCUACCGGGG
RNAcentral lists this long non-coding RNA (126738 nucleotides) under Chlamydomonas reinhardtii. RNAcentral's name for it is "long non-coding RNA (CREI_LNC000218)". Lineage: Eukaryota; Viridiplantae; Chlorophyta; Chlorophyceae; Chlamydomonadales; Chlamydomonadaceae. The record is from RNAcentral.